This 98075-nucleotide long non-coding RNA is filed under the name Ananas comosus (pineapple). RNAcentral's name for it is "long non-coding RNA (ACOM_LNC025264)". Lineage: Eukaryota; Viridiplantae; Streptophyta; Magnoliopsida; Poales; Bromeliaceae. The record is from RNAcentral.
UUGAUUUAAAUUAUAGAAAUUUUAAAAAUAGUUUUAUUUCUAAAUACGAUGAAUUUAAAUUUUAAAAAUUAAAUACUUAAAAUUUAAAAGUGAAAUUUAAAUUAGAGGAAUUUCAUAUUACUAUUUAAAAACUAAAUUUCUACCAAGAUUUAAAAUACAGUUUAUUCGCACCAGUUUAAAACGUAAUGCAUAAAAAACUUAGAGAGUAAGAUUUCUACAACUAGAUUUCUCUAGAGGAAUUUCAUAUUACUAUUUAAAUUUUAAAUUCAAUGAUUUAAAAACUAGAUUGAACCGAUUGAUUUGACUGAUCAGACUUUGACCUAUUCUAUCAAGAAUCUGACCUAUUGAACCGAAUAACAUUAAGAAUAAUUUGGAACUGGUAAAGAUAAUAAAUAUUUUAAACAGAAUGAUAAUUUAACUGUUAGAGCUAAUAAAUAUUUUAAAUAUAAUUUUAAACAUAUAAAUUAAAAAGAUUAGAAUUAUUGGUGAGAAAAAAAUAGUUAGGAAUUUGAAUUCGAAUUUGACUAACAAUCACAAAACUUAUUUCCGAACUCGACUAAUUUCAAAAAUCCAUAUCUAAAUUCAAAACUGAUCAAUUUUCCGAAACCCAAAACCAAACCUAAACCAGAAGAAUAGAAUUCAAACAAUUAUUUCUGUUUACCAUAUUUCAAAGUAUUUAUAUAAAACUUAAAAUUUUAAAAUAUAAAUUUAAAUAUAAUAUUAAAUUUUAAAAUUUAAAAGUGAAAUUUAAAUUAGAGAAAUUUUAUAUUACUAUUUAAAGUUUAAAUUCAAUGAUCAUAUUGUCAAAUCAUUUGAAAUUUUUUUUAUAUGAAAUGCCAAAUUAUGAAAAGAAAGAUAGAAAGAGAAAAAGGAAACAAAGAAAAAAUAAAAAUUUUGAAAAUAUAGUAGAUAUAAAAUGACUAAAUUGUCUAUAUAUUAAAAGACAAAAAUAUUCUUUUUUGAGGUACCUGGUAACCGGUACCUUUCCCAAAGUGACCUACUAUUGCAGGUCAUAAUUUUAAAAAAACUAAAUCUGAGCCGUUGAAUACGCGUGAAUGAACGGUAACAAAAAAAAAAAAAAGCAUAGAAGCAUUACUCUUAAAAUCUAACUGCGGAAACAACUCUCCUUUCCAGAUCUUGCCAUCAAGCUUGCUGGUUGUUAAAUAUUCUCGAAUUCCGCUCUUUCCAUAGUAGUUCCCAGCAAGCUGGGCCUACUUGUUAUUGAUCCAUUUCUAUCCUGUUUAGAAAGUGGCUUCAGGCCUUGUGUAAGGGUUGUGGAUUGUGAUGUGGGAUAUUUAAUCUUGUUUGUAUAUCAAUUCUCAAUAUAAAGAUAAGCAUAUGAAGCACAUUCAAAAUAAUAUCCUUUCUCUAGUUGGAUGUGUCCACAUUCAGUUGGAUUUUGGGGACCCCUUGGGUCCCAGGUGAGUAUACCAGUAUCAAUUUUGAGAUUGGUUAUAAGCCAUAUAAAAUUUCCCUCUCACACAUCCUUCUCAGCCUUUUUCUUCUUGGUUAUCUUUAAUGAUGAAGAGAAUAACAAACAGAGAAGGAAAACAAAAGGGACAAAAAAACAAGAACAAAACAAAGAAGAAUUGGAGAGGAGGUAGUAAAAGAUAAAGAGUUAUUUAUAUGUGUGGACUCUUUCUUUUGAACUUAGACGGCGAAAAUUUAUGGUUUGGAAGGAAUUUCACAUACAUGAUCCUCUUUCUGAUGAAACAUGAUCAUAAGAAAAUUAAAACUAUAUUUACUUUAGAACUAUGAGAUGAGAUUAUGCCUCAGUGACAUCCUGUGAAAGUAUAAAAAAUGGUGCCUUACCAAUUACCAUGCUGAUAUCAUAUAUCAAUUUGCUUAAAAUAAUUUUUCCUAGCUAGCUAAAUGAUCAUGCAUUCAUAAGUAAACACAAUGGCUAUCGCUUCGAUGUGUUUCGCUAAUCUUUAUACUUAAGCUGAAAAGUUCUGAUAUAUAUAUAUAUUUACUAACUCAUGUGUGACUGCAUUGGUUGAUCCUCACCUUCAUGGAAUUUCUACUACCUUAUAAAAAACAAAUGGUGGCAAAGGAUAGUGGGUGUCCAAGGCUCCUUAAGGAGUGGGGGCCUUUAGUGUUUAGACCUCCCAACAAGCUCUCAAAAAGCUUCUUCUCUGCUGUUUUGUGGAUUGCUUAAUUCCACAAGUCACUGUCCAGGCUCUAGUGCAACAAGAACAUUCCAUUUUGCAGUAGAAAAUUGGGUUGACAUGACCAAAAGGGGAGGGGGUUCUUUGUUUGAUGGAACCUGGCCUAAGUGACCACCAUUAGCAAAUAUUAAUUAGUGGACCCCCUUAGCAUCAUCACCAUGACACCAUAAAAAGAGUAUUCUUGUGCUCAAGUGUAAAUAUUUGUUAUAUAAAGCACAGGACUACAUGUGGUGCAGCCUUUUCUAAGGGCAUUUCUGCAAGUUGGUGCUACUUUUGUCAAAGCAUCUGAUUCAACGCAAUUCAGUGUUAAUUCAGAUAUGCUUUUCCCUUUUUUUUUUCUUUUUUUUUUUUUUCACUGGUAACUCUAUAGAGGAAUAUACAUAAAUCAAAUAUAUGUUUUUUUUUUUGAGAGAUAGGUAGCACACUACCCGCUUCGUUUAUUUCAUUUAGAAAUAAACUUAGUUGAAAAUGUACAUCAACUAGAAUUCGAACUUGAGUCUCAGGUACCAACCACCAAGUCCUUUGCCACUUGCUCUAGGGACAGUCGGUAUAAAUCAAAUAUAUGUUGAUAGUGUAGUACACAUGUUUUACACACAUAUUGAAAUUAUUGGGAGCUAAAAUCAAAAAGUAUGCCAUAUGAUGUAUAACGCCAAGCUUUUAUCUCUUUCACACAGUCGAGAACAAAUGAAAGUAGCAUCGAUGUGAAAUGAAAGCAAAUGCAAGGGGAGUCCUAAAUCAUCCCUUUCAUAUGCAACAACAUCUUUUACAUAACACUUUUCGCAAUGCGAUUCGUCGAUCGUUCCACAAAUCAUUUGUUAACACAAGGAGGGGAUAAAAGUCACAGAACUGAAAGCAUCGAAUGAGAAAAGGUAGGGAAAAAGUAUAAUUAUAUUUCAAAAGUAUCUCGAAAAAGCCUGCUGGGCGACUAGAUGUUUUCUAAGCAUAUCAAUGCUUAGAUUUCAUCCCUCUUCAACUGUUCUGGAUUAAGUUUGAAGGAAAGUCUAGUGUUAAUAGACCUAACAAUUUCAAGUCGUACUUGCAGAUACCGGCCCACAGAUUACCAGCAAAUUUAUAAGUGUGAGUACUAGCUAAUCUUUCAUACCGAAAAAAUUAUAAAUAAAAUAGGCGGAUACCCGUCAACUCAUGAGCAUUUUGGGCAUUCUGCGGGCCGGUAUUUAUGCCUGCAGACACUUGCAUAUAUAAUUUUUUUAAAAAAUAAAAAAAAUAAAAAAGUGAAUAUUCUUUCAAUUUUAUCUGUUUCUGUAACUUUUAACACUAAUUUCUCUUAGUAUCUUUUUUUCUUUAUUAUAUAUUAUCAUGUUAAACUGUAAGUUAUAUUUUGAAUCUUUUAAAAUAAAUAAAUAUAUAUAUAUAUAUAUAUAUAUAUAUAUAUAUAUAUAUAUAUAUAUAUAUAUAUAUUUUAUUUGUGUUUGGAAAGUAUAAAAACAGAAAGGAAAAAACACCUUAUAGGUAACCCGUAUACCCGUCAGUGCACCAGCGGGCGGAUAUGGAUAAGAAUGAUUGCUAUCUAAAAAAAUUUGCUGAUAAAUUUUAUCCACACUGGCAUAAUCUGUGAGCACAAUGACCCGUCCACAGAUUGCUCAACCCGCUAGUUUCGCCGGUCCAACUAUUAACAGGUCUAGAGAGAGAGAGAGAGAAGAUAUUGUGAAAGUGAUUAGUAUGAUGACUUACUUUAAUGCUACUGCUAAUCAAGUGGAGAGUAGAAAACACAAACUUUGUUCCCCCUACAUUCCCCACAGGCUAUUCUUGAUGUUGAUGUGGGAAUCCAGGGAGAAAAAGAAACAAGCCCAUGAGUCAAACCCCAUUAGAGUUUACCAAUAGAGGAAGGUUUUGAUGCAUGAGAAUCCAAUUCUCCACAGUAUGUGAUUCUCCCCCACCAAGCCCACGAAAGCGUUGACCUUCGAAUUAACUACCAUUAUAUCAAAGUGGAUCGAGGCNGUCCCCCCCCCCCCCCCCCCCCCCCCCCCAAUCCUUUCCAAAAGUCAUAAGGCAUUACAAUUGUUUUAUUGGUGCUCCAAAGAAACACUUUUUGAGAAUUCUAAUGAAUGUGCCAUGAGCUCUCUCUCUCUCUCUCUCUCUCUCUCUCUCUCCUCAUAGUCAAGCAAAGCAUCAAACUCUUUAAUGGAUGAGCAACGCCAAACUAUUCCUUUAAAAUCCUCUUUCCCCUAACACCACCUACUCCUCCUCUACACCUUAAAUGCCAUAUACCCUCCUUGUCUUUUAAAAGUGUAUGCAACUAUAGUGAUGAAGUGAUGAAGGUGACGAGCAAGCUCUUCGCGGCCCUAGAUGCGUUCAUGGACCAUGCAAUACGUAAAGCUUCGACGGCCGAGCACACCAUCAUCACCAACAUAGAAGCUACGAUCGUGCGAUGCACCAGCCACCACGACGCACCUAUAGACGAUAAGUACGUGCACGAGAUCCUCUUCCUAGUCUCGAACACUCCUGGCUCGAUCUCCUUCUUGGCUAAUCGGAUUUCGAGCAGGUUCGAGAGCACGCGGGACCCCGUGGUGGCGCUAAAAUCUCUUCUACUCCUCCACCGCCUUCUUCGCGGCGGCGAUCGGUACUUCGAGCAAGAUCUACGCAGUCAAGACCUUAGAAUCGAUCUCUCAUGGUGCUUGGGCCGUCCGAAUGGCUUGCACUCCUUCCUCCUCAGCUAUUCAUCCUUUCUCAGAGAGAGGAUGGUGUGGAUCAUCAACCAAGCUGGAAAUCUAGAGCCAAGCAGGCCACACAGAAAAGAGCCUCUAUCUUAUGAAGAGGAAGCGAUCGAGUCGGUUAUAUUUAGACUUUCGAAGUGCCAAAGCCUUCUGGAUCGGGUCAUGGAUUGUUUGCCCGUCGAUGUUUUGAGCAACGGGCGGGUGAUUCAGUCGGCGGUCAACAUUAUCUUAAGAGAGAGUUUUCGGGUUUACGAGAGCUUCCAAGAAAUGAUAGAGGAUUUGGCGAGAUCCACCUUCGAUCUUAAGAAGUCUUUGAGGGUUUCAGCUCAUGAAAUCCUCAAGAAAGCAUGCGCACAAACGAUUAGACUUCAUGAAUUCUAUCAAAAUUGCAAGAGAAGCAUUUUUGGCAAGGGCUUGGACUAUCCUUGUGUGAGAAUUAUUGCGCCCACCCAAAUCUCAUCAAUAGAGCAGUUUUUGCCCAGUUAUUGUUACGAACGUAUGGCAAUCCCUGAGGACGAGAAGAAGAAUGAAACGCAAACAACAAGCGAAGAGUCUCCGACCGAAUCCAACGAACCAAUCGGUGCUCUAUUUUCUCAAAAGUUGGAAACAACGAUAAGCACCGUGUGGGUCGAGUUCGAUGAAGAAGAUGUACAAACUUUGAGCUUCUCAUUGGCAUCGAGUUCGACAGAUAGUUCGUCAACAGGACACGCAAUGCAGACGCUAGCUAUGACCGAAUUUAUCGGUUUCUCUUCCGAGCUAUGAGGAUCGACUCUUCAGAGAGAGACCAAGCUAACUAUUUACCUACAUCAUUACUAUUAUUAUUAUUAUUAUUAUUUUUCCUUCUGGUUCUUAUUUGCUUGCUUUAGUAGCUUGAAUGGUGUCUUGUUGUGGGGGUGGAUUUUGCAUUAUUAUAACUGCUGCUGAUAUUCUUUGUUUUCACAAAGUUUGCUCGAGAAAUUAAUGAAUCCAUUUCUUCUGGGUGGAUUUCAGUAAUAAAAACCGCCAAAGUAUUGUGUAACGUCUAAUGUUUCUCUUGAUUAAAUCGACAAAAAAAAAAAACUAAGCAUAAUUUGCACGGAAAUCGAUGGGUUUCUGCUUCGAAACAGGUUGUUAAUACGAAGAGUUGACACAUUGAGGAACAUACUGAGGCAUUAAUAAGUGGUGGAGCUCCCACAAUUUUCUAGAAAAGGUGACAUAUGAUGCAUCUAAUCUAGCAAAAUCCUGAUUUAGAUUGAUUUUGAGAUCUUUUCUUUUCUUUUCUUUUCUUUCCUUUUUGUCACUAUUUCUUCUAAUCCAAAUUAUUGCUGGCCAUCUCCUCACGGUUCUAAUUUACACACCCACAAUCUACUCAAAGUUUCAAAUUUUGUCUCUGAUUGAUUCUCACACCUCAUAUAAUUAAACCAGUUUAGAAGAGCACCACCCCCUAUGGUGUUUGCUGUUAAAAGACACACCAGUAUCUUCACACAAUACUUCCAUUUUUUAUUUAAGAUUCGAUUAAUAAAACAAGAUACAGGGUUUCUAAUGAUUGCUCCAGCACCAUGAAAACAGAAACCUACAUGAUUGUUCUGCUGCAGUAGAGGGAUCUCAACCUUCCAAUUAGUUAGAAUUUUUUCUGUGUGGUCACCUGCAGAUGAGGACUAGAGCCAAAAAUACAUGUCAUGACCUUCAGCAGUGAAGAUGCCCUUUUCUCAGACCAUACAGCAUUGUCACUGUUUCAGUCCACGUGAAGUCAUGUUCCUUCCUGAGGUUUCAUACUAUUUGGUAUGGCUAGGGCUAGGUUAAGCCCACAUCUAUUUGUACUAUUAGCCAGUUCAAGAAUUUCUCAUGUUUUCAGUAUUAUCCCCAUCCCCUUUUUUUAUCAUCACUCUUAACUGUGUGAUCUCAAUCCCAGUUUUAUUGACAAUAUACAAACUAUAAAUGAUCUGAUAUUCAUUUUAGCCAAAGAUUGAGAUGCAUGCAUACAUUACUUUUUCUUCCAAAUUAUUCCCAAAUCCUCUUUCACUCUCUCUCGUAACCCCGUAUUAUGAAUAUCUAUCUCAUAAUCCCGUAAUGUUGCCCUCCAAAAAUAUUGAAUGGAAAUCACAUAAACCUCUAAUUUUAGCUAGAAUUCAUACAAAUAUUGUUACACUUCACUAUCAGUCAGUUAAUUAUAUAAAAACAUCGUAAGAACGGGUUUUCAAAUUGCUUGAUUACAAUACAGCUACCGACAUGUCCAACUAUCCAAGUCCUAGUUCUUACACAAGGAAAAAAAAACAAAACAGAUGGCAGAGUAACAUGUGACCACUGAAUCUAAAAUACCACAUACAAGGAUUGUGCACCAACUAAAUAAUACCACAUGAAGGAUUCUUUCAAUAUAUCUCAUCCUCUCUAUUAAUUAAGAGCACAUUUUAAGUUCAGGAAAACAGUCGAGUGUAUAGUAUAUACCAACACAUUACCAGACUAAUUGAUAUACACCACUCAAUUCCCAGCUGACAACACUACACACUGCUGCUAAAGCCAUUAGGGCCGAAGUAGAAGAAAAAGAUGCAGUGAAAUGCACUCCAUUAAGGGCUAAUUUGAGUAACUCCACAAAGUUAGAAAAGUACCUGGUAUUCUAAAUUGAAAACAUGAACCAUGCUUUUAUGACCUGAUGCGUUCAUAUCUGCCACCACAUCACAAAGCGCGGACUAAGAAAGCUGAAAAACUUCACUAUCUGCUACAAUAUGUUAAAACUGAGAAGUCACAAGCCAAAUAGACACCAAUAAUUAACAAAGAUUAGACAUCCAGUAAGACAUAAAACUAAACUUUAAACCGGUUAUCAGCUGCAUCGAAAAUAGUCUCCCUUUCUGACAUUUCCGACGACUUCAUCUUUAAGGCCGACCACGAGCUUUCAAAAACCUUCAUGUCCUAGCCCUCUUGUUACUGCAACCAGGACAUUUGUACUGUUUGAUGUGCUCAGCUCUGGCAGGAGUGAUCUUAACGCACUUGCCAUGGAACCAUUUCUCACACACAUCACAGCAAAUCCAGAACUCAUCAUUCGCGUAAUUGUCCCCACAGGCGCCACACAGAGUGUUCCCGUGCUCUUCCUCGCCUCCCUCGCCCUCACCUCCUUCACUCUCUUCGUCCUCUUUUGGAGGCAUCUUUGAGGCCUUAGUAUGGGAUUCGGAGUUCCGUGACGGCUGCAAUAAGAUUUCUUCCGUGAGUAAUGGAAGGAAAGAGGUUGCCAAAGAUGGCAUUUAGAAUUGGAUGAAGAUAUGAAUUAUGAUGCAAUUGUAGAGCAAUUGAACUGAGCAUUUGAACUAACUUUGGAGCCUGAUUUGGUGUUCUUGAUGCUGCUAUUAGGGGUUUUUUCUUUUGAUUGCUUCUUCGCAGUUCCUGUCACAACCUCAUAUAUAGUGGGAAGACCAUUAAUCAUGGUAAACAACCGCUUCCUGCAUUAUAGCGUGAUGAAAAACCCAGAUGAGCAUCCAAAGUUCUAAUCUAAAUAGUCUGCAUAAAUGAUGAAAAAAGAAUGUAUACGUCGGGCUUUAGCUGCAUGAGGGAGUUUCUAUGGGUUCAAUAUCUCGAAGUUGUGCAGUUAGCAAAACCGAUACAUCUCAUUGUGAACAACCUGACAUGAAACAUGGAAUGCCUAUGAAGGCAAAAGGAAUGGUGUAAUAGGGUGGCAUUAUGAGAGAACUGUUGAAAGGCACUGCUUUAUACAUUGAAUAGCUUUUAUCAUUCUUUAGCAGCCUAUAUAAUAUAUGCAAGAUGGGACCAUUAACAGCAAUAGGAGGUACAACAGUAAACAAUAUAUGCAAGAGGACUAACAGAAUUCACCAAGACAAGGCAAAGGGAUGAAGGAUCGCAUUCACAGACACCUUAUUGAAGUUGAGCACAACUAGUUUUGGGAUGUGUUCACCAACUCGUUAUCGAAGUUGGGCACCAGUUUUAGCGACCAAUAAUGGAAUUUAGAGCAGCAAAAAUAGAAGCCGUAUGGUGAUGACAAAGCAAAAUAACUGUUUCAGUUGAUUUUAGAUCUAUAAAAAAUGGAGCAUACGGCAUGUUCACCAUCUCCAACUGAGAGAAAUCAUAGGAUUUUCUCAUGCAGGAUCCAGUCGCAUUACAUUCAUCAACUUAACAAAUGCAACUUCCAUUUAUGAUUUUGUCCAAAUUGGAACAAGAUUUUUUGAGACAUGACACUAAUAAGCACAUGGGUGAAGUUACAGGCCCUUUUAAGAUAUUUAACACUAAUUUUUGGGACAUCUCCAGUAUGUGGUACAUUGCAUAUCAAUUGCUCAAAAGGGCUGGAAACAACAUCAACACCCAAAAGUGCAAUAUAAUCAAGGUUUCUAAGAACAUUUUACAUGACUAAGGGAAAGAAAGUAGUCCAUGAGAAAAGACUUGGACUCACAACUCGGAGGAUAAAAAUCAAUUAUGUACAAAUAAUUAUGGAUGGGAAACCAAAUUGAAAGAAUAUAAAUCUAAAGAAAUAGGAAACCCAAGGGACUAUUGUAUAAUGAAAACAGAUGGAAAAACAGAAAUUCAUCAUCCAGCAUCUAAGCGCAAGAGAAACUCCAAAAUUUAGACUUCAAUGCAAGCUUACAACACUAAUGUGCAGUGGAACUAACAAUAUGACCCAAGUCCCUACCGUCCGUAAUGAAAGCAGAUAUUUUGACCGAAGGCAAUCAAACAAUAAGAUUGUUAAGAAAAGGGAAUAAAAUAAAAAUUAGAAAACUUCAUGUGUUAAUGUCCAGUAAAUAGCUGGCAAUGAAAGAUAUAUCGCAAGUUCUUUGCAGCGAACACACUCAGCAAAGCGGCCAAGCAAUUUCAUAACAACACAUCUUACAGUAGAUAGAAAUUUACAGAUUGAUUUACCCAAUACAUAAAGUACAAUAAUAUGGAUGCCAAAACGUAGAUAACUCCAUCGACUGGUUUAUUCAACCACACAGAUUUGAGUAUAAAAACACAGAAAAAGAAACCCUAAGCAAAGGCCUUGAUAUGCCUAUUAAAAGCUUAGUGUCAUUGUUUGGCAACAUAAAGCCUAUAAAAGAGAGAACAUAAACUGAAUACUGGUACAUCAAUGAUAAAUGAAAAACAAAAUACAUCUGCUUGUUGAGCGAGGUAAUUAGGUUAUAACUUUGGUAAAAUCAAACAAUAAAAGAAGUACCUGGAUUCCUUAUCGAAUCCGAAGCGCGCUCCAAAGUAAAAGGCAACAGCCAAUAGCCACGCAUCGCUAUGAACUGCUACCAAUGAUAACCAAUCCUUCUCCUCCAUUCCAUCACGAGCAAAAUUUAUACCUAAUGCCGGCUCUGGGAGUUCAGGCGGCACUUCCUCCGCAGGCAAGUUCACUUCCCAAGUCUCAUUGGGAUGUCCAUACAGACAUAAAUUCUCCUUCUCUGCACGCAGAGUUUGAUUACCUCAGCAAGCCGAUCAAACCGUAAAGUUUAUACUACAAGCGGAUAUAAAGAAGCGCAAUUUAACACUUUGCUUAUAAUGGCAAUCUAUAUGAUCAGAAAUAGAAUUAAUUCAUUAACCGCUUAAAUGAGACCUUAGAAAUGAUCUGUUGUGAGAAAAGAAACUAGCUAACAAUCUCACUAGUUAGAAUCUUUAAAGACAAAUUAGCUAGAGAGCUGAGUAUUCUCUACGCAUCUCACUCCACAAAAAUAGGUAAAUAAUUACACUAACCUAAGGUAACUUUUCGAAAUACUAAGAGCAAUUGCCACAAAAUGCUAAGAUCUAAUUUUUCAAGUAUAUGUCCCUCAAACAGAACUCCAAUUCAUGGAACACAGGUUGUGUCUAAUUCGAAAAAAUUUCUCAAAGAGGGGCAAUUUUGCAAGCAUGAGGUUAAAUAUGUAAAUAACAAAACUUUUGAAGGGCAUUAUGAUAAUUCAGUUUUUUGCAGGAAUGUAAACGUACAUAGCAAAUUUUGCAGGGGUAUGAAUGUAAAUAUCUCUUAAAUGGAAAAGGUAACACUUCAGGAUUAACAAUAGACGAGCGAAAAAUUAAAAAAAAAAAUUCUUUUUUAUCAAGCAACAAGAGCAAAGAAAAACAAACCCUAAUAGGAGAGGACGACAUAAAAAGCCGGAAUUUUUUCUUAUAAAAUUGAAAAUAAAAGAAAAAAAAGGUAACAACUCACCUGGGUCGCACUGUUGGUGGAAUUUCUCGACAUCUGCACAAAGAGAGAGCAAAAAAGAAAAAAAAAAUCGCAAAAACGAAAACUUAUCACACUAUAAAAUGAGCUGUAUCUUUGAAAACUUCAAUUUUUUUUGAAAACAAAAAAAGGGUAGGAGAGUAGAGACCAGUGGUUAGGGCUUUGAUUAUUCCGGCCCUCCUAGCUCUAAAAUCCCUGAAUACCUCCUCAGGCGUACGCGGAUUAUAGCCCCCACCCCCAUCCAUAUCCCACAGCGUUCGGGACCGAUCACAACGCGCGCGCGCAAGAGAGAGAGAGGAGCUUCGCCGAGCUCUAAUGGCGCCUAAGAGAGCACGAAGAGAGAGGAAAUCGUGGAACUAGGGUUAGGGCAUGGGGCGGUGGGAGACGUUGAGGCCCCUCCGGCGAAGGGCGAGAGGAAGCAGGCGACGAGAGAUUUGGACGGGAGAGGGGUUCGAGAAGAAAAUAAAAAAUAAAAAAAGGAAAGAAGAGGGUUUUGAACGAAGGUUUUCUCCCUUACCUUUUCUUUUACCCCUCACCUAUGCGUUAUUUUCAAAUCGGUCCCUAACUUUACUUUUCGUCUAAACGCCUUAUUAAAUUGAAAAGUACCUUGAUGUACGUUUUAUUACUCAAUUAAAUUACGCAAUUAGAUACUUACUAAUUUUUAUUUUACAAAUAAUUUAAAGUGUUUGUAAAUUAAAAAAAAUAAUGGAGAGGCCGUCACUCGAAAAAUUAAUGUUUCGUUUCUUCUGCUCGUUCGCUUGAACGUGAGCCACGUCUACUAAAGGCAUCUUUGCAUUCUUAGAACAAAAAUUAUAUUGGUAUCGUCCUCAAACUAUUAAUUUGAAAACUUAUGUCGAUAUCGUCCUCAAACUAUUAAUUUGGAAACGAUGCAGAUAUCGUUCUCAAACUAUUAAUUUGGAAACAAUGCAGAUAGGUGCCGCGUGUCAUCCCAUGCCCAUUGCUGCCCUCCCUUCCCCUCCAUUCGCUCUCCCUCUCUAAAAAUUCAGGUGCAUAAAUUUUUUUCUUUUUUUCUCGUUUCCGCUCAUGCGAUGGGCGCACUAGGCCACGCGACGCCCAUCGGUAGUUUGGAAACGAUGCUCAUACAAUUUUUGUCUGCAUUCUUCAUGGUAAACUUUUCACUCAAAUUUGGUUUUUCCAAUUUAAAGAGCAAUUUCGUUUGCAUCGGCAUGUGGGUCCCGCGAGCGUCCAAAACCCCCUGAAAAAUUCGAUUUUUAUUUUCAAUUACUAUUAUUAUUAUUAUUUUAAGAGGAGAACGGUGAUCUUUAUACAUAGGGCUUAAAAGAGAAUAAACUGAUAGGUAAAUAAUUCACCACCGUUUCACAAGAGAAAUAAAGAGAAAUAAUAAUGGGUCAGGCCAGGUGUGGGCCCUACAAACCUAGGACCACCAGAUCCAUGAGAAUCGCGGAUUCAAAUGCGACCUCGUGUGGGGCCUCCUUCAACCAAUGAUUCUGUAGUUCAUCCCUACUUAAAGAUAAACCAGGAUAAGUAUGAUAAAAAACAAUAGGAAAGAUAUUUAAGUAUACAAGUUUGCUUAAGAUCUUUAUGCAGAUUCAUCAACUUGCAAAUUAAUCAAUCUUCAAACAGCUUGAAUAGAAACCACGACAGAAAACACAACCGCGACGAAAUUCACCUCAAAUCUUAGCUUGUCAUCCUCGAGACCGUGCACUCAGAAAGCUCCCUGAAAUGUGUCUUUAGACAAUUGCAGCAGCACAGUUUCAUUACAUACAAAUCACCCACACAUACAGUUCUGUUCGGCACACAAACGCCGAAAACCAGGAAAUGCACACAAAAAGCGCGAUCUUCUCCUCCGACGUUCUUAACUAAUUUGUUAUCACAAUAAACCGAGAGCAUCUGUAAUUCGCAAAAGUAAUUUGAUCAGUACAUUCUUUAGGAUUCUUGAUCUUGUAAUGAACUACAUGGGUAGCACAACGACACCUGCUGCGACGGUGAACUGGUGUCGCUAUCUUUCACUUGCAUAUGCCCUAUGAGGGCUCACUUUGGAAUGUUAGGCCUUUGUCGCGGAAGCUGAAAAAUUUUGAAGUAAUGAUAGCUGAGACUUCUGAUAUUCACAACCUGAUGCUUCAUCUGUAACCUCAAUCGAGGAUGAUGCCAAGGUCAAGUGAAAGGGAGGAUUGCAUACAUGUUGAGGAAAACCCACUGGAUACCACUACCAGAAUACGCCUUUUAAGAAGUCAAAAAUAGCUGAAACAGAAGGGGGGGAAGGGCACACUAAGACAUAAUUAUUGAUGCAUAUUGAUGGUCAGAUGUAAGCAAGCAAUAUGUGAAGAAAUAUGCAAGAAAUCACAAGUAACCAACAAGAGGGGGGAAAAAACAGAAAAGAUGCAAAUCCAUGAUUAAUUUAAGUAAAAAAAAAAAUCUCAGAAGAAAAAGAAGUUAACUUUAUAACAUGCAUUAAGCUAACUCUUACGCGAUGACUCCACAUUCAAGACUACUGGCACAAGUAGGUCGCCGUCAGAACAUGCAUCUUCAUCAGUGGGAGUUAUGAAACAAGCAUCUCAUCAACUACCUGAUAGACAGAUUUCCAAACAAAAAUUUAAGCUUGUCUGACAGGUCGCAAGUCAGGGGAAAAGUGCUAACUGUUGAACUAAAUAGUAAUUAGAAGCAAUUGAAGCCAAAUGUGGUUAUAUCCUAAGUCAAAAUAAUAGUUCAUAUUAGGCAACAAAAGAAGACAUUUGAGCCCAAGACAACAUUUGCUGGGCAUCUAAACUACAAAGGGCCAAACUCUAUGGAUUAAGAUUUGAGCAACAUACUGGGGCCAUAAUCAUACCUACUCCCAUUAAAUGAACAACCUUUCUUGGAAGCUAAGACUUCCGCAAAAGCCUUCUGCAACGCUCCCUUUGCGACUUUAUAAAUAGCUGCCGAUGUGGCACCCUCUUCUGCAAACUUAAUGGCAUCGCGAAAAAGAUCAUUGGACCGCCAAUUCAAGGGCUUUUUACAAUUACUCGGUAUUAGGGAGACGGCAUCGCUCUUGGCAUUCCUUGUCCACCUUUUUAAUAUAUAACUAUCAGGCAGCGAAAGAAUACUCAGUACCAUCAUCACUCUGAAAACAUGCCUGCAUAAAAUGCCCGAAAAUUCAAACUUGCAGCAGCUACAGAUAAUGCUCUUUUCCGAAUCAUUGUAUUUAACUACAUGUGUUUUACUGGAAUCCUCAACUUUAAUCACCCGAAAGAUGCUAGUCACGCCAUCGUCAACUUUCUCGGUAAGAAAACCUGAAGUCUCAACCAAUUCAUCCUGAAACAACUCAAAUAUCGUUUUUGUAUAAAUAUCAGAUGCCUGCUUCUCCAACGGCGACGGAGUCUUCAUAACGGGUCUAGUAUGAAUAGUAGCAAAAUCCGCCUGAAUCUCCUUCUCGUAUUGCCCCGCCAUGGCCUUAUCGAACUGAGUGACCAAAUCACGCAGCGUUGUCGUCGUAAUAGAGUGCCUCUGAAAGAAUUUUUGCAUGGUCUCUAAUUUUGUACCGCCGGAAAAUUCACCGAAGAACUUGUCUUUGAAAAACACGGGGACCCAUUUGUGGCGAAUACUAUAUAACUUUAGCAGCCAUAUAUUCUCAACCAAAUCAUAUCUCUCAAUCAGCGAAUUCCAACUUGAUUCAAACUCCUCGACGCUCUCUGACUCGCCCACGCAUUUCUUCAACUCGGCCUUGAAAGAAGGAUGCGCCGAAUAUACAUCGGCCAGCUUCUCCUUGCUCUUACUGAAGACGUCCCUCUUGCAGAACCGAUGCCUAACAUCAGGAAGGACUUUCCGAGCCGCCGCUUCCACAGCCUCACUGUAACCGGUGGUGAACGACGCCGGCUUCUGCCGGCUCAUCAGCAUGAGCCAGGUGUCGAAAAGCCAAGCGAACGAAUCCUCGCUCUCGUCGGUCAUAAAUGCGCAGCCGAAGACUAUCAUCUGCCUAUGAUGGUUCAUACCGGUAAACGCCGCGAACGGCACCAACCGCUUGUUCUUCCUGCAGGUCGUGUCAAAAACAACCGAAUCGCCGAAAUAGCUGUACGACAUUCUGGCCCGCCCAUCCGCCCAAAAGACGUUCUGAACGCAGUUAUUCCGGUCGAGCUGAAUCGAGUAGAAGAAGGCGGGGUUUUCGGCCUGCAUUUUCUUGAAGUAUUCUAGCAAGCUCUGCGCGACGCCACCGCCGGGCCCGAGGCCGUUCUGGUGGGAGUGAGAUUCGGCGGGGGUGCAGGCGAGGAGCUCCCACGGCUUCUUGGAGAGCUUCUUCUGCGAAGCGGCAGCAGCGGCGGCGGCGGCGGCGGCGGGCGGGGGCUUGUCGGUGAAGGAGGCGCCGAGUGGGUGGCAGUGGUCGAGCAGGCAGCGGGAGACGGCCCAGCGGCCGGUGUCGCGGCGGUUGACCUGGAGCAUGGCCUUGCAGCCCUCGCGGGAGGAGGCGCGGUUGCGGCGCUUCUUGGUGAGGUCGAACGGGUCCUUUUUCGUCGGGCGGCCCUGCUUGGAGCACACGAAGCGGCGCAUGAUCACCGAGUCGUCCACGCGGGAGGUGAACGACUUGCUGUUGCGGACGCGGAACCCCGCGCGCUCGGCGUACCCCGCGUAGAACGCGCGCGCCGCUUCCGGCGACUCGAACUCCAUGCCGAUCGCCGGCUCCCGCGGAUCCGGGGCCGGCGGAGGAGGCGGAGGAUCUCCACCGUCGACUCCGUCCCGGACGUCCGAUCGGACGGCUAGGAGCCCGUGAUCUGCGGCGGCGGCGGCGGCGGCGGCGGCGAUGGGUUGGUGGUCGAGGUGGGGUUCCUGGGACUGGAUCGGGAUUGGGGCUUCCACCUCGCCGGCGUCGAAGCCCAUGCUCGGAGCUAGGGCCGUGAUGUUGUCCAUGAAAAGCUUCUCACCCAAUGGGAUCGAAAAAUACGGAAACAAAUUACGGGAAAGAACGAAUUGCCACACUUAUAUUAUCGUCGGAAUUAUUCGAUCAAAUUUGGGGAUUCUUUUUCCUUUUUUUUUUUCUCCUUUCGAUCGCCCUCGAAUUUAGGAAUCGGAAACUCUCGACGACACGCAGAGACCGCGAGAUAGCACGCGUUCCCCCGUGCAGCGGAGGAACCAAUGGUGGUGCCACUGUUCGACAAUGGAUCAGGGCCGUCGAUUUACGGAAGCCGCGCCUUGGAUGGUUAGGAUUGACGGGCUUCAGUGGAAGAGGUCGACAACCAGCGCUUUUGAGAACUACAGCAGACCAAAAUCAGAAAUGUAGGCUCGGUCUUCGGAAUGAUUUUGAAGCUCAUUUGGAGGAACAUGUUGGUUUUAUCAUCCAUCGUUAAUUUUAGAUCGGAGCGUCAUAUUUGAUGAACACUGAACACGACGAUUUUAUCGUGCGCAAUACUGUCGGUACACCAGAAUCCUCGAUUAUCAUCUAUUUUUUAUUAAACUAUCUGACAUUUAAAAUUUUUUAUUUCAAUUUUUUUUUUAAUUUAAGCAAGUUCGUGACUUUUUAACAUCAAUAUUUAAAUCCAUCAGUUAUUUUAUAAUUUAUUUAGUAUAUUUUACAUAAUUCACGUAACUGUAAAAUCUUUUUGUGUAAAAUUUCUCUAGUUUUGUAAUUUUGUAAACGGAUCAUAUUUUUUAUUUUACAUAUAAGGCUGAAUUUUCAAAAUAUAGUCCAAAUUACUUCUCUCAUUUUUUUUCUCUUUCUUUUUCUAAAAAGACAAAUAUUAUUAUCAUACAUAACAUUUAAAAAAAAAAAAACGAAAAGAGUGCAAUCUCUUUUCAAAUAUUACAAAUCGAGUAUAAAUGUGCAAAUUUACAUAAAUAGUGUGAUACAAAUAGUGCAACAUAUUUCUUCAUUUUUUUCUUUUUUCAUUGUUCUUUAUCAACCUUUUCCUUUUCAUCUAUUUUUUCCCUUCGUUCUUCUCCUCCCCUCCGCCACUCGGUCCACCCCGACGACAUGAAUAUGGAAAAUAAAAUUAAACUGCAUUGGAAAGAAUAAUGAAAUGACAAAUCAUCCAAAAAAAAUAUUAAUUCAUUAUUAAAUAAAAGUCAAAAUAAACCUCUAAAAUUUUUGAAGGAGUAUUUUGGUUGAGAAAAAAAAAAGAGAAGUAGGGAGAGUAGAGAAAGGUGUUUGUUUGCGAAGGAGCUCAUUGAGUGGCUUAUUUUGAAAUGGGCAAAUCCAAAACUUUCAAGCCCAAUUGGGCUAUAAAUAAACUAUGUCAUUUUUAUUCUAAAGCAAAAUAGAAAUUAAAAUUAAAAUUUUAUGAAACAAAUAACAACUAUUAAAAUCAAUAAAUCUCAUUUCAUUCUAUAGAUUAAAACAGGUAAGCCAAAUGAGCCCUUAUUUCUCUUUAAGCUUAAAUUGAUUCUUGAAUGUGAGGAUAUUCAAUUUCAGUGCUCAAAUGGAAAUGGUCAGCGUUCUAUAUUAUUACUUUGCAAUUGAUCUGCAACAGAAAUAGGUGUUUUUUUUUUUCCUUUUUUUUUCUUUUUUUUUUUUGAGAAAACAGGGAUAUACCCUAUUUGUACAGUGCAGAAAAGUUACAAAAGCACCUAAUAGCGGGUGGCGGCCGCCUGUAACGACAAAAGUUAGCAAGGUAGCAAAACACACGAACGGAAGUCAAACUACACCCGAACACAAUGAUACAGAAAAGAGUCGAAUUUGAUCAGAAAAUUCAAUCUCGUCCUCCUGAGAGCACCGAUGUCCAUAGAUGAACCAAGCUAUGUACUCUAUUUGUCGUCUCGUCCGUCGGGUAGAUCAGUCUUCGAAUAUGCGCCUAUUUCGUUCUUUCCUUUUUUUUUCUUGAAUCUUGUUUGUUGCGCAAAAAAGAUGAUCUACAAAGUUGCUCGCCAAAGAACAAAGUCAACUCGGCCUACCAAGCAAUUUCUGCAUCCAACUGUAUACAUGGUGCCAUGUUUCCCUUUUUUUUAAAAAAAAUAAAACAUUUUUAAAAGUACGACCAUUGGCACGCAUAUUCUGGCCAACGAACUUUGCAAGGAGAGUUGUUUUUAUUAAAUCUUGGUGGAAAUUUGAAUUCAUAAUCUCUCGAUGCCAACACUACCAUUCAAUCUGAAUGAGUUGUUGGUCGAAAAAAUUAUUAUAUAUAUUUGGUGUAUUCCAAUAUCUGAACCAUUGCAUGUAAAACUUUUCGACACUAAAAAAAACUAAUAAAGGUUAAAUAGUUGGAUGAAAUAGUUGAUAUUUGAGGUAAGUCCCAUACAAAAUUUAUACAAUACACAGUACUUAUUUUAAAAAAUAUUGAUAGGGAGAGCGAAAGAGAUGUUGAUGUAUAUCCAAAGCGAAUAGUAAACAAGAGGAGAUAAAGUAAUUGCUUGUACAAACUUGCGGGUUUUACCCUGCAUUUUGUUUUCUUAAACCCCCACUUGGGUGGCCUGGAGUCCAACCUACAAUCUUUAUUUAAGAUGGGAAAAGACUCAGUUGUGCAAAUAGUUUUUUUUUUUUUUGAGAAAAAUGUAGCACGCUACCCGCUUCAUUCAUUGGAUAGAUGAACUAGGCUACAAGAGUGGGGCAACCUGGGCCCCUAAAAAAAAAUACAAAAAACCAAAAAAAAAAGGGUUCAGGUUAAAAAAAAAAAAAAACUAAGUAGAGAGCAGGGAAUCCCAAUCCUUCACCAGCUGUUUGAGGUUCGCAACCGCUGUUCCCGGGUUCGGUUGGAUACUCCUAAAGAUCCAGUCGUUUCUGGUCUUCCAAACGAUCCACUAGCAUCCUACUAAGUCCGUCAGACUAUUUCUCUUAUUAUACAGGGAUUUUCUAGUCGUCCACCUAUCCCAUACUAGGUUCACUUCCUCCCCCAGGUCUUGGGCCAGUACCCCGUGGAUGCCCCUGACACAAAUAAACUUGCUAAACACACACUGGGUAAACAGAUGGUCCACUGUUUUCUCUUCCACUCCACACAGUACACAAGCUGGGUUUUGUAUCCACCCUCUCUUAAAGAGCCUGUCCGCCGUAGGGGUUCUCUUCUUGAGGACCAGCCAGCAGAAUAUUUUUACCUUUAGAGGGAUACUAAUUCUCCAAAUACUGGCGGCUCGUUCAUCCCUUGUUCCCCCGUCCGUCAACGCCUCGUAGGUCGAUUUUACCGAGAAAAGUCCAUCCUCACUCCAUCGCCAUUGUAGUCUGUCCAGUGUGUGCAUGAUUUGAAAACGAGAAACCCUUUCCUCUAACUCCACUAGGCCUGUCCCCAUCCCUGUUCUCUGGUUUACAGAUACGCCCGUGAUCCGACGCCAAUUCCACCCACCCCUCAUGACGCAGUCACUCACUUUGAGGCUUUUCCCCUCGGACGUCCUGUAGGUCAUUGGGAACACGAGCUUCAGCGUAUUAUCCCCACACCAUCGAUCUAGCCAGAAAUCGAUGGUGCGUCCGUUACCAAGUUUGUAGGCCAUCCCCCAAGAGAAAAUAGCGCUAAGGCCGAGGACCCCUUUCCACCAGCUAGAAUAUGGUAUGAAGGAUUUGCCUUCUCUUAGUGGUUUACGUCGACGGUAAUAAAGCUCAUGGAUUAUCUUAUUCCACUGUAACUGGGGUGCUGUAUGAAAUUUCCACCACCAUUUAGUAAGGAGGGCUUGGUUCAUGCUCUCGACAUCUAGGAUGCCAAGCCCCCCUUCCCUCUUACUCUUACACACGUUCUUCCACGCCAUCAAGCAGCCCUUGCCUACAGAGUUGCGGCCUCCAUUCCAGAAAAAAUCUCUUCUAAGAGCUUCGAAAUUCUUAAUCGCCCAUUUGGGGGCAUUGAACACAGACAGGAAGUACAGGGGUAAGUUAGUGAGCACCGCGUUUACCAAAAUCAAUCUACCCCCUCUAGAGAGGAGUUUGGCGUGCCACCCUUCAAUUUAGUUGUGCAAAUAGUUGGUAAGCAGUUGAUUUGGCAUUCUUAGGAUGAUGCACCCCCAACUGUUUCUUUUCCUUAUUUAUAGACGAGUGCUGGGCUUCUCACAAUCUUUUAUACUCCACAUAUAGACCUGGUCUUAUCUGGCAUUUGGGAGAGUUGCAUUGCAAGAAGAUGGAGCAAUCACCUCAAUCUUUCUCUGGCUUUUACAGUUUUAGAUGGGGAUCAACUCGACCAGCUUGUUGGAUUCUCUUACUUGGUUUUCUCAUUCGAGUUUUGGUCACAUCUGCAGAUACAAAUCCUCAGGAUGGUAUGUUUUGGUUCCAAUUUGUAUGUUUCAUGACUAUCUAUUGUUAUUAUGUUCAAUGCAAAGACAUGAUGAAGUUCACUAGGGAGUUGAAUCUUUUGCCAUUGACAUGUUCUAGAAAGCCACAAAGAUAUAUUUUUUCCUACUAAGUAGAAAUUGCAAAAGAUGAAGUUAUAGAUGUCACAUAGCAUGCAUCUUUCCUGUGUAGCUGCUGCGCUCGAAUCCCUCACCAGUCAGUGGCAGAAUACGCCGUCCAACUGGAUCGGUUCGGACCCUUGCGGUAGCAAUUGGGUUGGAAUAAAAUGCGCCAAAUCCCGCAUAGUCUCCAUGUUAGCAGCUCAACAACUUUCUUUUAUUUUGGUUAGAGAUUUCACCACCAAUUGACAUAAAUCUUUCAUCAUAAUUCUCAUUUUGUUCCACUGUACUCCAAAAAUAGGGUAAAUCCCUGUUUAAUCAAAAAAAAAAAAAAAAAAAAAAAUCUCAUUUUGGCAGAACUCUGUCGAGCUUGGGACUGAAAGGAACUCUUUCCGGAGAUAUCCAAUAUCUAGAGGAAUUGCAGGCUCUGUAAGUUCUCUAACAUUUGGUGCUUCACAUUUUGUAUUUACAUGAUGAACAACGCAAACGCAAGUUAAACAAUCCUGGUGCCAAUGUAUUGAGGCUGUUGCAUCACUUCAUAUAUCUGUUAAUAAUCCUUCUUAUGCAACACUUUUUUUUAACUUAUUCCAAGCUUAUAUUUAUACAGGGACUUGUCUUACAACAAGGGCUUGACCGGACAACUUCCUGCAUCAAUUGGGCGCUUGAGCAGACUCAUCAAUUUGUAAGCAGCAAAAGAAAAAAAAAAGAAAAAAAAAGAAAAAAGGAAGUUUGCAUUCUUGCUUUAAUCCGUAAGUAAUAUUGUGUUUUUUGUGUUCUCUAUCCAGGAUUCUUGUUGGUUGCAGCUUCUAUGGUCAACUACCUGAUGAGAUUGGUUCAUUAUCAAGGCUAGUCUUUUUGUAAGUAACCAGAACCUUUUUCUUUUUUCUUCUUUUUCUACCUCCUUAUGUUUUCAUAAAUUUCCUUAAUAUGAUGGUGCUUAAAUGCUUGCGUUAUAUGUCUACAGACCUUUGAACUCUAAUGGCUUUACGGGAAACAUACCUCCAACCAUUGGCAAUCUCUCAAAACUAUACUGGCUGGAUUUGGGCGGCAACGAACUUACAGGAUCAAUUCCAGUCUCUGAUGGCACUACUCCUGGCCUCGAUUUGUUGACGCAUACGAAGCACUUGUAUGUUUUCUUUCUCCUCUAAACCAUUGGUUUAUUCAAGAAGUUCAUGCGUUUGGAACUAACCGGAUGAAAACUGCACGUGUAAUUGCGUUACAGCCAUUUCGGCAUUAAUCAGCUAUCUGGCGCCAUCGCAAGUAAACUCUUCAGCUCGAACAUGCAACUGAUUCAUGCGUAAGUACUGUAAUAAUCCUUCGUAUUUCCUACACCUAAGUUGAAGUUGUCUUUCUAAGUGGUAACUACUCUUUGUUGCUCAGGCUGUUCGAUAAUAAUAAUUUCUCGGGGAGCAUCCCUUGUACAUUAGGACUCGUGACGACUCUAGAGGUCCUGUAAGUAUAUAUUUUGCAUAUACGAUCUACGAUGAGUAGGGUUUUCAGUUCCAUGGACUUCUAAUUUCGGUUGUAAUUAUAUGCGGCAGACGCCUGGAUAUGAACUCGUUGACUGGCCCCGUUCCUACCAACCUGAACAACCUUACUCGAGUUGCAGAACUGUGAGUUACUUGGUCAUCAUUUUGGUGGAACUUUUGGAUUUUAUGGAUUUUUCAAUAAAUGAUGAGUUUAAAAGUUUCACUAAACAUAUCAUUACAUGGCUUCUUUUUUCUUUUAAAUUUCAUAUCCCAGGCAUCUAGCAAAUAACAAACUGACGGGUCUAUUGCCGGAUUUAACUGGAAUGAAUGCCUUAAAUUUUGUGUAAGUUGUUGUAGAAAUUUUUACGUACAUUUGUCUCUCGUUGACUUAUUGAAUUGCAAAUAAAAAUAUCAUUGGGUUUAGUGAUUCAUAGAUCUCUGGACUCUGCUAGUGCUAUUAAACAACAUGACAAUGUUGUCUCUAAACUAAUUAUACUAUUAGAUACACAGGGACAUGAGCAACAACUCUUUUGAUGCAUCAGAUAUUCCACGCUGGUUCGCAUCAUUGCCAUCUUUGACAACAUUGUAUCUCUCUCCUCUCUCUCUCUCUCUCUCUCUCUCUCUCUCUCUCUCUCUUGACAUUUCUCUGCCAAAAAUUCUAUCAUCUAAAUUAGAUAGCCUUAUCUAACCAUUGACUUUCAGACGUGAUAUUUUUCAACAUGACAUAGAGCAUAAACAAAUUGGAUAUUUUGCUUUUGUAUAAUCAUUCUCUAUAUAAGAACAUUUAUAUCAAUUGCAAAAACAGAAGGAUCCAGUGAGUUUAAUAGUUCGGACCUGUCAAUUAUGUUCACUACUGACCUUUACAUUUUUAUCCUGAUGACAUAAUCGACAUCCACAACGAAUUCUUCUACAGCGUAAACUCUUCCAACCUAUCUUUAAUGGAAACCUGCAGUCUCAUCUAUCACUCAAAAUUAGAAUUUCAGGCUUCAGUUGUUCUCACUUUGGACUGGUUGUUGGAGUAUAGGGUGAUUUGUUUGGAUUGUAAAGGUUCCCUUGUUAGCGAAAGCAACACUGUUUUCGUAAUGCCCAUUUUGAAACUAGUGAGAAAUAUGAUAGAAGGGCAAAUGCAUGUGAUUCAAAAUGAAAUUCAUUAAUAUCUUGUAAUUUCUUGUUACUGCAUAUAUCUGGAGUACCUAAAAAUUGGAGGGCAGCUACCCCAGGGUCUGUUAAGCGCUUCUCCGAUGCAGACACUGUGAGUACUUAUUAGUCUAAAUGAAUGGUAUAUUUCCCGUCCUCGCACAAAAAGAUGGUAACAUUUGGAGAAAUUGAUGCAUUAUCCCAAGAGAUUGAUCCUGACUAAUCUUUUUUUUCUUAGAAGCUACAUAUGGUUUUAGUGCUGAUUCUCUUUUCAAUUAAAAUGUAAUUUCAUUAAAUGUGAACUUGUCGAGGCAGGAGGCUUAGGAACAAUCGCUUUAAUGGCACUCUAAAUAUUAGCUCAGACUACAGCAAUCAGCUUGAACUUAUUGAUCUGCAGAACAAUCAGAUCAGUGCGAUAAUAGUUGGUGGAGGAUACAACAAACAAAUCAUGUAAGCAAUUAAUCUUUCUGCUACAUGGCAACAAAGCAUGUAUCAUGUUAAAUUUUCUUUUUCUUGUGGGAAUUUUGCAACUACAAAUCAUUUAUUUACAUAUCUACCUCUGUAAAAAUCUGAAUGUUCAUAGGUAGCCAUUGAGAGUGCAACCACCAGUAAUAUUUUUUUUUUUCUCUAUUAAGUAUGCUUUCGUGCUAUGCGGCAGACUUGUGGGCAACCCGGUUUGUAAGAAUGGUGGAAUCAAUCUCCCAUACUGCAAUACUUUGCAAAACUCUGCUCCGUCGUACUCAACUCCUAAGAACUGCGUGACGCUGCCGCCUACUUGUUCUUCAGAUCAGAGUCUAAGUUCCAACUGUAACUGCGCAUUUCCAUAUAUGGGCACUCUAUAUUUUAGAUCUCCAUCCUUUUCGGACCUUGGAAACACGACAUAUUAUCUUACCUUGGAACAAGCACUCCAAAAGUCGUUUACGAUUAAUCAGCUUCCUGUAGACUCCGUUUCGCUGUCACACCCUUUUGUAGAUUCUAGUAACAAUUUGGAGAUGAGUCUGCAAGUUUUUCCAAGCAGCAAAAUCCGUUUUAGUGAGUCAGAUGUUACUGGGGUUGGUUUUAUCCUCAGCAAUCAGACGUUUAAGCCUCCGACCAUUUUCGGGCCCUACUAUUUCGUCGGACAGGAGUACCCUCCUUUUACUGGUAAAGUCAUUUAAUCUUUAACAGCCGAUACUAAUCACAUAGCGAAGGAUUUGUGAGAUUUUCACAUCUCAUUAUGCUGUUCUGCAUGCAGUUCCUGCGCCAGCGCCAACACCAAAUCACUUGCCUAUCAUUGUCGGAGCAACAAUCGGCGGUGUGGCUCUGUUAGUAACACUGAUUAUUCUUGGCGUUUUUGUUAUUAAAAGACGGAAACAAACCAAAAGGUCUGAAGAUGCUAGAAGCCGGUCGUAUGGUAAGUUUCGCCGACAAUUUAAGUUGGACUUCCUUUGACCUACUAUUAUUGUUUAUGCAUUUUGCUCAAAUUUUAUUUGCCUACAGUUUCGUGGGAUCCCAGCAAAAGCAGUGGUAGCAUACCACAACUUAAAGGAGCAAGAUUAUUUUCCUUCGAAGAACUAAAGAAAUGCACCAAUAACUUUUCUGAAGCCAAUGAGAUUGGAAAUGGCGGUUACGGAAAGGUAAUCCCUUACUUUGCACUGGUUCAUAUUGGUAUAUGUUAUAACGAAGUAUAUAAUCUUCAUGAAUAAGCAUUUAUUUAUGUAUACGACGGCAAUAAUUGGUGAGGUUGUUUUUCCAGGUGUACAGGGGAACACUGAGUAAUGGUCAAUUGAUUGCUGUCAAAAGAGCUGAACAGGGCUCCAUGCAAGGUGAGUCGGAGUUCAAAACCGAGAUCGAGCUGCUCUCUAGGGUCCACCACAAGAAUCUUGUCAGUCUAGUUGGUUUCUGCUUUGAUCAAGGUGAACAAAUGCUCGUCUACGAGCACGUCCCAAACGGUACUCUAAAAGAAAGCCUAUCAGGUAAUGUCUGAUUCUUAUUCGCCUCUCGGCAUACUCUCUUUUGAAUUUUAUUCGCCUCUCUAUCGGGUAAUCUUUGAUUCUUUUUUACACCGACUGCUAUUUGUGCAGGAAAAUCUGGGGUGCGCUUAGAUUGGAAAAGGAGACUUCGCGUUGCACUUGGCGCCGCUAGAGGUCUUACCUACCUGCAUGAGCUCGCGAACCCUCCAAUAGUUCACAGGGACAUUAAAUCAAGCAACAUUCUCCUUCAUGAGCAUUUAAAUGCCAAAGUUUCUGAUUUUGGACUCUCUAAAUCGCUUGGAGACGAUGCAAGGGGUCAUAUUACCACUCAAGUGAAAGGAACAAUGGUUAGUGGCUGUCUUUUGAUGGUAGAACACACAUGUUUUUGUUUCUUUUUAGUCAAAAACUGACAAAUAUUUAUGGAUAUACACCUGCAAAGCUAAAAAUCUGAGUUUCGGUAUAUACGCUAAAAAAUUUCAAUUCUAGCGUAUAUACCCUUCUACUUACAAAACCAACUUCCUUGCAUGAAAUUGGAUUACUUCCCAAAUUACCAUAAGCUAUGUUUGAAGUAAAAAAAUUUGCAUUUUGAGGGGUAUACCCAAGACCUCAAAUUUUACAGGGGUUAAAGAUAGGUGAUUUUGCCGGAAUUUGCAUGUAGAAGUCCUUAUUAGCAUGCACUCUUGAUGCAGGGAUAUUUAGACCCCGAAUACUACAUGACACAACAGUUGACCGAGAAGAGCGAUGUGUACAGCUUUGGGGUCUUGUUGCUAGAGAUUAUCACUGCAAAGAAGCCCUUGGAGCCAGGCCGAUACGUCGUAAGGGAGGUUAAUGCGAUGAUGGACAAGUCGAAGGAUCUCUACAGCCUACAUGAGCUUCUGGAUCCAGCUUUAGGCUUAGGUGCCGCACUUGGCGGGUUCGAGAGAUACGUGGACUUGGCGAUGAUGUGCGUAGGAGAGUCGGGACUUGAUCGGCCCAAGAUGAGCGAGGUGGUGAACGAGGUUGAGAAAAUCAUGCAGAUGGCCGGCAUGAACCCGAAUGCUGGUUCUGCAUCUACGUCGAUGAGCUAUUAUGCCGAGACGAGUAAGAGCCCUAUUCGUCACCCUUAUAGUAACGAAGGCUCCUUCGACUACAGUGGCGGCGCGCCUUCACCAAAGCUAGAACCAAAGUAAUUAAGUUCCGGUAACAUUUCCUGUUGUUUGUUCUUCAUUUCGACAGAACAAAAGAAGCAGCAAAAUUUGAUGUAUAUGCGCCUUCGAUCAAUGCCUACGAUUGAUACAUGUAUUGCAAAACUUGACAAUGUUGUAAGUGUUGUUGUUCAAUUACAGACGAUCUCCCGAUACCACUGAAAAAAGUGUUUGUGUCGUGUGUGGAAGAAGAGCAAAUUGAAAAAAGUGAGCCAUUAAAAACAACAAUAAUAACACAACCUGUUUCCGGUGAUCUCAACUUAAUUAUUUUGGUCCGGAAAUUAACAAAAGAAUACCAAAAGUUCUGAAUCAUGUGUGCCGGAGCGUUAGUUAGUUUCGAUCGACUCUCCAGCUUAUUUGCUUGGAUCGAUCCUGUGAUCGAUUUGGUCUUUCUAAGUUUUUUUAAGUUACGGGCUUCUCCAGCAGAGCGGAGACAUACCACUCGUCCUUCCGGAUCCCCCGGUCGAGCUUCCGCCCCGCCGCCCAGCGCAGCUUCUUGAACCCGAUCCGGUCGAACAUGGGCACGUAGGUGGCGUUGAGCUGCGAGCCGAGGCAGAAGAAGUGGUCGAGCCAGAACAGGCCCCCGGGGCGCAGCACCCUGUAGAUGUCGUACAGCGCGAACUCCAGCAUGACGUCGGGUAUCCAGUUGCUGAGCACGUGCAUGGAGUGCACGACGUCGAGCGUGUGGUCGGCGAAGGGGAGCCGGUGGGCGACGCUGACGUGCAGGGGCACGAGCCCGCGCGACGCGAUGAAGCUGUUGAACGGCCCGUCGAAGUUCAUCGUGCUCGUCACGACCGUCACGUUGCGCUCCCGCAUCCGCGCCGCGAAGGUCCCCGUGCCGCCGCCGAUGUCGAGCCCGAUGCGCACCGCGCCGGGCCGGCGCGUCCGCAGCACGUCGUCGAUGCCGAAGUCGAGCCCGCCGUUGUCGGAGAGCCACCGGACCUUCUCCCUCCCGCGCAGCAGGUCGAAGCAGUCCUUGCAGUCGUAGGAGCCCUUCGCCCUCCCCCUGUUCACCAGGCAGCUGUAGUUCUUGCAGCUGUACGCGUCCCACGUGAUGCUCGUGUCCGGGGGGAUCGUCCACAUGCUCUCCGGGAACGGCGUCGGCUCGACGUAGUUCGUCGGGGACCUGGGCCUGCACCGGCGCCGCGGGAGCGGCUCGCAGCCCUUCAGCAUGAGCCGCUGCGCGGAGAUCUCGUCGGACGGGCACUCCCGCCCGACCUCGUACGACAUGUACGCGAGCAGGUCCGCCUGGUGGCGCCGGCACGCGGCGCCGAGCACGGGGUAGAGCUCGUCGCUGCCGAUGUUCGGGGUGAAGCCGAGGGGGAGCUUGUGCGGGGACGCGACGAGCUUCAGCUCGCCGGAGAGCUCGCCGUCGCCGAGCCCGUCGGGAUCGUCGCCGUGGAGGCGGCCGAGCUCGGAGAGGAGGGUGUCGAGGAGGGAGCUGGCGGCGGAGCAGCGGAGGCGCAGCUCCGCGAGCGCGACGUGCGCGUCGGCGAGCUUCGCGCGCGUGGAGUUGAGGUCGCGGCGGAGCGCGUCCGAGUCCCAGAGGUGGAUGCGCGGCGCGUGCUCCGGCCACUGCACGUCGAGCGUCGCGCCGGAGAACAGGUACACGGAUAGCAGGUUCGUCGAUAUCACCAGCAGCAGUAUCUUCAGCUUCGUUCGCUUACGACACCUUUGCUGAUUCGAUCUUCUCGAGUAGAGAUGAUGCUCGUGAUCCUCCGCGCCCCCCAUUUUCCUCUCUCUAUGAUCGAUGGAAGUGAUCUAGAGUUAAGCAUGGGAGGAGGAUUUUAAUAUUAAUGCAUGCAUCAGCAGUGCAAAAGAAUUAGUGGCUUCAUUAAAAGGCAUUAAUGGGUGUUCACAUAUGCCUAACGCGCUGAGUUAGCGGGGGAGGAAAAAUCUCGGUUGCUUGUGAAAAAGAAAGUGGGGGGAAUGGGAAGCCCAAUCUCUAAGAUUCCGAUAUAAUUCGCAGGAAAGUUUAUAUAUAUAUAUAUAUAUAUAUAUAUAUAUAUAUAUAUAUAUAUAUAUAUAUAUAUAUAUAUAUAUAUAUAUAGUAAGUUUUUACUAUUAGAUUUACUUCUCAGAUCAUUUUCAACCGUUAGAUUAUAUUAUUCAAUCAAUCACCCACUCAACUCUAGAGAGCUCACAUCAUCCUAAUCGUAUAUUUCUUAAUUCAAUGGCUAAAAAUUUACAAGCAUCAAUAACUUGAUACUUUUAAAAAUAUAAGAGCUCAAUUUUAUAUAUAUAUUAAUUAUACUCGUCCUCAACAAGUAUAUUGAAUUGUUAGUUUAUUAUGUCGGGGUCCUCGCUCACCGUAAUUCGGCGUUGGUUUCGUUCGAGAUGGGUCGACACACCCCUUUAGUUUAUGCAAGUGCUAAGCGCAGAUCCGAUCUACCUUGAGGAGAGUAGUUACCGAAACUUGGUCCACCGUGCCAUAAUUAGAAGCUGAGGGGUGUGAUUAUUUAUUGCAAUGCACGAAAAGUAACUUAGACUUGCAAUCACAAAAGAAAAUUAUAAAAGUACUUUUAUAUAUUUUAAUAAUAAAACUAUUUCCUCAAAAAUAGUUUGACGAAAGGCGUGGGGAACAACUUCUCCACCACUACUAUGUCCUGUACUAUUAGAAGAAAAGGUUAAAAGACCUUCCUUAUCUUUAUUUUUUAUUUUUAUUGGUCAAACGGUACAGAUACGCGUUGAUCUCGCUCUCGGAAUAGUGCAUGUUCGAGCCAAAUUGUUUUUAAAAUUGGAGUGCGAUGAAUGCGCCCUUUCUCUGCUGGAAUGUUUCCAAUAAGACCCUGGGUUCAAGUUAUCGCACAGAAACGGGCUGGGCCAGGCCAGAAUAUAUCACUUGCUUAUGUAAGUCAUUUUUUCACCCCAGCAUAGCCCAUUGAUAUAAAAAAUUAAGACGAGAUUUGGCCCAGCCAAGUGAACUGGGUUGGGCCUAUCCAAUUUUGCAGUAACACAAAAUCCAACUGGCCAUGGAAGGGCCAUUUUCAUUAUUAAUUUUUUUUGAGAAAUAGGUAGCCAGCUACCCGCUUCAUUUAUUAGAAAGAUAAACUAAGCUUAUAAAAUGGAAGCAGCCAGGGCUUCCGGAGGCUAUUUUCAUUAUUAUUAUUUAUCAUGAAACAUGUAUAAGAUAUUUAUUUACUCAUAUACAAUAUAUAUGAAAAUUUUCCUUUUCCCCCUCUAUGGUGCUUUCAUAUUAUUGCAUCAUUGGUUGGGCAAGUUUGUGCUAGCUUUUUUAAGUUGUCAAUGAUCAUAACCAGCUUCGUGUUGAGCCGAUUGACUAAGCACUUUGGCAACCAUCCAGCAGGGUCUAACUGCAAAAAUAGAAGUUCAAAAAUUUUAAAUAAAAAAAAGGAUAAAUUCACUUGUUUAUUUAUAAUAGAAAAGAAAAAAAAAAGCAAAAUUUCAAGAUUAUUAUUACUUAUAUUGUGAAAUAUGUUGGAGAAAUCUCCAGAAUGUUAGGAAUAUAGUUAAUUCUUUGUUUUUUUUUUUUUUAUCAUGAAAUUUUGUUGCAGUUUGGUUUUCAUGAACACAAAUGUCAAUAAGAUUCAAUACCAUAAUUUCAAAACUAGAUGAUCCAUACCAAAUGUGUAGAGUAAGAAUGCUAUUUACCUGAAUAACGUAAGUCACGAUGCACGAAUCGUCGUCGAGCUUCUCGACCACCCAUCCUGACUGCAGCAGCAGCCCACGGAUCGAAUUGCUCUUCUUCGGCAUCAGUCCCGCAGCGAUCUCCUUCGGUAGAGAAGCUACAGCAACUACCUAAAUAAAAAUCGAAAAUAUUUCCAGCAUUUGCUCUUCUCAUUUCCAUCAACAACGAAAUUUCUUAACUAAAAUAAUGUUCGAUAUUUGAAGUGCAUCUUAGUUACCAGUGUUCCAUCAUCCAUAGUCUCACGCCGUUCGUAGACGAUGAACUCUCUCUUCUUGAAGAGCGGUUUCGACGCGUCCCCGAACUUGAGGUGGAUGAUACUGAGGUUAUCACUUAGGCCCUUUAUGUACUUGGCUUCGACUAGGUCAUGGUCCCAUUGCUGUAAGAUGCAUACAGCUAGAAGUUUAAUUACUAGCCAUGUUUUAAAGGGCAAAGCAAAUAUAAAACAUUGUUACAAUAAUAUGUGGCUAUGAUCAACAUUCACGAUAUAUUGGCUAAACAGUGCAGUGAAUUGUUUUACAUGCAGAUAAUCAAAUGACACAUGAUAUUUUUCUUUACAAUUUAUCAAAUGGAUAAGAAAGAAAGAAAGAAAGAAAGAAAGAAAGAAAAAAACCGAUGUAAGAUCGUCUCCGAAGAUAAUGAUUAUUCAAAUAGUCGGCGGUCAUACCAAAUCAAUCUAGACUAAUAAUAAUAAAUAACUAUUCUCAACCAAAUUACAUUUAGUGAAAGCACUAAAGACUUUUUAGACCAUCAUUAAAAGACACCAGGAAAAAGGAAUAGAGAUUUUUCCUGUAAACCAUUAUAAGCUUUAACUUUUAAACCUUAAUGUGAUUCUUAAUCCACAUAUGACCCUCCAUGUAUAAUUAAUUCCCAUGUGAAGGGGCUGCACACACCCCUUCACUAGUUCACUCCCUCUUCAUCAAGGUGACGUGUUUGGUCACUUGCCAUCACUCAUGCAUCUUCCUCGUAUGCUCCUCGUUUUCCUAUUCCCCAGCUUCUCCCAGAAGUGCUUUUGUCCUUUUGGAGGGGGGGUUGCGUUGUUUGCUAACGAGUCCUGCAGUAGCUGUUUCUCUGUUGAUCCAUUCCUACUCUGACAAAGCGCGCUGACGAUACCAUCAAAUGGAUCCCAUAUGAACAGUAGUAACUACUUAACCAACUUGUCAACUUGCUCGCACGGUCAAAAUCCCAAGCACUGGCUAUAAAUUUAAAUCCGACUCUUCCUUCGGCCGUGGAUAUAGAAAAACUGUUGAUGUACUAACAUAUAUUUAUACCAAUACUUGUACUUCGGGUUUAGGACAUUAUACAGGCUAUCAACAUAAGCCUAGAUUCAUUUCACCUCGACUUUCAAUUAAAACCACUAGUUAAUUAAUAGUUACAAUUUCUUGAAAUUUACGAGUAGUUUUUGAAAGUGAUCAUAUGGAGGUCAAAAAAGUAAAUGAGUUUUUGACUAUUAAUAGUGAGAGCUAUAAUUUACAAUUUCUUCUUUUGCAUUAUAUACAAUGUGCUACUUUUGUAUGUAAUAUGGGAUUAUUAUUCUUUGCAUCUAGAAGGAUAAAAGGCUAGUGAAAUUUGUUUACCUUUGCAGCAUCGAUGGCAUUGGCGACAGUGAUGAACUGCUGGGGGGAGACGGACCGUAGCAGCCACCGGCUUCUGAAGACAUGGAGAGAUCCUGAGGACCGCUUCGAUAUCUCGACACCAUUCUCAAAUGCCAACACCUUCCACCCGUCCCCGCCAGCUCCCCCAGCCCUCGUCCGACGCCGUUAACAGCUCCUGUAUGCAGCUCUCGCUCGCAUAUGACACGUACCUUCUCAACGAAUCAUCGCUAACAGACCUAAGAAAGCAACAAAAAAAAAAAGAAAAAAGAAAGAGAGAGAGUUAAAGAGAGAACUAAAAUAGAUAGUGUAGAGUGUUCUAAAGAUGGCAAAUAAUUAUGUACCAAGAACGAGUGCAUGGAGUAAUGGGUGAAGUUGGGGUGCUCAUUGUGGGACUUUGGGUAGUGAUUGUUAUGGGAGUGAUAUUGUGUUAUGCAUAUAUAUAUAUAUAUAUAUAUAUAUAUAUAUGUGUGUGUGUGUGUGUGUGUGUGUGUGUGUGUGUGUGUGUGUGUGUUUAAAGGGGGGAGGUGAGGGGAAGCAAAAAAGGAAGUGGGUUUGUAGUGAUUGGGGCACAUGGAGGGGGCAGUGGAAGAAGCCCAUGAGAUUGAGCAAGCACGUGCUCUAUCCCACACAAGCAUUAAAGAAGAGAUUCUUUCCUUUAGAGAGGAGAAGGGGAAUGAGAGGGAGUAGGGGAGGUAAAGCACAUGGAGUGUUGGGUUCAACCACAAGGAAAGAAUACGGAUCAUAAUUCAUAAAAGCAAAUUAAUAAAAAACAAAAGAAAUGGUGUUUGAGUAAAUUUGUACGAAACUAAUAGUAUAACUUACCAAAAUCUCCUCGUCGAUGAUGUUGGCAGCAUAAUCCUCUCUCAUUACGAGCAUAUGCUUGUCAGACGGGCCAGGUCAUCGGGCCAGGUCAUCGGGCCCGCUGCGCUUUCGUGGCAUUUUCUUUAACACCUGCACGACUAAUUACAGCAACUCAUAUGCAAGUUGUGAGUUUAAAGGUUUAGCUGUUGAUGGGCAUUGGACCCACAUCUCCAUAUUUAAGCUUGAAGUUAACAGUGUUUCUCAUCUUUCUAAUAGUGCUGUUUCUCGAAAGGAGUGGUGUAAAAAGGAUGACAACAAAGUUGAUACCAACCACACCGAAAUUGCGUCAAAUCGAUUCCUAAAGGUUCUUUGAAAGGUGCAUGUUGUAGAAGAUGCUUAUAUGCCUGAACAAAGCUAAAUUGUAAGCAAUGAAGAAUUCAGGCCUUGAGGAGCAGAAUAAUAUCUUUCAUGCACAAAAAGAUUCCAACUCUUUUGUAAGAAACGAAAGAAGAAGAUCAUCUAUAUUUUGUAACACAAGAGCGUGAAAGUAUGCAGGCAUUUAGGAACUAGAACACUUAUUUUCGGAUAAUCAUGUUGAAAAAGUAUGCACAAAAUUUUGUGAAUCAUGAUAUGUAUCAUACAAAAGCCCUCGGAAUCUUCGAUUCUUUAAUUUCUUUGGCUUCUUUACUGUAACUGUGUGCUGAAGAGAGUCCAAGCUGAGUUUAUUCUGCAAAACUGUCAAUAUUGAUAGUUUACAAGUCGACAAGCUACUGUAUUAAGAAAUCUAUUAAGAAAAGCAAGCAAGUAGUGGACACACUUGUAAGUGAUUAAGUAUUUAAUUAGUUGAACUGAAUAAUUUAUUAGGAUUCAGAACACUUUAAAGACAAUGGAGAGUUUGCAUGAGCUGCAUCUUGUACACUGCCAAUGGGAUCUCGACAAUAAAAUAGCAAGCCAACUCAGAGAACAUUAGUUUUCAUGAUACUACUAAAAUAAGCAGAAAUGAAGCCUUCGGAUCACAUCACAUAGUUAUAAACAAGCAUCAGAUUCAAUUAAGGGACAUUGACCUUCAUUAAGAAUAAUUAAAGAUGCAUUAUUGACAUAAUAUCUUCAGGAUUUGAAAUGCGAGGAGGCAUUAAGUGCAAAUCAGGAUACAUAAAAUUAAAUAACAAAACAUUUGAUGUUACAAGAGGAGCACUUCAAUCAUUUUAUCUGAUGUUUGCAUGCUGUCACUCUUGGAUCUUACCCAAAUGUUAGCUGGAAUGUCUGUCACUCUUGGAUCUUGCCCAAAUUUUAGCUGGAAUGUCUCUUAUCACAAUAAAAUAUGAACUUCUUUCAAACAUCCCUGAGGAAGUUCGGGAGAAGAAAGAAAAAGGUAGAUGCUGAACAAUAACCUGUCAAAAAAUGAAGUUCGAACAUGAAAUUUUUCUAACUAUAACCAAAUUCCCUCACCAGAACUCCAGAACUGCAAUUUACAAACAAUUUAAUUUGCCUGAAAAUUUUAUUUUCUGGUUGGCAUUUCAUAUGAUCUGUUAUUUCUUUUGUUCGAAGAGAAAAGAGGAGAUUCAGAUAUAAGCUGAAUCAUAUGACAUGUUAACUAAGUGUAGUAAGAUUUUGCACAAAAACAAACCCCAGAUCAAGCUUUUUUUUUGCUGUAAAAGAAUUGACAGACUAAUUUCAUUGUCAGUUCUCAGAACCAAUGUUUCCCCUGUCAAGCAUUAUGUUCUCAUUUCAUCUGAUUCAAAAAAUUGGAAAUGUAAAGUAACUAGUGGAACUUUGGGCUUUUAUUGACAUAUACAAUAUUAAAGCUACAUAUAUAUAUAUAUACAUAUACUCAAAAUAUAUGGAUGGAUGGAAGGAAGUACACCAUGUGGAUCUACGCCCUUAGUACUCAUUAUAUCUUAGAGAUGGGACCAAAUGUAGACAAAAAAAUAGACAAGAAUAAUGCCUGUGGACCAUGUUAAGCAUAUAUGAAUAAUGUCAGUCUAUCGAAGGAUAAGAACAAACAACAGAACCACGACCACAUGUAGGAACAGCACCACCUUCAUAUGCUUCUGCUUUCCUUAAACUUCAAGAAGCAGACGACAUCGAGAAAAGAACAAUAACAUGUACAUAAUCAUGCGCUCUCCGAGAUCUAGCCAAUGGUCAACAGGUAGUAGGACCUAACAGUCAUUGCAGUCAAAGCUAACCUGAGGUCUACAGACGAAAUUGUCUGAAAAUUUCGCCAAAAGAUCCAAAUGCGCCAUGUUGCCUGUCCUAGGGUCCUGUUUGUUGUCACUCUAACUAACUAAGCUGGCCUCACAUGAAUCUUGUCUGAACAUCGUGGUCCUUAAAUGCGUUUGCAUUAUUUCUCGUUGAUGGAUGACUUGUAGUAUGACUCAUACUACAAGAAUGCCCGCGAAUUUUGUUUGACAUAAGCUAUGAACAUGUGAAUUGGAUAAAAAGCCACAUGGCUACAUACUCUGAUUUUUGAGAGAAAAUGAUUAACCAUAAGAGACAGGAACUGUCACAUGUUUCAAGUAAAAAUAGCAUAUAUUGUUCAAUCGCUGUCCUCAACUUAUCCAAUCUCUUUUUCCUUUUUUCCGCUUACAACUUGUUGUAAACAUCUGAACAUUUUUACCUGAGCACUUCAGUAAACAGAAACUGUAUUAUUUCCUGUUUCUCUCUAUCAAUUUGUUUUCUGAAAAUGUUCUAAUUCGUCCUCUGGUUUCUUUUUGCCACAAUCAGAAAUCUAUCAGUCCACAAGAGGAAGAUUUCCGAAGUGUUCAACUUAAACUACUCAAGCAGCUUCAUUCAAUCAAGACAAGCAUAAGCUAUAUUAAUUAACUGCUUAGUACUUUUUACAUGACUAUAAAAUCAUCUAAUUUUUAAGAUUAGGCCGGGAAACAAUGAAAAACUAGAGCCUUUUGACAUGAAGUUUUCCACCAAAUACUCCUGGCCGUUUCAAAUACAAAAUCUUUUUUUCACUUUGUGAAAUUUUAUUCUGUUCUUUAGUUUCCCCAUGAUUUUAAAGGUUUAAAUCUUCAAUUAUACAGUUAUGAGAUCGACAAAGAACAAGUAGAAAAAUGUAAUGUGACAUAUAAGCAACCAGUGCAUCAAAUCUGGCUAAAGGUUUUGAUCACAUAGUCCAACUUAUAACAGGGGAUACAUGAAUGUAUACGUACCAAGAUUCUUCUUCCAUACAAGCUAUUGCCGUUAUAAGCAUUUACCUCUUUCUGAAACCAUUUUCUUUAGUCUUUUCAGUUAAAUUGAAUAUUCACUUUAUAGGAAAAGAGUAUAGUUAGCUAGGCAUCAACAUCCAUUCCACGAGUUCAGAAAGAUUGGCCACAUACAUCUUUCACAUGAAUUUUAAUAUUAUUAUCAGGAUAAAGAACAGAAACAUCAACAGAGAAUUACACGUAUCAUCUAACAACGUUGCCAACAAACUUGAACUUACAUCUUCAAAGUUUCCAGUAGAUUUUCAGUUUAUGCAAGAUUCCUGCAACAACUCCCCAAAACAAAAUCUCCGCAAAUAUAACAUACAAAAGGGUCCCCAAUCUCUCUGAAUGCCACACUUUAACAAAAAUAUGCUUGAAGAUCCAGUGGACCUGCAUAUAGAAGCAUACGCAAGCUUUAUUGCAUACAUGAUUUCUCUAAAGACUCUAAUCUUCAGCUUAAAAAGUGGUAUAUAACUUACCAGAGAGUGAUCAGGAUUUUCGUAGUACCACCCAUUGACAAAUGCAGGAAAGAUACCUUGAGCAGCCAUUACAAAAACAAGCAUCGCAUUCAUUCCGAUCCACUCUAGAAAGAGGAAUGGCAUUCUAAGACCCCACACAUCAAUCUACACAUCACAACGACAAAAAAUAAUUUAGAUAAUACUUGAGGAAACUGUAAAAAUGUCACACCAAAUAAAAGUACGGACAUCGUAAUUACGUAAGUACCAAUAUAUAGAAUGCCGAGAGAACGAUUCCUGCUGCCCCAGCCGUGAAACAAACAUAACUAAAACUGUAGAGUUGCUUAUUUAGAGGAAUGGCUACAAGACAAAAACUAAGUCAACUAAUGAUGACAAUAUCAGAGUUUACAUCAGUCCACAAGAUACUAGGAUGCCAUGACAGAAAUAAAGAGGAUAGAGAAUACCAUUGGUAGAAUGAAGGAUGACGGCGCAAAUUAAGAGAGAAAGCGCCAUUAUCAUCCAAUGUUUAAGCCUCUCCGAAUGACUCUAUAAAAAUUCAACAAAAUCAAUGAAUAAUAAAUCGUCAACUGAAAUUUUAGUCGCUAGUUGUAAAAUUAAUCGAAUAUGAGGAUCUGAUACAGUCAUAUCAAUAGUCAUGUAACUUCUUUAGAUAAACUACUAGUCUAUUGUAAGUUUUUGUGCAAGAAUAAAGUGUAGCAGGAUAACCUUGAAGUGAAUCAGCACAUGUCCAUAGUGGAUUCCGAUGGUUCCUGAAAGAAUCGCUGACACUGAGCUGGAAAAAACAUGCAUAAUAAUUUCAUCUUGCUUAGAACUUGCGAAAGUUAAACAUACUGUUAGUGUGCACAGCACUUCCAACUAGAAUUCAUCGAUUAAAAAUGAGCAGUUAGUUGAACCUCAACAAGCCUUCAGGUUCAAACGGAGCGAGACACCAACUAGCAGCAUCCACCCGGAGCAGGCCCAUGUUUGGUGAACUAUCCGUACAAUCCUGGCCGAUAAUAAUUUAUUCAGAAUAAGUUUCGCUGGUUCAAUUCUCUAUUCGCUUUAAAUAUCAGCUCAAAAGAGUCCCCACCUUGGAUCUUAUCCAAACUGGUUGAGUAUAGAGAUGGUUUAUCCCCCAUACUUGCCUAUCCACAUAGCCAACUGCAUUGCAAGCAGGAUCGAAAUGCCCUCUAACACCACACUUGACCUGAAAAACGCGAUAAUGCAUCAAUCAGAAUAUCCGAGUAAACGAUUACUAGGCUAUAUAUUCAAUUUAAGGCAAUUAAAUCUCCUAAGAGAGGCAAAGUUCUACAAAUGUACCGUAAAUCUUUUCCCAUCAUUCACAUCCCCAUCACUAUGGAAAACGUAGCUCCAAUCUGGAACAUAGAGCGAGAAUGUGGUGACCAUGUAUACGACAAAUGCAACGAACCCACCAAUCCUGGUAAAUCAACAAACCGUAAGUCUACACUAAAAUCAGAUAGAAAGAACUUUUAAAUUCCGUUAAACACUGAAUGCGGAGUAGAGCGAACUGCGCAUCAAGUAGGCCUCAGCAGACAGUGUAUGCAAUUUCGGGAUUUCACAUGCGCUGACGCAGAAUUUGCGCGCCAUAACUUGACCGGAACAACGACACGAACUUGUUCUGUGAUCAAUCAUACAAAUUUGGCCGAUAAGCGAACUGAAAGUUUGUACCAUUGCCAGCGAUACGCAUCGAAUAUCGCAAUAGGGCCCGAGGCGACGACGGUCGGCCGGACUUUUCUUGUUAAAGCCUCUAUAAGAGCCACCACCAAGUAAACCAAUGCUAUUCUCUGCUUAUUCCACAUUAAAGGAAGAUGAUAGAAAUCAAACUAGAAACAGCUAGAAUUAAAUAUAAACCUGAACUUUCAAAAGUCAUGUGACUGCCAAACCAUUAAAGUUUGAUGUAGAAAAGACCAAAGAAAAAAAAAAAAUGAUGUGCAGAAUGUUGAGAGGCAAACCUGGAGGAUGCCACACCAUCUGAUUUUCUUCAUAUCAACUCCAUAGGAGAGGUCAUCAGGAGCAUGGGAGUACCCACCUUCAUUGCACAUUUGCACCAACACAAACACCAACAAUUUUUUAUAAAAAAAAAACAAAAAGAGACACAAACCCAGCAUCAAAUACUCCAACAUGUUAAGGAAUUCUAAUACACAGGUACCUUGGAGGAGUAAGCCCCAGAAGAGGAGCUUGAGUGUUCUGAGGAGGAUCUUUUUAACUGCAUCACUAAGUUUUGGGACCCUCUGCAGCGAACAAAUUGAUGGAAAGGGUUCAGACAAGGGCUGUUUUGAUUUCAAAAACUUAAACUGCAGGAAUUUAACAGUUCCUGUCAAAAAGUUAAUGGAAUGUUCAGUUAUAAGUUAUAAAUAUUUUAUUGAAAAAGGUUAAGAAUAUUGUUCAAGUUUUUUUUUGAAGUAAAGAAUAUUAUUAUUAUGGGUUUUUUUUGCAUUUAGGACCCUGGCAAUUUUUAUUUAAAAAAUAGCCCUGUCAAAAUUUAAUUUGCAAAAAUGAACCUAGGCUUGCCACGCAGGCGCCACGUCAGCACCACGCGGGCCGGGCUAGGGGCCGUAGUUAAGUUAAAUAAGGUGAAUCAUUCACCGUGUCUAAAUACGGUGAAUGAUUCACCGUGUGUUUAGUACGUAUUUUUUGUAUAUUGAAAAGAGAAACAGGAAAUUUGUAUUCCUUUUCUUCUCGUUUUCAAAAAUCCGAACCUGAACCCGAAAAUCAAAUUAAAAUCCAAACCCGGAUCCGAAUCUAACGAAUUUUAAAAAUCCAUACCCAUAUCCAUAUCCGACCAAAAACUCGAAAUCCGAAUCUGAACUCAGCGGGUUUUAAAAUUCUAUACCGAUGGAUGAAGAUCUAAAAAAUAAAAAUUAUUAAAUAUUUUAUAUAUUGUAUAAAUAAACAAAAAUAAAUUAUGUAUAUAUAUAUAUAUAUAAUUUAUUCGGGUUUGGAUUCGGAUAAUAUUUCGAAUAUCCAUACCUACUGACAUCCCUACUUCCUAUUUCUCUUUUCAAUAUACAAAAAAUAUGUACUAAACACGAUAAACCAUUCACUGUGUUUGAACACGGUGAAUGGUUCACCGUGUUCAAACUUAACAUACGGGCCCCGACCUUGCCCUCGUGGCGCUGACGUGGCGCCUACGUGGCAGACGCAGGUCCAUUUUUGCAAAUUAAAUUUUGAUAGGGCUAAUUUUAAAAUAAAAAUUUGCCGAUGGGCUAAAUGCAAAAAAAGCCCUAUUAUUAAAGUUGGCAUGAUGAUGAAAAAACUGCAAAGUUAAAUAGUAAAAUUUAAAUGUCUAAAUUUUGUAUUUUAUUUUCGAAUUGUACUGUAGUCAGUACACUUUCACCUAAGAAUUUUUUUUUUUUUUUUAAACUACUAUAGUCUGGCACAUAUUCCUUAGUUUCAUAAUUGCAUAGCAAACUAGGGGUGGCAAUCUCGCUGUUCGUGGCUCAUGUUCUAUUUAAAAUAAGCUCAAGAUCAAAUCGUUUGUUUAUUAGUAAACAACUUGAAUAUGAGUCGAAUUUUUCAGCUCGUUUAAUAAACGAGUCGAACAUGAGUUGAGAUCAGCCUACGCAUGUUCGGCUCGAUAAAAUUCAAUUACAUAUAUUUUAUAUUUUUAUAUAUAUAAAUAAAUAAUUAUAUAAAUAUCAAAUAAAAAUUUUUCUUUAUUUAAUUUUUAACCAAACCUAAAUAUAAAGUCCAAUGCAAUUAUACAAAUAUCUAUUUAUAUAUAAAGUUUCAAUUAUUAGAUCAAAAUCUAAUUAGAUAAAAUCUUAUAUAUUUCUUCUGUAUAUAUAUUCUUUUUAAUUCUUUAAUUUGUUGUUUGUGAGCAAGCUUGUGUUCGGCUCGAUACUUUAACGAGCGAAAUACAAGCCGGUUCCAACUCGCUCAUGUUCGGCUCGUUGACACUCCUAUAUCAGACACAUGUUUGGGUAUUUUCAAACUAAACGUGAGUUUUAUAAAUUAAUAGAUUUUUGAAUUAAUAACUAAAGCUAUGGUAGAAAUUUGAAGAUUAUGUUCUCUUAAAAAAAAAAAAUUUAAGCACUAGUAUAGUGCAAUUUAUUCUUUCUAAAAUUCAAACUUAAAACCGAUAGUUUCUAGUGCAAGUCAUAAAGGGCUUUAUAGUUGGUACCCGAAGUCUUAAGUUUGAAUUCUAGUUAAUUUACAUUUCCAACCAAAUUUAUUUCUAAAUAAAAUAAACGAAGUGGGUAGCAUACUUUCUAUCUCACAAAAGAAAAAAAUUUCAAACCUUAAAAGCGAGAGCAAUGGCGACUCCGACAAUGAAGAGGAAGAAAGGCAUGACGAAAUCUGCAAGUGUGCAUCCGUUCCACGGCGAAUGAUCAAUUCGCUCGUACGCCCCACCCGCAUCAUCAACCAAUAUCAUCAACUACACCAUAUGAUCGACAAACCGUCACAAACAAAUUGUCCAAUAACAUUAAGGAGAAAACAAGAGAGCGAAUUAAAGAGAGAUCGAUAUAUCUCAUCUUACAACAAUAGUGAGCCCUCUAAACGCAUCCAAAGCUGCUACUCUUCGACUCCUUUUAACUUCAACUGCUUCUGGACCAACUUUUUUCUCCUCCUCGACUCCGUUCGCGCUCUCUUUACUGUCACCAACUUCGUCCCGGCGCAUGUCGAUGGCAUGCUCUCUCUCCUUUGCGACGAUGAUCUCCUUCUCUUCCUCCAUUCGAUCUCCUUCUUCCUUUCUAACUGCUAUGGUACUAAACCUUAUAAAUAGACAAAUGAAGAUGAUUGAGGGGUAGUAUAUAUUAAAUGUGAGAAAAAAAUAUAACAAAAGACAAAAUGUUCUCUCCAAAUGGCCUCUUUGCCGUAUGUUCUCCGAAAAGUUUUAUAUUGUAUUUUAGAUUCUAAUCAUAUCCGUGAGAGUGGAGUAGACGAGGACGUAAGCAGGAUAGUGCAGGAACAAAGUUUGAGACACAUAAAGCCGGCGUUUUUUUUUUUUUAUUUUUCAUAUAUUAUAAACUUCAAGCGUGAGAUUAAUCUAAUUUAAUUUUGAAUAAUAUGUUAGGAUUUGGGUUCGAGUUCAAUGUCAGGGUACGUUCCGUGCCACGUGAAGUGAUCGAACCAAUUUACCUGCUUAGUUUCGUGGAACCCAGGUUGGGGUUUAGAUAAUAUUGAUAUAUAGGUCACUAUAUAUGAUAACAACAUGGAAAUUUUAUUAGCCUUUAAUUAAUCAUAAAUGAUCAAGUUUAUUAAUUAACCUCGUCUCGUCGCCUUGUGUUGUGGAGCGUAGUUUUACCCAAUCGAAUGACCCACUUGAAACGUACCACUUUGUUUUUUUAUUUGACUAUUGGAGAGCUAAUUUGACUCGUGACCGGAACACUAACGUAAUUGUUGAGUAAAUUAGUUUUUUGUUUUUUCAUUUCUUUUAAUCAAACUUUAGUCAACCCUAUCGUUUUAUUGGCCCCGUGGGGAGUGUUGCAGCGGCAAUUGCACAUCACGACGCCCAAAUAAAACUUUGCGAUGCUAGAGACAGAGGUGCAAUGUGGGCCGUGCCCCACAUUAUUCGGGCCGAAACAGGCUAGAGAUCGGCACGGCACGGCCCGAAUUCAAACCCGGGCCGGGUCGGUGCUACCAACCCUUCGGUCUAGCACAGCCCUCCGGCCCGGAAGGCACGGGCAGACCGUGCUUCCGGCUGGCUCUUAAAAUUUUUAUUUUAAAAUUUUUCUCAGAAAAUAUAUAAAAUUUAAAACUAUGAUUAAUAAUUUGUUUCUAUUUAAAUCUAUAUUAUGAUUAAAAAUUUUAAAAUUUAUAAAAAUAAUUACAAAAUAAUAAACAUUUUCAACUUUUCAAAAUAAUUUAUAAAUUUUUCUUUUUUUUAGGAAAAAAAAGAAUUGAGAAUUUGAUCUAUUGGACCAAAAUCCCUCCUUCCAAAGUUUGCCACUGCAAACCUUGGGAGUAGAGCUCCUGAGAAGGAGGGCCUUCUCCCCAGGAACUCUAACCCUAAUGCCUUUGGGCCUUGAAAUCCGGACUUGGCCCGAUUAGCACGGCCCACUUUUCUGUUAAGCACGGGCCAAGCCCAUUUUAGGAUGGACGGUGCCGGGCCAGCAAGCCCAAAGAAAGAGAACCAGCACGGCUCGAAAUAAGGCCGAACCGGGCCGGCUACAGUAUACGUGAUGUGUUGCAGCCCAGCCCAUGGCGAUGCCGGGCCGUUUGACAUCCGUAGCUACGAAGGAGUCAUAGAGAGUACGGGGCUCCGCUUAGUUUUUGAAUUUCCAGAGCCCACAAAGAUCAAAAUUGAAAUAUUAAAAGAAAAAUGAUAGUGAAUUGAGCAUUUACCCAUCCGUUCUUUGGAGUAGCCAACACAUUUAUGCUACGGUUUCACAGCUAUCCACAUGUUUAUAGGAUCGUUGGUGCGAACUAUUUAUUUUAAAAAUGCAAGUUGCUAAAUAGAUACAACCAAUUCAUUUAAAACAUCCGUCUAACCGGCCUUCCACCACUUCGAAUAUUAAUUGGCCUAACUCAGCCUCCCGUCAUUUCAAAAGUGACUAGGUCUAGUCUCGACAGUGACUCAGCACAAUCGACCUCCCGCCAUUUCGAACAAGGCUCUGUAGUUUAGUCUCGACUGCGACUCAACGUAACAUGUCUCUUGCCGUUUCGAACAUGAUUCAACCCACACCCAACCUCCCACAAUUUCAAAUAUGACUAUGUCCAACUUGACCUCUUGUCAUUUUAAACAUGACACCAAACCUUUUGCCACUUACUUUAGGGACGGUUGGUUUCAUUAAUCAGAAUUUUACUUACAAUUUUUGUGAAUAUAUGCAUUUUGGUUAUUAUUUUGCUCAGCAUGCGGAUCUUUUGCAAAACAUUGUGCGUGAAAGAAAACAGCAUUGCACCUACAGUUAUCAACUGGUAUGCAGGACAGAUUUUUUUUUUUUUAAUAGAUUUAUAAGAAGUAAAACUAAGGGUAAAAUGUAUGGAUAGUCUUUAUACUAUCUCAUAUUGUGAAAGGGCUGCAUUUUUUUUUUUCCACGACAUCUAAGUUUGUGAAUAUUUUCCAUCUCUGAUCAAUUUAGAGAAAGUGCCGGGAACGAAAUUAUGACAACGUGAGAAAGUUAUAUGGGAUUAAGAUGUUUACACGAAGAAUUUAUGGACAAUUUUGCAAUAUAAGACAGUGCGGGACUUUUAAAAAAGAGAUAGAGAUAUGCAUGUACAAUCCAGUUUAACUAGUGCUAUUAUUGGCAGUUGAAGAAAGGAGUACCAGUUGAUUCACAUUUACAUCUCACUCUCAUCUUUCUGGUGCAUGCUCGAUCUUUCUUUGACUUCCGCAGAAUAUAUCCACAGCUGUUGGCAGGGUACAAAGAUCCAAACCCACCGUCCUUUUACGUUUCGACUCUAAACAUCAUCGCACUAAUAAUAAUAAUAAUAAUAAUAAUAAGGGAAAACUUCAAAAACCCCCCAGUAGUUUCAUGCAUUCUCACUUUACUACCCUGUGGUUUAAAACGUAUCAAUUUGCCCCCCUGUGGUUUCAUUUUUAUCUUUUCGGAAGCUUUUUCGUUAACAUUUCGUUAAAUUAUAUACAAAAAACUUCAGAUAACCAUCUAUAUUUAUUGAAUAUUCACUUUAGUAUCCUUUAAUUUUAACUUUGUCACUGAUUUAAGAAAAAAAUAAUAAUAAAAUUGAUAACAAAAAGAGAAAAACGAAACCACAGGGGGGCAAAUUGAUACGUUUUAAACCACAAGGUACUAAAGUGAGAAAGCACGAAACCACAGGGGGGGUUUUUGAAGUUUUCCCUAAUAAUAAUAAAGAGUAUACAGCUUGUGUUCGAGAAGCUUUAAGAACAGUCUGUGCGUACGGGUGGUGAGUAACUGGAACCGAACACGACCAGCUGGAACUCGCAUUCCUGGGGCGCUGAAUACUGCAGGAGGCUUUGAUUGGUAACAAUAUAUCUAUACUGUCGAAUUUAUGGUCUACUGUUAGACAGAGAAUGGCAUUCUGUUCACGCACAUUGGAUUGCAGAGAAAUUUCAUAAGUUGGCUUCUAACUACAAUAUCAGCUAAUAGCGAAGAAGAAUAAACACUCAGGAAAACAUUUUUCUUUUUCUUUUUCUUUUUUGCUCACAAAUUCCCACCCACCGCAAACCCAGAGCAGAAAACAGGGGGGAAGAGAAGAAAGACGCUUAAGCCGACACCGACAAGCGUGACCCCGUCUCAUAAUUGAUAAUUUAUUUACAAGAUCUACUCGGACUAUACUGUAAAAAUACCAGUAAGCAGACAAACAGACGGAGGAGAGUCUACCGCAUACAGCGUAUGUAAUAUACUGCGGCCGCUCCGGUGGGGAAUUUUUUACAGCCGGAGCGCGGCGGCGGAGUACGCGAACCCGAGAACCCGGGGGGGGUCUCCACCCCGUCACUUGGCGGUCGCUACGUGGAGCACCCACGCCCUAUGGCCCCCGCCCUCCUCCGCGGCCCCAAUCACGAACACCUCCCCCUCCUCCGUCCGUCGCCGCCAAGCGCCGCAGCCCUGGGGCUCGACCUCAUCCCUCCGGCGCCGGCGCCACCGCCCUCCACCCCUUCCCCCUCCCCUCGUACUCCCUCACCCCUCUCCUCCCGCACUCCACGCUCCACACCUCCCCGCGACCCCCACGCAGCACGCCCGCUGCGGCGCCGCCGCUGCCGUCCUCGGCAUCGGCCGCGGCGGAGGCGGCGGCGGGUCCCACAUCCCCUCUUCCUUGGUCCACUCCCGGCGCCCUCGUCGUACCACUCCGCCCCGGCAUCGAACCGCCCCUGCCGCUCCGUGCCGUACCCGCUCACCGCCCAGAACCGGCCCCCGCCGCCGACCGCCCCCUGGCACUCGUCCGCUCUCCCCAUCGCCGCCACCGCGCGCGCCCACUCGUCCGCCGCGACGUCGUACGCCUCCGCCGCCGCAGCGCGUUCUUCUGCCGGUCGUGGCCCCCCGCCGCGUACACCCGCGCCCCCGCCCCGGCGCACGCGAAGAACGACCGCGCCGCGCCCAUCGGGGCCCCGCGCCCCACGUCCCGCCGCGGGGUCCAGCACCCGCACCUCCGCCACCGGCUCCAGCGUCGCCGGUCCCACCCCCACCACCACCACCUUCCCCCCGCCGCCGCGCACUGCGCGAACAUCGGCACCGCCCAGCCGCGCGCCGCCACUCCCCGUCGUCGCGUUGUACUCGCUGAGCCCGUACGCCGGUGCCCCGCCCCCGCCGCCCCCUCUCCUCCCCUCCCCCUCCCCCUCCCCCUCCUCCUCCGUCGCCUUACCCUUGCCCUCGCGGGCGUCGGGGGCCACUAGGGUUUGGACGAGGAAGACGAGGUCCUCGGCGGCGCCGAUCCUGUCCCUGCGGCGGUAGAACGCGGGGGACUCGGCCAGCUCCCGCCACCUCCGGCACACGCGCCGGAGCCCCCCGUGGUACCGCAGCGGCACACGUGCGAGGCAGUCCAGCGCCACGUCAUCAGGUAACCCCGGGAUCAGGACCCUCUCCUCUUCCUCCCCAGUUCCCACCAUCUCCUCUCCUCUCUCCCUCUUUCCCCUCCCUCUCACUCUCAUUUUCUCACUUGUAUGUUUCUAUUGGUACUUCUCUCUAAUCUCUCUCUCUCUCUCUCUUUUAGAAUAGCAAUAGCAGUAGUAGUAGUAAUGGUGGAGAAUUGAGGGCGAGUUUAAGGAAGGAUGGACAAGGACUGGGGGGGGAGUGGGAGUGAGUAAGCCUAUAAAUAGGGAGGGCUAUAAAUCAAUUAGGGGAAUAAAAAUUAUAAAAUUAUUUUAAUGAACAAAUUGAAACAAAUAUAUAUAAGAGGGAAUUGGGAUUCAUGGGAAUUGUAUGUGGUGUGGGGGAAGAAGGAAAUGGACAUGGAUGAGGUGACAACUGGGGCAAAUGGAUUAGCACUGUACUGUUCAUGAAAAAUCAAAUUGAUCCUAAUCUUUAAAGAAGGCUCCAAAGGAUGAGAACCCUAUCUUUUCUAGUCUAGUCUAGUCUAGUUUAAUUCUAGGGCUCUAGGGCUUUCGAGGGUGGAGACCACAUGGAGGUAAUUGGGAGGAGGGCGUUACAACUUACAGGGCAUGUGUAGCUUUUAGAAGGGUGGGGGGUGGAGAACAUCAUAAUAAAGGCUUCUAGAAGAACUUGGUUAAGAUGUGAAACUGUAGCUAGAUCAUCACCUGGACCUGGUGGGCCAUAAACCAUUGAUCUGAUCCUCCCGAUCCAGCUCAUCAUGAGCUUCUAGAAGUUAUAACUUACAGCCUAGUAGAAGAACUUUAUAUAUAUAUAUAUAUAUAUAUAUAUAUAUAUAUAUAGAGGCCAAUUUGCAUAAAAAAUUCACUUAUUUUGAUUUUUUGCAAAACCGGAUCACAUUUUUCGUUUUUACAAAUUCGGUCCGCUUUUUCAGCAAACUGACCAAAAUGCCCUUUUUACUUUUUCUCUUUCCUCUUUCUCUCUCCUCUUCGUUUCUCUCGUUCUUUUUUUUUUUUCUCGCCGGCAGAGCGGAGGCGGAAACUGUCCAUCUCACCUCUCAUCCUCACUCUCUCGCCCUCGCCCUCGCCCUCGCCCUCGCCCUUGCCCUCGUCCACGCACCCCCCACCUUCCUCGCCUCCAAUCCCGCCAAGGCAGCGCCGUGACUUUUUUUUUGUUUUUUUCUUUUCUUUUCUUCUCCGACUCUUCUCUACCGUCUCCGACGACGACGCCACUCGCCCUUCCCCGCCCUUCUCAUCUCUCCCUCUCCCUCAUUUUCUGCCGCCUCCGACGACGAUUUAUCUUCGCUGGCGCCGACGUCGACACCGUAGAUGUCACUGCGGCGCUACAGCCUCGGAGCGGGGGUUCUUAGCGGCGUCGUCACUGGCGCCGUAGCUGUUGGCAGAGAAGGUGACAAAAAAAAUUAUAGAAAAAACAGAAAAAAAAAUAAAGAUAAAAAAUUAUAUAAAAAGAAGGAUGAAGAUGAAAUUGUAUCGUUAAUUAUAAAAAAAAUUAUAAGUUGCACUAUUUAAGAUGUAAAUUGCUGCUUUAAGAUAAAAAUUAUACCAUUUGAACAAAAAUUAUACUAUUUUUUUAUCUUAAACUGCAUCCUUUUAAGUGAUAUUUAUACUGUUUCUCCUCUUGUUGUACUGUUUCUCCUCUUGUUGCACCAUUUCUGUGUAAACAAGAGGAGAAAUAGUGCAACAAGAGGAGAAACUGCACUGUUUUAAAAGAUAUAUCUACUGUUUUUUCUCUUGUUGCACUGUUUCUUCUCUUGUUGCACCAUUUCUGUGUAAACAAGAGGAGAAAUAGUAUAAAUAUCUCUUAAAAGGAUGCAGUUUCUCCUCUUAUUGCAUUGUUUCUCCUCUUGUUGCACUAUUUCUCCUAUUGUUUACACAGAAAUGGUGCAACAGGAGGAGAAACAGUGCAACAAGAGAAAAAACAGUAGAUAUAUCUUUUAAAACAGUGUAGUUUUUUCUCUUGUUUACACAGAAAUGGUGCAACAAGAGGAGAAACAGUAUAUAUAUCUCUUAAAACAGUGCAGUUGUUUCUCUUGUUGCACUGUUUCUCCUCUUGUUGCACUAUUUCUCCUCUUGUUUAUAUAGAAAUGGUGCAACAAGAGGAGAAACAGUGCAACAAGAGGAGAAACAGUAUAAAUAUCUUUUAAAAGGGUGCAGUUUAAGAUAAAAAAUAGUGUAACAAGAGGAGAAAUGGUGCAACAAGAGGAGAAACAGUGCAACUUUUGUUUAAAGAGUGUAACUUUCAUCUUAAUGGAUGCAGUUUACAUCUAAAAGAGUGUAAUAAGAAGAGAAACAGUGUAAAUGUCUCUCAAAGAGUGUAAUUUUCGUUUAAAGAGUGUAUUUUUAUUUUAAAGUUGCAGUUUACAUCUUAAGUAGUGCAACUUAUAAUUUUUUUUGCAGUUAACGAUACAAUUUCAUGUUCAUCCUUCUUUUUAUAUAAUUUUUUAUCUUUAUUUUUUUUUAAUUUUUUUAUAUUUUUUUUUUGUCACCUUCUUUGCCAACAGCCAUGGUGCCGGCGACGACGCCGCUAAGGACCCCCGCUCCGAGCCUGUAGCGCCGCAAUGACCUCCACGGUGUCGACGUCGACGUCGGCACCGGCGAAGAUGCAUCGUCGUAGGAGACGGCAAAGGAUGAGGGAGAGGGAGAGAUAAGAAAGGCGGGGAAGGGCGAGUGGCGUCGUCGUCGGAGACGGUGGAAAAGAGUCAGAGAAGAAAAGAAAAGAAAAAAGCAAAAAAAAAAAAGUAGCGGCGCGACCUUGGCGGGAUUGGAGGCGAGGAAGGUGGGGGGUGCGUGGACGAGGGCAAGGGCGAGGGUGAGGGCAAGAGAGUGAGGGUGAGAGGUGAGACGGACCGUUUCCGCCUCCGCUCUGCUGGCGAGAAAAAAAAAAGAACGAGAGAAACGAAGAGGAGAGAGAAAGAGGAAAGAGAAAAAAUAAAAAGGGUAUUUUGGUCAGUUUGCUGAAAAAGCGGACCGANGCUUUAAUUCAUGGUCUCUAGUUGGAUAUAUAUCUAAUCCUGUAUCACAUAAAAUUUAUUGUUUUUGAGGCCCUACUUACGGAUUUAUAUGAAUAUUCUUAUCACGAUUUAAAAGCUAUUAAUAAUUUCCUUGCACAUGAAUUAGUCGAGAGGAGUAUUCCUCUCAAAACAAGUAAUGAAAAGAAUAAUUCUUGAAAAAUUAAUGGUUCUUGUUGCGAAAGCAAAGAUAAUAUAAGAUUGACCUUUCUUAGCCCCAAUUUUUUUUUUUUCUGCAUGAAGUAAGGGGGGGGGGACCAAAUCAUGCAGUUUUAUACAUGAAUAAGUUAAUAAUAAUAAUUUUAUAUAGCACAGGAAACGUCAUCGAGAAUUGAAUUAGUCUAUUUGCUUUAGAACUUGUAUGAUCAAGUUGCCUAGCUCGUCUUAUUUACCACUAAUUAUUGAAUAAUUUAACAACCCUUGUUACGGGCUGUGAAUGCGUAAUGUAAUAAUACAUCGAGGUCAACGAAUGUCGCAUUCAUUGUAAAUUUGCACAACGCAAUAUUUAAUCUUGCGAUCAAGGUUUAGCUUAUUACUAAAUGUUUAAUAUCUUUGUGCAUUUAAUUUGGCCGGUUAGAGCGCGCCAAGAUACCAUGCUUAGGAAUGCACGCACUCUAUCUUUAGUCCAAUUAACUCAAUAUUUAAUUUGGCACAAGAGAACUAAGAAAACUGAUUAACGGCUUAUUAGGUUCCGCACUACAUUGUGUUUUGAGUAGGAGUCAAUAUUUAAUCCGUCAUAAAAUAACCAAGGAAACUGAAUUGGGUCUGUUUGAUCCUGUACUACGGUUUAAUGUUUUCCCUUCUUUUGUUGCAGAAUUAAAAGUAUCAAUUUGAGACUCCUCUCGAGUCUUAUAAUCUUAUUUCUGCUUCCGAGAGCAACUUAGAACUUUUUUUUUUUUUUUUUUUUUUCUCUUUGCUUAAUGUUUUGUCAAGAUUAUUAUAAUUACAAUUAUAAAUGUUGGAAGCGUGAUUUUCUCUGAUAUCACUUGUUGAAACUGGUAUUUAUGCUGAUACCGAUUAUAUAACCCAAUAUUUAAAAUAGAACAAAAUAAUAUGAAAAAAAAAUAUUAAAGGAUCGAGGAAGAAGAUAACUAAAAUAAUAAGCAAUUAAUUACAUUCUGGACAACACCUAUGCAGCCAUAUCUACUGUGAUUUUUUCAUCAAAUUAAUCCAUGUCUAACUAUAUAUAGCCAUCAAAUCAUAACAGAUGAUAAAUUUAAUUUUAUUUUGGAUAAUUACAUGCAUAUUCUAAUCAUAAUCAAAUAAAAAAUUUAAACUUAUUUGUAACUAUAUUUUAAUUAAGUUUAGAUUAUUAUUUUCAACAAUAAAUAGAAGCAUAGCCAAACAAGACUUCAGAAAAGCAUAACAGUGAUACGUACAUUACUGUUGCGCAGUUGAAAUUUGGAUACCAAGUAUCAAUUCUUUUGUUUUUAUAAAUUAUUAUUUGAUUAAAAAAUAGUAAUUAAUCGUUUGGCAAGAAAGAAUUUUAAAGCAUUUAUUAGGACGAAGAACUUGUAAAAAAAAAUAUCAGUAUUUUCUCCGCUAGAUUAAAAAGGGCGAACCUAAAAAGAGACUUGAAAGUUACAACUGUUGAAAUUUUAGUUAAGCUUUACGUUAACUAGUCGAGAUCUUCUUAAUAGGGGACUACGUACAUUAAAGUGAACAACCUAAUGUGGCCUCUAUCCUCUGUGACCGCAUUUAGUUUGACAAGGUUGUGUUGCUUAAUUAUGCACAUGAUUUUGAAUAUAUAUUUUUUAGCUAUUUUUGUUGAUUUUCUAGUAAUUAAUGGAACUAAACCCGAUCAUUUUCUCCGAAGCACACUCUCAGAAUCUCUUGCUCCUAUUCCAUUUGUCGUAUAAAGAAUUUAAGUCAAUAAGUUGGUAUCAAGGACCUUUCUUGAAGAAAACAGUCAUGAAUAAUAACUCAAUUUACCACCGCAACGCAAUUUUAGAUGGAUCAUGUCAGAUUAAAGCAUUUUUGUUAUCUCAAGUAGAGAAAGAAAUUAACCUGAUCUCUCUGUACACCAUCAAAUUCAAAAAGAUUUACUAUUUGGACCCGUUAAUUAGGUCCUGCAUUAUUUGUAAUAUUUCGAUAAUUAAUACUUUAUAUUUUUUAAAAAUAUAUAUAUAAAUUAUCGUCAUUCAACGUAAGUUGGAUAGUUGAAAAUAUGAAGCAACUAGGCUUCAAACCUGAUAUCUCGAGUAUUAACCACCAACCCUCUUGCCACAUGCGCCAGAAACGGUCGAUGUUAUAUGAGAAUUAUUACUAGCCUAUUAGCAUGAAUUAAUACAUUUGAUCGUAGCUAGCUACUUCUUAAUUAAGCCAAAUGAUUUGGUAGGUUAGUAACAAAUUUAUCAUUUCAAAUAUAAAAUAUAUAAUAUUUUUCAAGUAUUAUGAAUCUUGAACAAGAUGUUCCUUGAAGUAAUAUACUUAUUCUGUUAAUGAUAAAGAUUUAUCUAUUACCAUGAUAGAGAAAUGCACUGAGAGUGGCGAGAACGGCCAUGAUGAAAGUACAUGUGUAAGGUGAAGGGUGACGAAGUGGUCCACUAGCAGUUGUGUGGUGGCUAUAGUCCCUAUCUUUCGCUUCAAAUAUCUUCACACCUUCUAGAAGAUUAAAAUUUUACUCCCUGAACCCGGUGCACCUCCCCUAUUAGGGUUCGUGCGCACGAUAAAGAUCAGACGAAUCACAUCGCACCCAUAAAAUGGUACGGAAGGGAUGCUUGCACCACAACAUUAAUAAUAAAUCAAUUAUAUCAUAUUUUUUUCAUUAAAUUAAUCAUGAUGGAACAGAUGAAUCCAAGAAGGAACCAUGUCGCAGACAUUUUUAGAAAAUUUAUUGUACAUGAACCAAGCUUAAUUGGGUUAAACGAUUCCAUUGUUAUCAUCUCUUUCUUUUUCGGUGGUGUCAAAUACAUUUGGACGCUAGUAAAUUACGCCACGGAACCAGGGAAAUAUCACUCACAUGCAUGGGCCCUACACUCCUUGAGAGUUUGUGGAAAAAAUGGCUCACUUGGGGGAAAGGUGACAAGGAGAGUUUUAUCAAUACCAUACGAGUCGCUUUCCUGCAGUUCUACUCUUCUAGAAGCCUUUUUUUACCACAUUAAUUGUCAUGUGGUUUAGGAGUCGUGCAUGGCUUGAUAUGUUGCUAAUAUACAUUUUUUUAGCUUCUUGGAUUAGUGAAAAACUUCUCUUCUAUGAUCUUUGUUGAGAAUCCAUUUUAAAUUUCCCAGUAGUUUGACAGAAUUAACAUGUGUACAUCUUCGCGGUCUCAUUCGAAUCCUGAAACAAUAGCCAUGUCGAUAGAAGGAGAGAGAGACGUAGCACUCAUGGGUUUCACCCAUAGUUAGUUAAUUCGGAUUCGGCAAAAAUUCGGUACGGAUAUAAUUCGGAUAAAAUUCGUUUUCUAAUUUUUAAAUUCGUUAAAAAAUACGGCUAAAAAACGGAUUCAGUAAUUAUUCGGAUACAUGAUUUAUACGGAUAUUAUACGUUCUUCAAUUAAAAAUUCGGGAUAAAAAAUUCGGCUAUUAAAUUAAAAUUAUUUUUUCUCAAGAUUUAUUCUAUUAGUAUAAAUACUCAUAUUUCUUAAGAAUAUAAGAAUAAAAAACUACAAAAUUAAGCUAAUUAAGUAAAAAAUUUGAAAAGAGUUUUUUUUUCUGUUUUUGGAGGAGGUUUUUUUUUUUUCUGUUUUGGGCUAGCCGGCCCGCGAGGCCCGCGAGCCGCGAGCCGCUACUGCGAGCUGCAAGCCGUGAGCGCAUGCAAGCGCUCGAUGCGGGCGGGCCUCGCGGGAGCGCUCGCAGCGCGGGGGCGCACGCGGGCCGCAUUUUUUUGGCUCUGAAUAUUUCGGCCCGCGUAUAAUGCGCGAAUAAGUAUUUUUUAUCAAAAAAUCGCGUUUUUGUUCUGAAUUUUUGGGAAAAAUACAAAUUCGGUCGUUUAAUUCGUUUCUUCAAAAAUUUGCGAAUAAUUCGCGAAUAAUUCGCGAAUUUACUAACAUAUUGGGCGCAAAUUGUUGAAAUCUAAAGGAUAAAAUAAAAAAUACACAAUUAAUUAAUAUAACUAAUACGUUAACCGAUGUCCUUAGCGCAAGUGUCAAAAGGCUUAGUAAUUGAUAUUAGGGAUGCAACAGGACAGAUCCAGGGGUGGAAGGGUUCCCCACCUCUCGCUUCAUUUCUUGUCGGGAUAGGUGGUGUAGUGUCCCUGGUGUUUAGUGGCCUAUGUGAUGUCAGCAUCUAAGGCUUGUCGACACGUCUGGAGAGUGUCGGGACAAGUCGGAGUUAUUUUGACGCGAAAUAGACGCAAAACGGACUCAACACGAGACGAGAGCGGAGUUCUGACACUAAAAUCUGCAAAGUGCAGGAUUUUAGUGUUGAGUAUUGGUAACUGAGAGGAGUGCUGGUAUCCUAGUGGGUUACAGAACUGGAGGCUCUCGGGUUUGCGCGUGCUUGAUGCUGAGUAUUGGUACCUGCUUGUCUCUUACCGGUACCGAAUCCGAGUACCGGUACUGCAUCGGGCGAGUACGGGUACCCACCGUGCGAGGUUGCCGGUUGAGUGUCCGAGUAGCGAUAUUCAAGUUGGGUACCGGUACUCUAGCUGUAUUUUUUAGUUGGUGAGGGGCAGUAUGAUCUUUUAAAGUGUCGUUCAUUCCUAUAACCCAGCCUUUAUACAUAUAUUCAGAGAGAGCUCUAGAGAAGGGAAAUCUUCUCCUUUCUCUCUCUCUCUCUUGCUAGUGGGCGCCAGGUGUUGGAGAGGUCACAAGUCGAGCUCAUGCGGACUCGACGUUGCUCCGGAGGACCUUUCAUGCGCGUGGGUGUCGCGGUUACGCCAUUGGAGAUUGGGCGAGCGCGAGGGUCCCCUCCUACCGACUUCUAGCCGACGUUGGACGAGCGCUCGAGGUGGGUUGAUGUUUACCGAAAUCGUCGGAUUUCCUCCUAAGUUGGCAUUUUUGUCAGCAUGUAUGUUUUAUGUAUAAUAUCAUGUCUAGUAACUCGAAUUUAUCAAUUUGCAUGUUUUUUUAUGAAAUCUGAAUUUGGAGUAUAGUUUAGUGAUUUUAGAUGGAAUUAUACAUGUUGAACUGGAAAUUGAGUUAGGAGAAAACACCUUAAACCCUACACUGUCAUUUCUGAAAAGUUACCAGAUUUAGCUUUAGGAGCUGUUAUUAAUUUGUAUCACCGCUGUUUGUGCGAGGUGUAUAUCCAAAUUAGUGUAGGAUGAGUUUACGCUCGAGUUAGGAAGCCGAGCUCGUUUUAUAGUAGUGUGUAGACUUUCGUAUUGUUGUGUGCCGUCGCGGUUGAUAGUGGACCCAGAUAUUUGUAUCUUGCAUCAGAUUGUGCCAAGGGCACGUGAGCUUUGGUUGUUAGACCAGUUAGACCCAUUUGUAUUGACUACAGUUUAUGAGAGCCUGAUUGAGCUCGGCAGAGACACGCUUACAUAUUCGGUUGGGUAGCGCCUGCGAGUGCCGCUCCGGAGUGAGACUUUACGUGCGUUGUCGUCGCAUCAGUCCUGUUUGGACAGUGUUCUUGGACUGGCCACCCCUGUGGGUGGUGUGCGGUGUAGCUUAGGGGCNUCUCUUUUUCUUUUUUUUCUUCUUCUUCCUCUUCUCUUUUUCUUUUUCUUCUUCUUCUUCCUCCUGCUGAAGCACCUUUUUUUUUUCCCUCUUCUUUUUCUUCUUCUUCUUCUUCUUCUUCCUGUAAGAGCACGGGGCGCGCCACGGCGAUUUCCGGCCUCGCCAAGUGGCGUCCACCCGGCGGCGUUCUGCAGGGAGGGGUCGGCACCGGCGAAAGCGAGCGCCACUGCGAGGGUAGGGGCACGCGGGAGGCGGGCUGCGAGGGUGGGGUCGCGAUCUCCGACGGCUGCUUCUUGUUCUUCGUAAUGGUGUAAUGGUGCACGCGGGCCGGUGCACGCAGCGGCGGCGGGCGGGCAAGCGGGCGCGCUGCGGCUGCUUCUUCGUCGUCGUAAUGGUGUAAUGGUGGUGUAAUGGUGCACCAUUACACCAUUAAUAGUGCAAUGGUGUAAUUACACCAUUAAUGGUGCAAUGGUUACACUAUUAAUGGUGUAAUGGUGCGGUGUAAUGGUGCACCAUUACACCAUUAAUGGUGAAAUUACACCAUUACACCAUUAAUGGUGUAAUGGCGUAAUUACACCAUUAACGGUGCACACGGCCCGCGGAGCGGAGCGGCGGGUGGAGCUCCGCCGGGCGCGCGGGAGGCGAGCGCCGCGGCGAGGGUGGGGGCGUGCGGGAGUCCCCACCUCGACGAGCUCGCACCCCUCCGCAAGAUGACUCUCCUCGCCCCCGACGACCGAGCCAUCGCUGACGCCCUCUACUACGAGUCCCCGCCCCGAUUCCACCUCCACGUCGUCCCCGAUCCGUGAUAAAGGAGAAGCUGAAGCUGAAGCAGAAGCAGAAGAACAAGCAGAAGCCGUUUUUUUUCCUCCAUUUUUUUUCCCUGCGAUUUAGAGAAAUUAAGGAAAUAAAAACUAGUUGUAUGUAUGUUACAUGGUAAAUGCUCAAGUGGGAUUUUGUUUAAUUCUUGGUCAUUUCUUUAGGAAGCAUUAAUGGUUGGUAAUAUAUUUUCAUUUCUUUUUUUUUUCUCAUUUUUUUUUCAACUUUUUUUUUUCUCAUUUUUUUUCUAUUGAAAAUAUACAUAAGCAUUUGUACAGUGUAGUAUUGUGUAUGCAAUAAAUAAACAAGUUAACAAGCAUUAAGGAGAAGAUGCGGCGUCCCCCAGCAUCUUCUCCAUCUCGGCGGCGGCUCGGUCGUCUGAUGCGGCGGCCGCGGAGGGAGCCGGGCCGGAGAUGGAGAAGGAGAUAGAGACUCGGAGGCAGGGGAUCGCGGCGUGGGCGGCGGCGGCGGUGGGGGAGAACGACGAGGUGUCCUCCAUGGAGUGCUUGCCGGUGAUCUCGAAGUUGAAGGACGUAGUGGAGGAGGCGGUGUCGGUGGCGACAGAGGAGGAGGAGGAGGAGGAGGAUGAAGAAGAAGAACAAGAAGAAGAAGAAGGGAAAGAGAAAAAGAAAAGAAAGAAAAAUAGUGCAAAAUUUUCUUAAAGAGUGUAAUUUUGAUCUAAAUAGUGUAAAAUUGAUUUUCAAAGAGUGUAAUUUAUAUAUCAAAUAGUAUAAUUUUUAUUAAAACAAUGUAAUUUUUUUUAAAAUUAGUAUAAUCUUAUUUUAACAGUGUAAUUUUAUCAUCUUUUUUUUUCAUCUAUAUUUUUUGAUCUUUUCUGUAGAAAAAAAUGUUGCGCCAUGGAGGAGAAAAGCCUGUGCCUCGACGUCGCCGUGCCCUAAUGGAGAAGGAGGGUCGCGACGCGGCUCAGCAAUGUAGGAGGCGAGGAAGGCGGAGAUGCACGGGUGAAGAAGGAGGGUGGCCAUGGCCGUGGGCUCGGCGACGGCGACGGCGACGGAGACGACGGUGGGGGUGGGCUCAGCGGCGGCGGCGGGGGAGAGGAGGAGGGGUUCGGCUUGCGGAGGCGGAGGAGGGGCUCGGCGGCGGGCUCGAAAAAAGAACGAAAAAAAAAAAAUAACGACAGAAACGAAGAGGAGAGAGAAAGAGGAAAGAGAAAAAGUAAUAAGGGUAUUUUGGUCAGUUCGCUGAAAAAGCGGACCGAAUCUGCAAAAACGAAAAAGAUGACCCGAUUUUGCAAAAGCCCAAAAUAAAUGGAUUUUUUAUGCAAAAAGGCCUAUAUAUAUAUAUAUAUAUAUAAAGUUAAUGACUUAUGAGAGGGAGGUCCACGGUGGACCUCCCUCUCAUGCGGUCCACGAGGCCAAAGUGGCCUCGUGGACCGCGCCCUAUCCUGUUCUCGAAAGCCCCGAUUUUCCUUCUUCUUCUUCUUCCCAAACCCAGCGCCAUUUCUACCUCUUGCUCUCAAGUCUCAACUCUCAAGUCACAAAUUCGAUUUUUUUUCCAAAAUUUAUAAAAUAAUUUUUUCAAAAAAAAUUUGAGGGACAACUAUUGUUUGGAAAAAAAAAUUUUAGCGGAAAUUUUUUUUUUCGAGAAAUUUUACAGUGAUCCAAAGUUCCGCGACGAAAGCGAUGGAGGAGGAGGACGCCGACGAUGGCGGCGACGACGCGGCAGCGAGUCCGCGACCGCCGUUUCUUUGGGCGAAUCAUUCGCGAAUCGCGAAUGAUUCGCGGAUGAUUAUUUUUGCUGAAAAAAAUGCGUUUGUUUACGCAUGUUUUGGAAAAAUUCGGAUGCCGGCGUUUAAUUCGGGUUUCGAAAAAGUCGCGAAUAAUUCGCGAAUUAAACGCGAAUUAACUAACUAAGGUUUCACCACAAAAACUAGGAGAUAGAAAAUAUUAUAAAUGCGGAGAUAAGAACUGAAAACUAUGCGGAACAGCAUUUGUUUCUAAAAUUUUCUUUCGUGUGGGGCACGCUUACCCUGCUUUAGCAUGUUAAUAUGUUGAUACAUAUAAUAAUUCUUUUAAUAAUACGAGGCUUUACUAUAUUGAGAUAUACAAGUAUAUAAUUUAACGAUUUAUUAAAUUUAUCAAUUUAUCAACAGUCGCUGAAAAUACUAAAAUAUUUCUCUCAAGCUUAGGAUUUGAGACGACUUUAGAAAUCAAUCUAAUUAAUCUAUAGAAUUAUAUUUUCGCUGAUUUGAAAUUUUUGAUCUGAAUUAAUUAACAGUAUUUUAAUUAACAAAUAAGCGCUAUAUGAUUUUUUAAAGUUUUUUUUAUCUUUUAUAUUUCUCUCUCUCUCAUUAAUCCCGAUGGAACCCUUGGAUUCAAGGAUAAAAAGAGAACACACACAAAAUAACAAAUAAAUAUUAAAUAAAUAAAUAAAUAAACAGUUGCAAUAGUUUUGAACCCUUCUUAAAAUGGAUAAUAGAAGGGAUUGGAAUACUCUUGUAAACCAUUUUAAGCACAUCUAACUUUAAUUCACACAUCUAACUUUAAAGUAGCAAAUUAUUAUUUAAUGUCUUUUCCGCUAUAUAAAUAUUCUUUUUUGCUAAUAUGAAAUUAAUAUUAUAUUCCUAUGAUCAUCUAUAAAAAAAUAAAAGAUACGACAAGAUAUAAAGCAACAAAAAGCAGAGUCAUAAAGGAAAGAAGCCGAAAAAACAGGGAAUAAAGGGGCUAUCUGGAAAAAACCAGCAAAGAAAUCGACAAAAGUGUGCUAAAAGAACAGGGAAUCUGUGGGUGAAAAACAAAGAAAAAAAAUGCUGAACUUAGAUUCACGUUGUGUUCUUUCUUCAAAUCCGCAAAAGAAAAGUUAUGAACUAAAGUUACGAGUACAGAUUCCGUGCUUUCGAAAAUACGGAGGUAUCCGUGCUUAUAAAUUAUUUUCGAUUAUAGGACAUCCAAUUCGACGAUCGGCUUCGUUAGGCAUAAUUUACGCUAUUGGAACUAUCUAGAAAUCAAAUUUUACAAUUUUUCGACAUCAUUUACCAAGCGAUUACGGGGUCUCAAAAAUGACUAUUUUAACGGCUGAUAUGGCACGUUUUUAAAUUCAACGGUGUAGAAGUUUCCAAAUUAUAUAAAACUUUAAUAGAAAAUUCUACUUAACAUUAAGAAUAAGAACAAUACUUCCGAUUUGAAAAUUGAGUUUUUUAUCACUAUUUUUUAUGAGAUUUUUAUUUUUAGCCGUUCAUUUUGAGGCUACUCGUUCGUUCACUAGGCAAACAAAGUCAAAAAAUUAUGAAAUUUGGUUUCUAGAUAGUUUCAAUAGCGUAGAUCAUAUUUAACGGAACCGAUCGCCGAAUUAGAAGGCCCAUCAUCGAAAACAACUUACAAACACAGAAACCUCAAUACUUUCGAAAGUAUAGGAGUCUAGCUCCUAAAGUUACUAUCUACAUAUUUUAAUAGGUGAAAGAGUAGUAUUAAGUUAAUAAGAAUUUUCUUAUUUGUUUGUGACCGAUGUUUUGAGAAUGUCAAUUCGUAUAUAUUAUACUUUAGUGUGAUUUGUUUACAGUAGAUCGAAUAACCCUUUUAGUCCUAUUUGUAGUAAACUGCAAUAACUCGGUGGAUUGACGAAAAAAGUAUAGUAUAUAUAUAAAAUUAUAGAUUGAAGUGAUUAAAGAAAAAGAAGAUCAGAAAAGAAAAGGGAGGGACUACCAAUUGGCUGAACUUAAUAAGAAAAAGAGAAAAAAGAGUUAAAGGCAACUUAGAAUAGUCUAAUAUUGAUAUUUUUAGCUCUCUUUUUUCCAAGUCAUUAACAAAACAAGAGGAAAAGAUAAUCUCAAAAAUGCAUGACUCAAUAAAUUCCAUUUUUACAUAUAUUCAAUUACCAAACAUUUCUUUCUAAUAAACAAGUCUAUUUAGUUGCCUUAAUCCAUAUCCGCCAAUUAUUUUUCCUUAUCAAUCUCUAUCUAUUGAUAAGUAUUACCCUAAUAAUAUAUACCAGAAACUCACAAUGGAGGAGACAAGAGACACUGUGGGAAAGAGAAAGUUAAGAAAUUGAAUUAGACCAUGUAAUGUACAAUAUAAAAUAACAUGAAUAGGCACAUGAGAUGACAUGAAGAUGAUAGGAACAGAGUAAAUGAACCAAAAGGUCACACCUGGAAAUAAAUAAAAAUGAGAUCGGGACAAGCAAGGGGGGCCAAACAUAGCUAAAGGUGAUUGUGGCCUUAGAUGUAUGCAUGCAUGUGCCAUUAAUAAUAGGGGGCCAUUAGGUCAUGGGGGGAGGGAAAAGGGAAAGGGUGGUUAAUUAAUUAAUUAUCAAUGAGGAGGAUAAAGUUCUACUGUGAAUAGAUUGGAAUGUAGAGUAAGAUGAUUUGGAUGCUUGGACUAAGUAUAAUAUGCAGUGGGGCAUGUAAACAUUCAAAUCAAUGUAUGCCCAUGGCUAUAUAGAGGGGCCUUCAUGUCAUUCUUACUUCAAAACUUAAAAAAGAAAAAAAAAAAACCGGGGGGGGGGGGGUUGCUUUUGAUAUGUGAAAUAUAUUGCCGGAUAACGUGUUAUCUGAGCCCGUCGUAAUUCCACUCAUGCUAAGUUCGUGUUGGAAGCGUGAUUUGCUCUAAUACCACUUGUUAGAAGGAGAGUAGUAUAAAACUAAAAUUUUAUUAAAUAUUUUUUGACUAAAUUUUGAUAGUGGAUGAUUUUUUACAUAUUUACUGCAGUCUAUAUAUAGACAUAAAUCAAAAUCCUAAUAGCAAUAAUUGAACAAUUGUUGAAACGAGAUGAGCAUAAAACUAAAUCUUUAUUAAAUAUUUUUCACAUAUUUACAGCAGUCUGUCUAUGUAUAGGCAUAAAUCAAAAUCCUAAUAACAAUAAUUGAACUAGAUUUAAACUUAUCUCUUCUGUCUAACCACAAAAUAUUAAAAUAUAAACUUGACAGAAAUAAAUCUAAACUAAUCAAAAAUAUUGGGUUACUUAUCAACAACAAUAUUUAAACUUAUCUCUUAUGUCUAACCAACAAAUAUUAAGAGAUAAACUUGACGGAAAUAAAUCUAAACUUAUAAAAUAUAUUGGGUUACUUAUCAACAGUUCGGAAUAGCAAUGCUAAUUAGAAAAUUAGUUUCAUUGUGAGUACACAAAAUUACUUUUAAUUCAUCUUUAUUUUUCGAUUGCUACAACUUGUCUAUUUAAUCCACAAUAACAGCUAAUAUUAUAUUACUUGUUAGUCUUAAAAAAAACAAAAAAAAAAAAGUUAUGUGUCAGGUCAUAAAAGGGGGAAAGUUUUUUUAGCUUAUUAUCUACUCAAAAUGUCAUUUCCAUACAUAUAAAGAAGCAACCCCUAAACGAACGAAUAAAAAUAUGUAUCAAUCCAUAUCAAUACAUAUAAAUUAAUAAAUAGAUACUUUGAUAGGUACUCUAAUAAAAUAUUAAUUUGUUAGCAGUUGAGUCUCUACACGGCAUCGUGCUUUUUGGAUAAGUCGACGCGAUGCUGCAGCUUUUGUCCUUGAAGUUCUCGGCACGCACAUUAGUACAUUAGCCGUAUACUCCACCGACCUCUUAUCUUAAGCCACUCAUUUGGAUCCAAUUGGGUGCAGCACAAUUUAUAAAAUGCUUUUUUUAUAAUCCCAAUUUAAUUAGUUAAUUAACAAACAUAGUUUUGUACUCUCCAUUUCUUAAUUCAUGUUUAAUUGUUUUUAGUUUUUUUUUUUUUUUCUUUCGCACCUAAGGAGUAUAUAUAGGUAAGGUCGCUGUUUCGCUUAUCAGAUUAUAAAUUAAGAAUCAUUUUGUUUGGUGAUUUAAGAACAUCAAAACGAGGCAUGCCUUUCGAAAUUCGUAAGCUAAAACAAGGCGCCGACGCUUCGCAGGCCAUGGUUAACUCGAAGAAAGAAUAGGGCAAGAGAGUCAUCAAUGGACUGCAAUUGAUAUUUUCAACUCAAGUUCAAGAUAUACUUGACAAAGAUUUGUAUUCACAGCAUAAUAGGUUAAAUUUAUUCCAAGACCAUCAUCUCUGUCAUUUGCUUUGAGUCGCAUUAAUGAUCAUUCCAACACUGCAUAAAUUUCUUGUGUUCACAAUGUUCAUGCAUCACCAGAACUUCCUUUUCCCUUCACUGCCUCAAACACAGCUGAAAAAUCAUGGUCCCCCAGUCCAAGGCCCCUCGCUUUCUUGAACGCCUAUAAGAAAAUAUGAAUGCACGGUACUAACAAUAUAUCUUCGCUCGUACGUAGAGAGAGAGAGAGAAAGAGAGAGAGAGAGACCUCAUUUGCUGUAGCAGCAACAGGCAUUGAGACAGCAUGUUCAUCGCCAAGAGCAAGGGCCAAUCUCAUAUCCUUCUGCUGAUGUUUGAGAGGAAAUGCCGGCGCGUAACUGCCCUUGAUCAUCGCAGGCCCUUUCAGCUUAAACAUAGGAUUUGCCACCCCACCCAGAUCCUUGACGCCCACAAUGAAACCAAAAUUAGUAACUUAACAUCGGAAAUAUGAACUGAAUCACUCGCGAAUCACCGUAUAACGUACCAACACGUCUAGCAGUGUCUGUGGAUUCAAUCCGCUUUUAUCAGCGAGACAAAGCCCUUCAGAUAAUGCAUUCAUCAUACUGUAGAACAAGAACAACCAGGUGAGAGUUAACAAGAAAGGACUGGCAGAAAAUUUCAGCAACUAGAAUUUAGCAUUAGAAGGGAAGUUGUAAAUUAGGCAUGAAAAUAUCAGCAAUCGAUCAUAUCAAAUCAAACAGGAUAGAGACUCGCAACCGUCAGCAACCAAUUCAAUUCCACGAAAAUAUAAGGUCAGCUAUAUAUAUCACAGGCUAUAGUUGAGAAGGAUCCACAGGAGAAUUGGAAUAACUUCACUACUAUUAUAGAUUCUCUACAGGAUAAGUUCCCGUCACUCCGUUCCUUCUUCAGUCGGUUGCAUUCCAAACACUUGCUGUCUUUGGCCACCUUUAGCAAACUAAAAGAAAAAUUAAAUGGAACUGUCUAGUACUUCACUUUUGGUAUCUCUGCGGCUUUAUUACACUGCUGCUUUAAUCUAUGUUUUAUCAGCUGUGCACCAGCCUACCCGUUUCUUUUCAUCUUCUUUCAGUGAGUUUAAACUCAACAUAACAAUAAAUUUCUUAUUUUAUAAUUCAAUAAUUAGAGAGGGGUCAACAUAACAAUAAAUUUCUUAUUUUAUAAUUCAAUAAUUAGAGAGGGGACAUUUUAAGAAGCCUGAUAAUAUAUACAAGAGAAUGCUAGUCACCUGCCCAUGAUCAUGUUGACCACAAGCUUCAUUUUCGCUCCGUUGCCAACUUCUCCCAGAAAGAACGACUUUUUCCCCAAUACGUUAAAUGCAGGAGUUAUUUCUUCAUAAAGUUCCUACAGUCACGACACAAAUGGAAGCUGUAGUAAUUGUGGCAGCAAAUAGCAACCAAAAAUACAUAGAAAAAGGGUAAAAUUAGUUUACCUCUAACCAUUGCAACAAUCAUAACAGUAGAGAAAGGAAGUUAUCUUCAAACUAGUAUAGAGAUCACUUUAACUUGUUUUGAAUAGAAAAGAAAGAUACAGAAGGAAAGGCUACAGUUUUUGAGAGGUAAUAUUAAGUAAAGAAGAGUGACAGCAAAUUUCACUAUCUAAACUAUAGAAGUUAGUCCUUUCAGUGUCCCAAAGAAGAUAUAAGGAUACAUCUAGAUAUGUCGAACUUCCCUAAGUGGAUCAAAUUAAUACGAUAUGCGACAUGUGAUAUACGGCACAAUCUAAAAAGCCUCUGAAUAACCAGCAUAUGAUACAUUACCUUCCCCCCGGCAGCAAGUAUAACCAACUGGCCAUCUUCAGCAGGCUUCUUGCUGCCCGAGACUGGAGCCUCAAGGAAGUAUCCACCUUUUUUAGUAAUUGCCUGCGAAAAUUAUUUCGAAAAUUAUUUAGAUAAAAGGGGGAUGUCCAUCAUAAACACAUAGGUUUAUAAGUCUUUUAAAUUGGAGCAAUUAAAUCUACAGUAUCCUUUUUUUUUAUCACAAUUUAAACAAAAUCAUGAGCAAGAGAUGCACAAUUUUUGAACCCAUUGAUUGAAAGGUAAUAUGUAAUCAUAUCCAGUUAGGAAAGCUUUAAAUUCUGAAACAAAAUGUGCACAAAUCAUUAAGUCAUACCUCACUGAUCUUAGAUGAGGUAUCGGCAUCGACGGUUGACAUGUCAAUAUAGCCUUUUCCACUAGAAAUCUCCUCAAGCACCCCGUCUUUGUCAAAAACUACCUGAAUAAGUCAAAAAAUGUUUUUUAAAGAAGCGAAGGACAAAAAUUCAUAUGACUAGCAUAUGGAGGCUUCCUAACCGACAGAGCUGCACUGGGAUCAGAGAGCAUGGCUAUGGUGUACUUGCACUUCUUAACCACUGAUGCUGGAGUUUCUCCGACAGAAGCACCUUCGCUCACUAGUUCUUGACACUGUUAAUAUAAAUUCAAUUUAACCCAAUAGUUCUUUCAAACUAAUAGGUUUACAGUGCACUCUUGAAAAUCAAAAUGAUAUACCAAAGUCACUAUACUAGCUAUAAAAUUUAUUGCUAAAUGAACGGUGGCACAGCAGAAGGAUGGUAUGACAGCAAAACUUGAUUUUUCACAUUAUCAUAUAUAAACAUCGCCGUUACAUACUUGUGUUGUUCAAAGAAUCAAAAAUAUAGGAACAAAGUUCCGUGAGUACCAAGUGUUUGCAUUUCAAGCAUAAUAUGCUACGCUAGAGCUGUUGACAAAUGACUGCGCAUCAAGAAAGCGAUUAGAAGUUAUCAAGAACUCAUAUAGCUUAAAUGUAUAAACUCGGUUUACUUGCUUGAAGAUUGAAACUUUUCCAGUUUGUGAUAUUAUGCAAACAGAAAAAACCUUUAGCUGAAAAGUUUUUGAUCCAAUGUAGGAAAAGAAAGAUCCUAAGCACUCAGUAAACUUUUGCGACUUUCGUGUAACAGAGCAAAGGAGAGAAAAUCGACGAAUUUCUUUUGUUUAUUCAAGGGGCGUGCAGUAGUUGGUCAAUGCGGAGUGUGAAAAGAGAGUCCAGCUACUAUUCUUUUAGGAGGACGGAGGCAUUCAUCCUCCUAAGUCGUUUUAGAUGAUAAGGAUCCCGAAUCGAUCGGAACCGUUAAAGUUGAUCUAGAGUAUUUAUAACGUCUAGAAACUAAAUUUCAUAAAUUUUAAAAUUCGUUAUCAAGUUCAUUGAAGAGUUGAAAAAUGAACGGUAAAAAAUGAAUAACUUUAUGAAAAUAGAUAUUAGACUUUUUCAAUUCAUGAUCGGAGUUAUCAAACGCUAUCUAAAUAGCAUAAAGAAUUUUCUAUCAAAAAUUCAAGCUGUUUGGAUUGUUCUACUUUAAAAUUUAUGAAAUUUAGUUUCCAGACACUUUAAAUACUCAAGACGAUUCCGAUCACCGAUUCGAAAUUUCUAUCAUUUAAAAUGACUUAACGAGGACGAAGGCCUCCGUCCUCCUAAAAGGAUAGUAAAUAUUCUGAGAGAAUGUAAAAGUCAUAUAUAGGAUGCGGUUAUAGUCAUCGUUUCACGGCCAUUUGGAUGUCGGAACAACUUAACCGGUGAUAAUAUUUGCAUUAUCUUUUGUCAUUGCAGUAUAAGAGUUUGAUCUAGGUCCACCAUUAGUUCACCGCAUACUGGAUACAAAACUUUUUAGGAUAAUGUAAUUUGACCAACUACAUACCCAUACAUAUUUUUGGUAUAGCCCUAAUUCUAUUAUUAAUGAACCCCAUACCCAUGCACAACAACCAACUAAUUCCGACUAAUUUUCAGCAAUGUUCAUCCAUCGACAAGGAGCAAAAGCAACUCUAACUAAUAAAGUUACUAAUUAUGCAACAAUUUAACAAAAAGGGGUAACAGGGGAUAGAGAUUGAUAGAGAGAGAGACCUUGGAGAGGGUGCGGUUCCACACGGUGACCCGGAACCCGUUACGGAGGAGGUUUCGGGCCAUGGCCUUGCCCAUGAUUCCCAGGCCCAAAAAGCCCACCUCCAUCUCUAUCUCUCUAUCUCCCGCUUCUUCUUCUUCUUCUUCCUCCGCUCCUAUUUCUCACUACCAAAAAUCGCUUCAACGCUGAUGAAGUGGGUGGGGCGUAUAUAUAUAUAAAUAUUUUAUUUUAUUUUAUUUUAUUCGUUAUUUAGCAAGUGGACGUCUCCACGUGGCUCUCUGCUAUUGGCUCUUCCGACAAUCGAUCUCUGCCCCAAUGGCGUCUUUCGCGCGUCGUACGCGCUCCUGCUGCAGGCCGAUAUCGGGUGUUUUUGGUACAAACAGGGAACAGCAUCAUGAACGAAUAGGAAACUGACGCGUCACCAACUUGUCUGGGCCGGGGCAGCCCAAUUGAUCACAAUGACCACGGCCCACUUCCUUUCUCUCUACCCGCCCCGCCAAAAACCCAAAAAAAUAAAACAUAAAAAAUAAAAUAGGGAGCAAUCUAGGAUCAUCGUUUCCCCAUUUCUCUUUCUUUUUCGCGAAAACGCUUGAACAAUAAGCACGGGCCACCGCCGAAGCUGCGAAUCUUCGAGUUCCCAACAACUCCUCCCAUGCUCCGCUUCCUCCUCAACAAACCCUACCGCUCCGCCGCCGCCGCCGCCGCCGGAUUCUUCGCCGUCGCCGCCGUCGCCUCCUCCCAUUCCGCCGGUGAUCACCUCCGAUAUCCCCUCUUCUUCUCUUUCAAAUUCUCACUUUAUUCGCUUUAAAGGUCGUAAUUUGAUCUCCUUUUUGUGCGUGCGUGCGUGUGUGUGUUUGUUCGCAAUACAGAGGCGACUGUUUCCGUCUCCCUUCCUCCCCCGCGUCAUUUCUUAUCCACGCCAGCUGAGCUGAUCUUGGGAGAUUAUCGUUUUCCGUCACUCUUCUCGAUUCCUCUAGCAGGUUCGUAUUUUCAGUAAAAGGAUCGCAUUUCGUUAGCUUUCGGAAUUGGAUUAGAUUGGAUAGAGUAGGAUAGAAAAGCGACAAACGAUGGGAAUUGUUAAACCCUAAACCCUAAACCCUCUCCCCCGUAGUUACACUCUCCCCCGCUCCUAUCCAAUCCAAUCUAGGAUCAAAUUAAUGUUUUGAUUAAGGAGUGAUGAUUUUACAAAUGAUUAUCCAAAGAGUUUUUAAUUUGGAUUUCAGAUGUAGGUUUUCCGCUGCGGCAUUCCUUUGUAGAUAGCUCCGUUCCAUCCGCAACCUUAAACAAGGAAGCUUCGGGCAAGAGCGAGGAUGAUUCGAGGUGCUGCCCGGGAUGCUUGGGCAGGAAGUCGAUCGUCAAGGCAGCGGCCACUGCUGGUCCCGCAGUUGUAAAUAUUUCCGUCGCGCAUGGUUAGCAAUCUCUCAAUUUUGACCAGAUCAAUUUGAGGUCUCCGUGCGUAGAAAGCACUUUUGCAUAUCUACAUGGUGAAUUUUGGUUAUUUUGUAGGUAUUCAUGGAUUAAUGCUUGGGAAAAGCAUUGGGUCUGGAACAAUCAUCGAUCCUGAUGGAACCAUUUUGACCUGUGCCCAUGUUGUGGUAGAUUUCCAAAGCACAAGAGGUGUUUCUAAGGGAAAGGUUGGGAUCUUGACAAAAAGUUUUCCUUUGAUAGAGCACUUUAAAUACGUAAUGAUAUAUUAUUGUUACUUUUCUUUACUUAUCCUUUUUGUGUCAUUUGUUAAUAACACCGAAAUAGGUUGGUGUGACUUUACAAGAUGGCCGUGAAUUUGAGGGCACUGUCGUCAAUGCUGAUCUCCACUCAGAUAUUGCUGUUGUGAAGAUCAAAUCCAAAACUCCUCUACCAGUCGCAAAACUUGGCUCAUCCUCGAAGCUUCAACCUGGUGACUGGGUUGUUGCUCUUGGCUGUCCUCUUUCCCUGCAAAAUACCAUUACUUCUGGUAUUGUGAGGUGAUUGGUUAUUAGAUAUACUACACUCAACCUGCUUUAUUGGCAUAAUUUCCUCGGUAAAUAGGCUUAGUCACGUAUGUUUGAUUGUUUUGUAAAGGGUUUUCAUAUUAUUGGCUUCAUAUUAAUAGUGACAUGUUGCUCUAGAAUAGUCUGCUUGCAAUAUUAUUGUCAUGCAACUGUAUUUAACAGACGAAGUCUAUUAACACCUGUUUGUAUUUUUAGCUUACUCUUUCUUUUUUGCUUCUGUGUGUAGCUGUGUUGACCGGAAAAGUAGCGAUCUGGGUCUUGGAGGAGUUCGAAGAGAGUAUCUACAGACUGAUUGUGCAAUCAACGAGGUAAGUUUUGUCUUUUGAGUUAUCUAACAGAUCCUUAUUACUGUUUAACUUUACGAUAUUAUGCUUUUAUAUGGCUUUCAAUUGUUAAUCAGUAUUACAUCAUAUUGGCGUGUUGUAAUCAACUCGAUUUUGUCGAGCCAUAUGGGUCCAAUAGUGUGUAUAAAAGCUUUUUUUAUAUAUAUAAAAAAGAAGACAAACUCUUUGUCAAAGUUGUUUCUCCAUUUUGGGGAGCACAAAGGUAUUCUUUCUCCUGAUCAAGGACUUUGCAGAGAGAAUGAUGAGCAUUUUACCCUGCAGAUAUUGCUAUACAAUUUGCCCUCUGAUUUAAUAUUAAGCUAAAAUGCAGAGACACAAGAUGUGCAGAAAAAGUAUGUUGUUGGCUUGAUCAUCAACCUAUUUGGAAAUGCCAAUGAUCUUACUUAACCUUAGAUACUUUAACACUACCUUAAGUUUUUUUUCCUUGUUUUUUUUUUUUUCUUUUGUUUUGCGCUUUAGGGAAACUCAGGUGGCCCUCUUGUGAAUCUGGAUGGUGAGGUUGUGGGAAUCAACGUUAUGAAAGUUGCAGCUGCUGAUGGUUUGAGCUUUGCUGUGCCGAUUGACUCGGUCGUCAAAAUUAUAGAGCACUUCAAGAAAAGAGGGUAAGUGCUAGAUUUUUAACGAUUAAUUUUGAUUGUUCUCUAUUCUUCUUACCUAUAAACUACUUUCUUAUUGUUCACAAACAGAUAGCAUGGCCUUUGUUUCUCUGUUUGCUUGAUCCAAGCAAUAUGAAAAAUCUAUUUUAGAAUAACUAAGGAUUAUACUUUAGCAAGCAGUACUUUCUUGAUACUUCUCAUUGAGAAGCAAAGAUGGUUUGCUUGGUUGUAUGUACAGUUAGAUGCUUUGAGCUUUGCUGGCCUUGAUUAGUCAUAUGGCCAAGAAAUAGAACAACAUACGAAGUCAUUACUCAUCUAAACAUCAUACGUUCUAGAUGUUACUUAUAUAAAUCUUAUUUUAAUUUGACCAAAGUUGAUGAUAUAAUUCUUGCUGAUUGUUGAUCUAAUUAAGAACCUACUUGUUGCGACACCCUUUCAAGCGUAGUGGACUUUGUUACACCAGAUUAUAUUGCAUAUUGAUUCUUUAUUCAUAGAUGUCCUCUUAAAAAUGCAGAAGAGUCGUGAGGCCGUGGCUUGGGCUAAAGAUGCUGGAUCUUAAUGAAAUGAUUGUUGCUCAGCUCAAAGAAAGAGAUGAUUCUUUUCCAGAUGUAAGCAGAGGCGUGCUUGUUUCCAUGGUAAGUUUUUCAGAUUCAACAUAUGCUUUCUUAGAAGACUAUCUUUCAUGCUUGAUCAGACUCCAGGGUCUGCUGGUAAGUUUGGGGUGAUAUUAGGAAUUGAACAACAGCGUGAUAUUAAAUGUGUUAUGCCUUCACUAUGACACCUAAUCUGCCCCAGUUUAAUAAUUAUAUGGUUUGGCCCUUAGAUUCUUGCAAUCCAAAGAAAGCCUUGCCGACAAAAGAAAAGUAAAAACAAAAAGAAAAUAAAGAAAGGGUCUCAAAAACUAAAUUUUUAAUUGGUUCCGAGUGUUGUCAUCACAGUUUGGCAUCUCCAGUGCCACGGCAUUGCCGUUCUUGAUUGAGAAUACAUUGAAUGUUGUGUUUGCAGAAUAUGUAAUUAUAUUAUCAUGUGUAUUGGAUUGUCGGCAAUUAAUUUUUAGUGCAUAUCGAACUAUAUCUGGCAUUUUCUUAACCGCGUCAAUUAGUUAAAUCUAAAUCUUGGCGUAUAUCCAUAUUCCUCUCUUUGUUCUUGUUGAAGCAACAAAUAUCUUUUCAUAUUAAUUUCUGGUAAUGCCUAACUUCACUUGAACUUUUCAUGGAAACUGGAGCUUCUUCCAUUUUUUGUGUGUAGUGCCUAAUAAAUAAUGUAUUUGGAUUGCCAACCAGGUUACUCCAGGAUCACCAGCUGAUCAUGCUGGAUUUCGCCCUGGUGAUGUAGUUGUGGAAUUUGAGGGUAAACGUGUUGAAGGCGUCAAAGAGGUAUUGCACUAGCUUCAAUUCAAGUACUAAGAGCACUAGUCAGAACAAAAAAAAAAAAAAAAAAAAAAAAAAAAAAACUAAAAUGGAAAACCUGUAAUUCGAAACAACAUGUCUUUUUUCAUCUAAACUAAUCUCUCAUCACAUAUCUUGAAAUUCAUUUUCAGAAUCACUUCUUUCCUUCAGUAAAAAAAAAUUCAUUUAUAUUUAUAAGAAUAUCGAUCUAUGUUAUGCAUUGGAACAUGCUAGUUUGUACCAAUGUUGGUGUAGCUUUUUGUCCCUAGAGUAUGCGUAUAACCACUUCUCAUGUUGUAGUAUGAGCAACAACAUUGUUGUUGUGUAAAGCACUAGUAAUAGUUUUUAGUUCAUAAUUGCGUGAACACCUUUUCCCUAAUCUCAUCUUGCCAUUAUGCGAUUGUUGUACCAUAAAAUCAGCUAAACAAUCGAACAUUGUGUUUGCUCUCUAUCCCAUAGCUUAAAUUUGAUGGCAAAAAAACAACUGAGAGUUUCGUUACUGAUCGAAGCCAUAUAAUUCCCCAAUUUUUCGGCAUUGCAGAUUAUAGACAUAAUGGGUGAUAAAGUUGGGCAGCCUUUAAAGGUGCUUGUCAAGCGCACGAAUAACAAAUCGGCAAUGUUGACUGUAAUACCAGAGGAAGCCGAUACCGGCCGGUGACGCCAUUCAUAUGCGAAAAGGCGGGAGAGAGAUUCUGCUAGAAUACACUUGGAAUUAAGCGGGUGGGGAGUGUUUAUUUUUUUCCUUUUAGAUUAAAUAUCUAAUGGGUAUUAUGGGAUUUUUUUUUUUAUUAGGCAGACGAUUUUGAUUAAACAACUUGGUGGACGAUUUUGGUUAAACAAAUUUCAGAUUUUUUUAUUUUUUAUUUUUUUGGGGGGCUUAGAUAACUGCAUAUGUGAAUCAGGCUUGAUUUGUAGCUAUGAACUACUGUGUUGACAGUGCGUACAUUCCUCUGUUGUUAGUCUUGAAUCUGUCAUCAAAUAGAUGCGACUCUCUAUGGAAAUAAUGAUACCCUGUCACAAUCUUGUAAAUAAAUCAAAUUUGGCUUUGGUCAGUUUCUUUCACUCCCUUUAGGCUUCAGCAUCUCCUGUGUUUCAGAUUUAUGUCCUUUUAAAUGUUAGGUAUGUUUGGUUUAGCUUCUAGAAUAUCUUCUCUGCUUAAUCUCGAUAGUCGAAAUUAUGACAUUUCGAUGGAAAUACUACUUCCAACAAAAUACUGAGCUCUUUUCUUUCUGGUGCCUUUUCGCUUAUUAACUCCUAAAUCACCAAAGAGGAGGGCCAUGGAGGGACAUAACAUCUGAAAAAGAUCUCAAUUCAAUAGUGAUUUCCCCUGCCCGCGCUCGACAUCCGCCUCGCUUUGUACUGCGAAGCACUAACCGAAAACCGCAAUAACGGUGUGGCUAAACGCCAUAACGGUGACGGACGGCCGCCGUGAACUUCUCUCUUAAUCUGUACCUGGAACGGACUCUCAACUUGCAAAUCCUUGCCCAUUUAAUGUUAUUGUACCAAAAUAACGUGUAUUUUAGGGGACAAAGGUGCAAUGCGUCCGCUACCGAGUCCAUCUCAAUUGGCUGUUCGAUGGCGACGCGUUACUUUUUUUGGUUUAGAAACCCAAUACCUAAGUCUCAAUUAUUGGAGAAUAUCAAAUUGAUGUUGAAACCUAUUCCCCACCACGUUGGGUCCAGGCUCGUUGCAAAGUCUAAACUGGAACUAUUAUUGAGUUCGAAUCCAUUCGAGAGAGAUGAGACGAUGAAAUAGAGAGGAGGUUGGAAAAGGACAUUUUCUUUUCCUUUUUUUUUGGAGAAAAAUGUAAUUGUUCAAUAUUUAAGGCAUUACUAACAAGGCUAAAGAACAAUUUUAGUAUGAGAACAAGUAGAAAUAAACAAGGUCCAAUUAUUUUUGCGUCGCAACGAAGCAUCAAGUAAUAAUGUGGGUCUGGAUGUUAGGAAAACAUAACUUCUGUCGAGUACGUGGAUCUACGCGCGCACAUUCAUGGCUACCCAACGGUAAAAAUGUAUUAAGACCCCUCAACAAUAGGUCAUUCUGAAAGAGACUCCUUAACUAUCUAUAUAUAAAUAUAACUUUUGAAAGUUUAGGGUCUAUUUCAGAAUGGCAUAUAGUUGAGGGCGCAAUCAUUCAUUUCUACCCUACAUAAAUUUGUCUUGAAGUUGAAUGGCAUGAGAGAGAGAGAGAGUCUACAUAUUCCAGCAAUGUAGCAUGCUGUUCGCUUUAUUCAUUUUUAGAAAUGAGCUUAUCUGAAAAUUAACAUAAAUUAACUAGAUUUUCUUCAAAUUUGUUAUUUAUGUUAAGAACGGCCGGUGAGAGAGAGAGUCUCAGUGUUGUUUCUAGAUCUUCAUCUGGUAGCAAUAGAUGAUGAAACUGGUCAUUUCUAGAGUAGGUGAUGAUCACGAGUCCUAAUAACUUAAGAAGUGUUUGUGGAGCUACUGGUACAUAUGUAGUAGUCCUCAAAAAUAAAAACGAAACAUAAAGAAUGGACACUGAAUAAGUGAAACAUAAAGAUGGCAACUUUUGACUGAAAUUAGGAAGUGGGGCUUCAUGUGGCAUCAUCUUCAACUCGCUUAUGGCACCAUUUAGUUGUCUUCUAAUGGUUUCACCGGUCAUUUCCUGAGAAAAAUCAAUUUAAGAGCAACACCACAAAUCUUACACUCUAGUCUUUAAAAUACUAAGAUUUUUUUCGCUUAUUUUAUCAGUUUUAUUUUUAGUAUUAAAAAUUCAAAAGAGAUGCAUGUUUAUUAUUUUAAGUCCGGUUCAUAGGCGACUCUCUGGCCAAGACCACGGAAGUGACAUCCCAAAGGCUUGAGAAUGGUCUCACAGCGAAUAAUUAUGACUUAGAUGUGGAGAUAUAAAAGUCUGAAUAGGCUAAAGAAAUAACUUAAUUAUAACAUUUUGAAUUAGUGGACCGAAUAAGUACUCAAUUAAUUGAGCCCUUGGCUUCCUCACUAGUGAAGGGUCCUUUUUGUGGAGAAAUUAUUGCUUGCACCCUCUGUAUGUGCAUCUCAUCUAAUAUUUUUAUUAACCAAAUGUCUUAAAAUCAAAAAUUCAAUUUGAUAAAUGCGAUUUAACAUAAUUUAAAAGCCCUCGAUAGAAAAAAAAAAUUUACUAGAUUUGAAGAGCUAUAACUAAGCAAUCAAAUAUAUAUACUAAGUAAUCAGAGCAAAAGGACUCCAAAUUCAUAAUUUUUAGCCUGUAGAGUUUUUACCUGUUCAAUAAAUUAAAUUUGAACUUUAAAAUUUUUAUUAUAGAGUCUUAUACAACCGAGGAAGGCAAUAGUUUCUUCUAUGUUGAAAAUACAGUUGCAGCGGCACCUUUGUUCUAAGUAAAAGAUCGGGGGUUCUAUCCCACUAUUGUGAUCAAAAAUUAAAAACAAAUAAAUAGCCUGGUUCACAGGUGACUCUGUGGACCAAGACCACAAAUAAUUCCCUAAAGUGUGGGGUCCUUUUAUUUUGUGAACUAUUGUUUGUCUCCACCUCAGGUUUAUUUUUGUCCAGGACCCACCCACGUGGCACGCUCAUCUCCUCAGGUGCACCAACGCAUGCACCCCACACGCGGGAAGGUGCAGGUGCACACCACGUGGCUACACGUGUGGCGGGGGCUGGUCAUGUCGUUUGGUAGCUCUAUAUAUUUUUGACAUAUAUAUUGUCAGACUCAUAUAACAUUACGAAUAAUAUACGGACAAAUUUAUUGUCGGAUCGUUGAUAUUAACUAUUAAUUUUUUAAAAUUUUUAAUUAUUAGAAAUAUGUAAUUAGUUUACUUAAAACGUUCAGAAAUAAGUAUUUUUAUACGGAUAUCGAUUGUGACUCGAUUCAACCAGCCACUUGCCACUUGGAACAUAACUCGAUCUAACCCAACCUGAUACUUUGAACGUGACUCGGUUCAAUCCAACGUCCCGCCACAAGACAAGAUGCUGGCUUACUUGGUCCAACCUAGUCUUACGUUAUUUCGAAUGUGACAAUCCGACCUAACCUCUCGAUACACGGUAGGAUACGCACCUGCACAAAUUCGCUGUAUGCGAGAAUCGAAUCUGUGACUUUUGAUUUUGAUAUCACUUGUUAAUCGUUGGUGCUAAUCAUUAAUUCCACAAAUGUACAGAAAUACAUAAUUCAAUCACUUAAAGCGUAUAGAUACAAUGUCUACGAAUCUUAAUUGUAAAUCAGCUGAACCAACAUCACUCCACUACGAACAUAAUUUAGUCUAAUCCAACCUCACGAUAUUUCGAACGUAAUUUAAUCCAAUCUAACCUCUCGUCGUAUAGCAGAAAGCUGGCUUUUUCAAGCCUACAUUAAUUAAUAACAUAAUAUGAUGAGGAGAAUUACAAGGGAAGACACCAAGCAUUUCUCUAUCUUUUUUUUCUUUUUCUUUUUCUUUUUUUUUUGGCUCUUUCUCAUUCCACGGAGACAAAUGCGUGGGGCCCACGUGUCCCGAUCGAGCUCGCGACUCAAAUCCAUCCACGUAUCGUAGAAAGAGAAAGAGAGAAGUCAAGUUCUGUGUGUCCUAUUAUGAAUUUGUAUACAUUAACUCCCUUUUUUUUUUUUAUUCUAUGUAAGGAUUUUGAUGCCACUAUUGAGGUUGCAUGCAGUGAAUUGAUGAGAAAGAGUACAGGUUAGAUAGAGUCGCAUUGAUUUAAACUCUUACGGUAUUUUAUAAACAGUAGUUGUGAUCAUUUGAUUAAUUAUAUGAUUUUUUUAAAGCUGAUGAGAAUUUUCAGAACAAAAGUUUACGAUGAUACUGUAUGACGAUUUAUCUGCUAAAAAAAAAUUAAAUGUAUAUACAAAGGAUGAACUGAAUAAUAAGGAUAUUUGUACGGUAAAGCAAAUAUUUUAUAUAUAUAUAUAAGCUCAUAUGAGGAAUUUGUGAUAACCAAAUAAUAUGAAUGAUCUUAGAUUAAGGGAGAGCGAAGAAGUAUUCAUGUAAUGCAUGAAAAAAGAGAUCAGAUUUGACUUAGAUGGACGUUGGUGCGUAAAGAGAUAAAUUGUUAGACAUUUAUGAAAAAAAGUUAUAGAUAUGUAAAAUAAUAAUCAAGAGAUUACCGAAAAUUUAAUAUAGAACCAAAUGUAUAGAUUUUUAGCUUAGUGGUUUCAAAUAGACAAGUUAUAUUCUCGGUUUUCUUGAGAAUUGGGCUUCUCCAUCUGAAUUUUUUCAUAUUAAUUUAAUAUUUUUUUUGCAACAAGCAAAUAUUAUUAUUAGGAACGUGUAUUGGUUUUGGAUAGAGGAGAAAUAUAAGGCAUAAAAAUGUCAAAAAAGGAAAAGUUGUUCUGGUUUUUUGGAGAUUUUAUUUAAUUAAUGAUCAUUUGUGAUACAUGAAAAUGACACAUGGAGUAUUUGAUCUAUAUAAGUUAUAGGAUUUAAAACUUAUGCAAAUAAACUAUUUGAAAAUUAUCAGUCAAAAAGGCUGCAUUAUUUCAAAAUUUUAUGUAUAUUGUUUGUUCAAUUAGGAGCUAGUAAACCAUCCAUAUAUAGAAUAUAAAUGAUAUUUAUAUUUUUCUUAAGCUUCUUUAUUAUUUUUCUUAAAAUAUUAAAAGAAAAUUGUUUCAUACAAUCUAUUUAAUAAAAUAAAAUAAAAUCAUUUAGCUAAGAAAGAGAUGGCUUUCGAAUCAGACAUUGACUUGGCGACUCAUCCGAGUCGAACGUAGCAUUCUGACUCGCGAGCCCAUGGAAAGCGAUAUUAAUAGUCUCUUUUUUAUAAUUUAAUUAAAUGAAUAGUAAUAAAUUUUAAUGAAUAUUCUGUUAAUAUUAAAGUUAUAUUUUUCAAUAAUAUUUUAUUCUUGGAAAUGAGCUCAGUAUGGAGGAACUACUCAACAAAUUUUUAUUGGAACAAUUUAGCGAUUCAUAUUAAUUUAUCUUAUAUUUAAAUGUUAAUAAUCUAUUCUAAUUUAGAAAAUAUUUUUGUGAGGCUCAAUACUAUAUUGGACAACAGUUCUAAAUACAGUGCUCAUUAUUUAUUUAUUUAUUUAUUUAUUAAAUAAAUAUAUGGCGAGUUGGUUUAUGAUCCAAACUAAGAUUUAAUUGAUUUAAACUGUUCAUUUGGAGCAUUUUUUAACUAGAAAUUUUGGUUUAAUUACAGGUAAUUACAGAGAGUGGGUUACUAAAUUUAAGCACAAUAAUCUAAAACAGGGAGAGUUGGGUGGUAUUAUGUGGUGUGGAAAAAUGGAUGGUAGUGAGUGAAAGAAAGGUCCCUUUUUUUAGAGAGAGAGAGAGAGAGAGAGAGUGUGUGUGUGUGUGAGAGAGAUAGAAAUGAAAUGAUUGAGGUGGGCCCCAGAGAACCUAAAGAAGGAACUAAAGAGUGGACCCCACCAAUGACAAGAAUGUGUGUGGGGUGGUGGGAUCUUGUGUUGCGGUGACUCUCACUUUCAUGAGAAUAAUAUAUAAAUUAUAUAUAUAUAUAUAAAAAAGUCAAUAUUUAUAAAAAUAUAGUAGCCGGACUAUAUAUAUAUAUAUAUAUAUAUAUAUAUAUAGUCGAGCUAGAAUACUAUCGAUAGUAAACGGACUUCGUUGCCACCCAUUUGUUUUUAAUGAUGGAGCGCCUAUAAAUUGACGAUCAUGACCGUUGAACAAGAUCUAUACCACUUUAAGUAUAUAGAAACCAAAUUUCAAAUCAUUUCGACAUCAUUGACCUAAUGAUCAAAGGGUUUCAAAAUUUAUAAUUUUAAUAGUAGAUAUGAGACAUUUUCUCGUUUAAUAAUGUAAAGCUAUUCAAAUCAAUUGAAUUUUGAUUAGAAAAUUUUUUAAACUAUUUAGAAUAAGGUCUAUAUUCUCGAUCUUGAUUACAAAAUUCCUAUCAUCACUUUUUAGAGGAUAUUCAUUUUCAGCCGUUCAUUUUUACGCCCACUUGAUGGAUAAGAGAAUAAUAUCGGAAAAGCAUGAAAUUUGAUUUUUAGAUACUUCAAAUGGUAUAGAUCAUAUUCAAUGGUGCCAACCGUCGAUUUGGAGGCUUCAUCAUCGAAAACAAAUUGGUGGCAACGGAAUCCGUUUGCUACCGAUAGUAUUCUAGCUCAACUCUCUCUCUCUCUAUAUAUAUAGAGAGAGAGAGAGAGUAAGCUGGUAUGCUUAUAGAAGUACGGAACAUUUCGUGCUUCUAAGUCGUUUUCGAUGUUGGGAUUUUCGAAUCGACGAUCGGCUUCGUUAGAAUUGAUCUAGAGUAUUUGAAGUACUUAGAAAAUAAAUUUUGUGAUUUUUCGAUAUCAUUUGCCUAGUUAUCGAAGGGGCUCAAAAUUAAUAAUUUUAAUGGCCGUGGUAAGCCGUUUGCAAGUCUAACGGUGUAGAAAUAUUUAAAUUACGUGAAAUUUUGAUAGAAAAUUUUUUAUACUAUAUAAAACAAGUUCAAGAACUUUGAUCUAAAAUUUUAAUGUCAUAUCACCAUAUUUUGUAAGAUUUUUAUUUUCAGCCGUUAUAUCAAAAAAUCACUUAUAUAUAUAUAUAAACGUGAUUUUAUAUAAAAUAAUUUCAUCAUAAUAUUCUCAUUCUGAAAAAAAAAUUAUUGUGUGGGUGCUGGGUACCCAUAACUCAAUUAUUAAUUAAUUUAGUGUCUUAAAAUCCAAUAUGAGACACUUUUAGAAGUACAAAAUUUUUGAUAAUUUUAUAUAUAAUAAGUAAGAACUUUUUGAUAGCAUUGAUUCCUAUGAUUGUAGCUGCUUAUAAAAUAGAACUUUAUAAAGCUUGUGAAAAUUUGUCAUAUAUUAUGGGAUUAGAAUCCAGAUUUUAUCAGUUCAUACUUAAAAACUGGCAAGCAUCCAGAUCCAGAUUUGAAAUUUUGUAGGUUGCAAUCUACAUGGACUCUUUUGUGUUUUCUUUUUAAGCAUUUCGUAAGAUUUUUAAACUUUAAAACACUUCAAAGUUUUAUUAUAGCAGAACUCAUAUUUCAAUCUAUACAAUCUACUGUAAGGGCUUGUUUGAUUCAAUGGUGGAAUUGGAAUGGAUAAUGGAAUGAGAAUGAAUUGGAAUGGUAAUUGGAAUGGCCCACUCCUCCAAGACGUUUGGUUUAUUUGUGGAUUUAGAAUUGGAAUGAGUUAUUCACAUUUCAUUAUUUGGUUCGUAUAAACUAAAAAAAUUAUAGAAUACUAUAAUACUAAUUUUACUCUCAAAUAUAAAUUUAUAUUAUUUAAAAUUUAUGAAAAAUAUAAUACUAUUCUCUAAUACGUUUUCCAAAAAAAAUAUCAAAUUUAUUUUUAAAAACUUUUAUUGAUGUGCAUUAGGGAUAGGGUUUUGAAAGAGGAUAGUUUUUUUUUUUUAAUGAGAAAUGGGUGAAGAGAAGGAGGGUGAGAUGGUCACAUGAGCUUCGAGAACUUAGUGGGCUUCCGAAAUGAAAUCUCAAUCCGGGCUAGAAGACUGGAAUCAAGUUGAAGGCUAAUGGGCCAUUUCCAUUCCAGUCCAGAAUAGAAAUCCCAAACCGAUUCAUGCUAACCAAACAAAAUUAACCGGAUUUGAUCAAACCGAUUUCCAUUCCAUACCCAAAAUGGAUGAACCAAACAAGCCAUAAAUUCAUGAUUUUAUUUCAAUUUAAUUUUAAGAAGAUAAAAACAGAAUAAAUCAUCAAAUACCUAUCUAUCAAUCUAUAUAUACCAAAAUUUUACUCUCUAUUUUUUUUUUGAGAGAUAGGUAGCAUGCUAUUCGUUUUGUUUAUUUUAUUUAAAAAUAAACUUAGCUGAAUAUAUGAAUCAACUAGAAUUCGAACUUUGCUCUUUGUCACUUGCUCUAAAAACGAUGGAUUAUAUAUACCAAAAUUUUACUAAUAAUUAUUAUUACUAGCGCAGCUGACUGAUAUUCCGAAUGGCACGAUCAAGAUAUCAAAGAUUUUAUCUUGAGCGUACCAACUUAUUAACUAUUAAGAUAUAUUGAAAAAUAUAAAAAUAGAAUAUCAUAUAUCAUAGUACAGUAAUAAAAAUAGCAUUUUUCCUCCAAUUAAGAGGCUCCUCAAUACCACAGGGGUUGAGAGGUUCUCCCCCUCCCACCCCUCUCUCUCUCUCUCUCUCUCUCUCUCUCUCUCUCUCUCUAUCUAUCCUUUUUCCCCUCCAUUAAUGCAAUCUCAAGGUUAAUUUCCAUUUCCAUUGUCUCCCCUUUUCUCUUUCCCCUUCUCUUUCCCCCUUAGAUUCCCCCACCACUCCUCCCUGUCCCCCUCUCGUUGUUUUCUCCUACGCCCUACACCACUCCCUUUCCCUUCACCCCACUGUAUAUAAAAAUCCCUUUUUUAUUUAUUGUUUCCUCUUGCCCGGUACGAUCGUGGUGUCUUUUUUUUUAAAACAAGCCCCAUUUUUUCUAGUUUAUUUCGACGUAUGGUGGUUCGACUCAGCUGGGUUUUUCUCAUUUUUUCUCCGUUUUAAUUUCAGGGUGCCCAUGGGGAUUUAGCUUGGUGGGUUUUGAUGUGUGUCUAGAGCUUCCGCUAUAUGAUUCACAGAUCAUUUUAGUUUUCAUCUCCAGUAGAGCUCUCUCCGAGCCCAUUUGGUUGCGAUUUGAUGAGAUAUUGGAGAAAUUUUUGUGUUUGAGUCAUCUACGAUGGAGGAGGGUGGAAGCAGCUGCUAAAGAUUGGAUUUUUUUUUUUUUUUUUUUCAACGUUUUCGGAGGUGGGUAUCGAUUUUUCCCCUUUUAUUUGUGAUUUUUUAGCCCAAAAAUGGGUGCAAAGUUCCUUUUUGAUUCAGCUUUUUCGGGCUUUUGUUUGGCUCUUUCUAUUUAAAAAGAAAAAAUAAUAAUUUCCCAUUUGUUGCAGAAAUUGGGUUUAAUCUAAGAUGGAGGGUGAGAGCAAGACCAUGGUGAUUAGAGAGAAGGAUUGCGUGAAUUGGGUGAAAGAGAAAGAAUCAGAGGUGGAAAAAGAUGGUAAUGGUGAGUUCUCAAAAGAAGCUCCCUUUACGAAGAAGCCGAGGUCAGGUGCUUCUGAUUUGAUCGAAGAAUCUGAUAUCAAAAGGAAAGAUAAGGAUAAGAACAGAGAAAACAGGAAGCUCAGUCGGCAGGACCGAAUCGAGCUCAGCCGGCUUUUUCAGGGCGCGGUGACGUCUCACGAUUGGGAGCUCGCGGAGAGCUUGGUUCCCUUGGCCGAUCUUCAGACUCUCAAUGAUGCAUUGUGUGUGGCGCUGGAUUCGAUAUGGUUCUUGAGCACCAAUGACGAAUUGCGCGGAAUCACGGGGCUGAUAAAGAAGAUCGUCGCGAAUGGCGCGAACGAUUUCACGAGGGCGGCCCUCCGGACCUCGUUUCUCGCUUCGUGCGUCUCUGCCUGUAAAAGCAAGACGUUGAGUUUGGCCGAGACAGUGAAUGUCAUGGCUCAAAGGUGAGCCUGCCUCCGUCGGUAUUCUUGUUAUGUAACUUUACAGAUUCUGCAAUGACUAAUUUGGCAUACUUCCUAUUGUUUACCGAAGAAACAUUUGUUACUUCUUUACUGAGAAGCAUGAAAAGAUGCCUAUAAAAUGAAGAACAAGAAAUAAUUAAUCCCAAUUUAUAUGAAUUUGAUAAAUUACCUCAAUAGGUGGAAUGCAUGGAAAACAUGAUUAAGACCUUGCAUCUAACGCUUAUGAACAGUAUUGACAAAGACAAACUCGUAUGUAGCGCAAAUAAUCCGUGUACAACUACUUCCGAUUUCCGACAUCCAUACAUUCACAUGGGGCGCUAGUACCGCAAUCGUACACCUUUUUAUUUUAUUUUUUUCCGUCACGAAGAUCGAUAGAACUUACGGUUCCACUUGAAUGUGGGAACAGGCUGUACUAUGAUAACCUCUGUUUGAUAGAGAUCAAAAAAAUUUUACCAUUGGAAUUAACUUGUCCUCAAUUGUACUCUCAGUAAAACUAAAUUUUCGACUCUGAGAGUUAUUGACUUAGCUCAUGAGGUGGUGAUUUAUUAGAAGUUCUACAAAAUUUUGAAUUUUUUUUCUUUAUUACUCUUUGCAGAUAUCAAUUAGGAUUUACUUUUCAUUACCAAAAGUAUAAUAUUCUCCUAAUUAAGAUGUAUUUCAAAUGCUCAUUGUAAGUUCUUCUUUUGGCUUCCUAAUCAGACUGCAAGAGCGUCUCCAAGAAUGCCACGGCGAUGAGGUUUUGAAGGCAGAAGCAGGUGCCAAAGUCCAGAAAUUCACGGAAUGGGCUUUGAAGUGCAUCGGCUUCCACUCGCGUUCCCGAGAGAAUAAUAUGGAUAGUAGAGGGAAUCAUGGCACGAUUCUCGAAGUGCAGCUACAGUUAUCGGCAUUUAAGGCUUUUCUGGAUCUCGCAGGCAAUCAUCUCACAGGGAAGGACUUCACCGAGGCCUUCGAUGCGGCCUGCUUUCCUCUUACCUUGUUUUCCAGCUCGUUUGAUCCCGGCUGGGCUUCUGGGAUUCAAGCAACUGCUAUUCAAGGUCUUUUGGGAAUGCUUGUAGAGGGGGGCGCGGAUAAUGUCAACCAGUGCUUUCUAGAAGCUUCACGAUUUGGGAGUACUGAACUUGUCCGCAUCUUGCUUCAGGUAAUCCAUGAAGAACUUGUUCAAUUUGAAUAUGUUCAGGAGUACUGCACAUUCUUAUAGUUGUAUGUGCCAUCCUUAAUGCUAUCUGAAUCCUUAGGAUGUAUUUACUGCUUCUUCAUAAUAUAAGGCCUUUCAAUUAUACAGGACAUUUUUCCUUUGAUGAUGUAUUUUAUUUGAUAUUUUCUACAGUUAUGUAGUCUUGUUGCUGCAUAAUAUACAGGUUUAAUUUGGCCAUGUUGUAAUGCAUUGAGCCAUUGAUUAAUUCUGAUAUUCCCUGUUAAGCAAUGUGUUAUAUUUAUUUCAGAAGUUUCUUGGAGCAUAUUUCCAUCUUUUACUAUUCAGUCUUUUAUGAUGCCAUUUAUUCAGUUUCUGGGAUAACAUAAGAUUAUGUUAUUUAUCGAUAAUAUGUCCUGUUCAGAAGAAAUUUCUCGAGUGUUUAACAACUCAUGGAUCAUGGUGGAGUGAAAUUCACAAUCUCAUCUGUCUAAUUGUAAAUAGUUAGGUGAAGUUUGGUGUUGCCUUUUUUUUAUCUCGCCUGCAUAUGCCAUCUGCGAUCGGCAAAUGGAUGUUCUGAGCAGAAUAUGUUUCGUUUUGUUAAUGCUAUGCUCUACCUAUUUGAAGUCCGUGCCCUGUUUAAAUGAAUAAGAAUGCUUGAUGGAAAUUUUUUUUCUUUUUCUCCCUCCUACAAUGUGUGAGCAACUGAUCGAAGAGCAUUUAAUGGUAAUAUUUCUCUUUAUCAAAAUAAGCAUAGCUGAACCCUGAUAGUUUCUUUUGUACAUUGUUUUCAUAUAUCCAUACAAUGAUGUUUUUAACCAUUUUGUUCUUUCUUUCUAAAAUUCAGAUUGCUCAGAGGAACAGCCUGGAUGUGGAUGUCGACCUUGCCCUUGGCUUUGCAUCCCACUACUGCAAGAUCGGGACCAUGGAGUGCCUUGUCGAGGAAGGGAACGCUGCCGCCUUUCUAGGCCCACUGAUGCGGGCGGCCGAGCGGGGGUGCAUGCCUGUUGUCCGGUGGUUUGUUGGCAGGGGCUGCCGCGACAUGGAGCUCUGCCUCGCCCUCACAGCUGCCACCUCCGCCAGCCAGGUCGACAUCGCUGCCUACCUCCUCCCCCAUGUCCCUCGUCAUGUCCUUGCGGCCCUCAGCGUCGAGAUUCUUAAGGCCGCUGGCGAGCGGAGUGGUGGCGGGUCCCUAGACGGUGUCGCCUUCCUCCUCCAAUCUGACUUCUUAGGUGACCCUGCUGCGACCUAUGCUGUGGCCGACAGCAUUGCACAGUCGGAAGAUGAGGCAGUUGCGCCAGAACUUAGGGCUUUUCUAAAAGAGCACUGGUCGGAGGCGGCGUUCGCAGAGGGUUUGAGGUCAGGGGAGGACCACUUCGUGAAUUUCAUGAGGGUUUUGAAGAAUGGGGGCUCGCCCAUGUGCCUCAGGUUCUAAUGAUUCCUUUCUUUUUGCAUGUAUAUACCCUUGCAAAUGCGUAGGAUUGCACAGAUGGCCUCACAAAGUCGGUAUUUGUGUGUCAGCUUCUGAAAACCAUAUUUAUUCACAUUUAUCCCACUGUUAGUGUAUAGCUAAAAAAAUUCAUUUUUGCGUAGAUACCCCGAAAGGGCACGCAGGCAGAUGAAUAAGGUUUGAGGGGCAUAACCAUUAUAUGAAUUUUUUAUAUAUAUAUAUUUGUAAGGGUAUAUGCGCAAAUGAACUCUUUCUUAUUCUGAAUCUUAAAUAUCUAAAUAUCUAAAUGCUGGUAAAAUCCAGGGACCUGCCACGGCCGCUAGUAAUAGCAAUGGCGUACCUGCCGCUCUAUAGGGAGUGUUUAGCGACUGGGGCCAUGUUGUUGCCGCAGAGGCUGAGAGGGCGGCUCGUGGAGGCAACGAGAAGGCUUGGUGGCAGCGGGGAGGUCGAUAAAAGUAACCAAGGGAGAGAGCUCCUGCCGAUAUUGGAGCAGCACCUGCCGACCUUCUUGACCAGACAUAUAUAAAAUCUUUAGCUGAAAACAAAGAGGAAAAAGAAAUUCCGGGCUUCGUUACUGCGGAUAACAUUGUUCUCCCUUUGUGUUGAGGGUAGCAGGGCUAGUUGGUGUAUGGGGAUGAACUUUUAGAAACUUGAGGGUUUAUAUUGAUCACUGCCUAGAGGAAGUGGUGAUGAGAGUGUAGUUUUGGGCUCUUAUAUGCUUUCAAUUAAUGUAAUUUCUCCGUGUACUUCGGAUCGUCGUCGCCCCGCCCUCUUUCAUCGAUGAGAUAUAAGAAUGUGCAGUAUCUUAUAAUGAGUCUUAUAGAUGGCUAUGAAAUUGCACAAAUUUUUCGGCCCAUCGGAAUUGCAUUUAUCAGGCCUGAGCAUUUCUGAUCAUUUGCUUUUCUUCUUAAAUUUCCUUUGAACUCUGGGACCUACUGGUUCCGUUUUUCUGUAAAAUUGUGAGCUAUCAUCCUGCUGAAACAAAAUAUUUUUGUGAUAGUUCCUGUUCUGAGUUAGAAAUGUACCGGAACCACGAAAGGUUAACAAGGUUAACUACUCCGCGUUCGAUUACUGUUUCUUCUUAUUUUGCCGGUUCACAGUGUAUGCUUCAGAUCCUUGAUGCUUUUGAUUCAGCAGAGCAUUUUGUACUCGGAUUUUUUUGAAAUAAAUCCUUUUCUUUGUUAGGUAUGUUUAUUGUCAUGGUAUAGUAGUGUGGGACCCUCAAUCUCGUGCACCUAUUUGCGCCGAAUCAUGCAAAGUUUGAGUUACUUGUCAAUGCAGAAAAUUAAUAUGGACUGUGUCAAUAUCAUGGUAGCUUUCUUUGAUAAAUACAUUCAAGUCCAACACUUUCAUCUUUAAAUAAUACCCUCAAUAUGUCACGUAAUUAUGUUCCAGCCACGUUCCACAAAUAUUACUAGAAACAGCAACUUCGAAUUAAAUUAAACAGUUAAUCUUGUUGUUCCCUAGUUCUACUAUGAGCAUAAGAAACACCAUUGAGAGAAAAUGAGAAAGCUUUCCAGGUUCUGCAUGUAUAAAAAAGAAAAAUGAUACAGAACCAUAAUAUUUCGAGCUUCUAAACAAGUGUUGUAGAGCUGUUCGAAAAAGCAUUAUCAAUUUUUGACCAAUUUCCUUUCACCGAAAGAAGUAAAAAAAUUGAGAUUGAAGCUUUUACUUCGUGUUUUGAUUUCAUAAAACAACAAAAUUAGCAAUGUAUUUUUUGUUUGUAGAAUAUCUUCGUCAGAAACUAGAAAACCAAUUAUCAUGUUACAAGAGUUACUCUGAUUAUCUCAUAUGAGCACACAGAUAAUGCAAAAGAACUGUAAGCCAUGCCUGUGGAUGAUACAAAUUCUGCAAGGUAUAACUGGAAAAUGAUGGUUACAUAUAAAGACUCCGCAUCAGUAAAGUAGUUAGAGAGUUGAUUCAAAAUAUGGAAAGAGAUAAUAACUUCUAAAAUGACUAGCUUGCCGAGCAUUUUUCGGUUAAGGAGAAAACACAUUGCAUGCCUUUUUAUGUCCUCUGCAAUAGCCAGCAAUCAUUAUACUAUUCAUUUAAAGUUGUUUGCAGUAGUUCAUCACCAUUAAUUCACACCCAUGGGUAGUUGUAUUACUUCAAAAGACAAUAUAAUAGAAAAUGAAUACACUGCAUGUGGAAACAUAACUGCACAGUAAUUUUUGUAUAGAUACUCCAGAUCAAACCAUUCAUUUUUACCAAGAACACCAAGACAGAAACUUGAACUGCAGAGCACGAAUUUCAAAUAGCAACAAAAGAAAAGUAGAUUUGCUUGCAAAGAAUACUGAAAUCUUAGGAAUGACUAAGUAGAGCACAAUAACAUUUCUGAGUCUAACGUCAUUCAAGAACAUCAAGACACAUAAAAUACAGAAAAAUGAUCGCCAUCUAUUAGGAAAGCAUCACAAUCCAAUCUUUAAUUCUUGUCCAGAUGCAUUGUGAAUACAUGACGACUCAGAGACGCUGCUGAAGAGAUGUACGCAUGCGAUAACAUACAUAGCUUAUCCGCACAACAGCAUCGAGAACAAAAGCAGUAAUUCCGCACACUAUUUCCACAAAUGCACCAAGAACAAAACCAACAACUGAAGCACCAAAGAUCUUCUUUAAUUAGUCUUCAGAUACUAAUGAAUCUAGCCUUCAAGUACUCCUUUUUCUUUUAUAAAGUCCAAGAGCACUGAAGCACCUCCAAGCAUUUUAAACCUGAUUAGUAGCUUCAAAAAGCUGAAACGACCGACAUCAAGCACAUGCUUCUGUAACUUGCUGCAAUAGUUUUAUUCAUAACUUGAUUCUUUUUCCGUGUUAGCAACAUGUACAAUAUAGGAUGGAAAUGUAAUCGGACCAGGAAAAUUGAUGAUCGAAAUCAACCAUAACAAAUUUAACUUCAAAUGUACUGAUUCUGCACGCUGUUUCAAAGGAAUGAAACUAUAUUGCAAAGCAACUUCUAUAUAAUGUAAAAUCGAUUAAUUGAUAAAAGUACAUUAUAAGCAACAACCAUCGACAACUCGGCAAAACAAUUCAUCUCGCUCAUCUCCUGAAAAGUGAAAAUUUUCACAGGCUUAUUUACAAGUAGGACGACGCAAUAUUCCGGACAUCGGAUGGCAUAAAAGCCAAGACCAUAAGCACGACAAGUAUGCCUAUCGGAAGUAGCAAUAGCAUCGAGGGCGGCGGCGGCAACGGGGGCAAAAUGAGCGGAAGUAUAAGCAAUGAGACAGUUAAGCAGAGAAGCAGAAGACAUGAUUCCAUGCCGAAAUAGUUCGGCAGAAGAGCUUUCUUUUCAGUUGCUACCAGUUCUCGUGUUCUCUUAACCGCGCUCGGACCGGCUGGUACAGAAUUCCUCCUCCCUCUGCCUUCCAUUUCACAAUUCUCGCAAGCCUCAGUUUCAAAUCUUCCUUUCCGUAAUUCGCUCUCUAAGCGAAGAAUCUCAAAAUACAUUUAAUAUGGUCCCCUUGUGUUUGUUGAUUUCGUAAUUCCGGUACCGGAAAGAAAGAUGCGCCGUGGUCGGUAUAGUUUUGAACUGUUAAACUGAUUAAGAAGUGUUCAGUGGCAAUGUGAAGCUUGAUUUGGAGAAACAAAACACAGUGAUUUUCAAAGCAAAUCUGAGUACAUUGAGUAGCAAUAUCUGUUGCAGAUCAAAUCACAGUUCACCCUGUCAAAAUUGUGGAGAGAUAUUGCCAUCAGCUUAAUGAUAUGUAUAAAAAUUGAAGCAAAAGAACUUCAAAGAGCUCUAAAAAAAAAGUUGAACUUACUCGAUUCAAACAAACAAAUAAUCAACAAAUAUAACCUUUUAUUAUGCUUUUUUUUUCUCUCUCUCUCUCUCUCUCUCUCCUAUGUACCAACUUGACCAAAAGGCAAAAUAUGUUCAAAGGAUUAUAAGGUAGCAGCUUCAUUUAUUAGAAUAAUGAACUACGCAACAAAGCUGAGCCUGUAGGGCCUUGAACUCAAAAAUAUUAUUUAUAUAUGUAGAACACAUUUGAAACCUUUUAGUAUAUGAAGUGAGUAUUAGACAAAAAGUGAAUUUUGCAUAAACAAAAUUUAGCAAACAUAUAUGUAUAUAUAUAAGAGAUAGAAAAAAAAAGAAAAAGAAAAAAAAAGAAGUAAUACCUUUGCUCCCACCUCAGCUGUAUUAAUGAAAAAUGACAAGUGAGAUCAAGAGCAAGAGCUCAUAUGCUUAAAUUGAUGAACAAGGAGGAGAUGUUGGGAUAGAUAGAUAGAUAGAUAGAUAGAUAGAGCAAAAAAAAAACAAAAGAGAGAGAGAGAGAGAGAAGGAAACAAAGGAGGGAGGAUGAAUAUAUGGUAAGUAAAGGGUUGUGCUUGUGCUUUGAUGGGUGGUAUGUAUGUUUCAGAGAUGAGAGAGCAAAAGAAAAAGGCAAAUACCUGUGAUGGUGAAAUGGGCUCUUUGUUGCUCUCUUUUUAAUAUGCUGGUAUAUAUGGGGAGGGGUAUGCUGUAAAAUUGUGUGUGUGUGUGUGUGUGUGUGUGUGUGUGUGUUGGAGGAGGAGGAGGAGGUGGUGGUGGGGGAAAGCAGUUUGAGAAUUUUUGGGUUAGAUACACUGCAUUCUAAUUCUAGGACCCCAAGUUGUUAAGCCACCCCAUGCAAAGUGGGGAACAUUUAUUUGGCCUUUUACCAAUUUUUCUUUUUGAAGUUUUGAUUUUUCUUUUGAAAGGGGAACAGGUUUGGUGACUAAGGUUCCUCCCCCUUGGCCACCCCAUGUCCCUCUCUCUCUAACUCUUUGGCUCUUUCUCUCUCAUCCCACCUCAUUGUCUCAUAGUUUUCACCCUAAUCUCAGUCAAAAGGGUCUACUAUUCUCCUCCUCUGCCAAUUUGCCAUGUGUUGAGCCAUUGUUCUACAACAGUGACUUUUCAUUAGGUAGUAAUAAGAAUAAUAAUAAUAAUAAUUCCGACCGACUCUAAAGCAAGUAACAAAUAAUUUGAUGGUUAAUAUCAGAGACCUAAGUUCAAAUCCUAGUUGAUUUAUAUUUCUAGCUAAAUUUAUUUCUAAAUGAAAUAAAUAAAGCGGGUAGCGUGCUAUCUAUCUCUCGAAAAAAAAAAUAGUAAUAAUAAUAAUAAUAAUAACACCAAUCCCUGUCAUUGUUCAAUGUUUUUUAUCCGGUCGCAAACCAACAUUGUCACCAAAAAAAAAAAGUGAAAAAAAAAGAAGAAAAUGUUCCCUUUUCUUUGUUUUUCUUUUUUUUUUUGGAGAGCAAAAUGGUCCCAUAUUGGUCAGGGAAAAUCUUGGGGGAUUUUAGAGAUGCUGUUUGCCCUUGUUAUGCCCCAACUAGAUAUUGAGUCAUUGAACCAACAUGUUGGGUUCAGGUUUUUGAAUUUUUCUAUAAGACUGAUCGAAAUUCAGUUUAAUUCGUAAUUUCAAAUCUAACAAAAACUGAAAUAAUUCGAUUUAGUUCGGUACAAAAGCUUUGAUCAACAAGCGACAGAAGAAAUUACUUGCUUGUAAAUAACAUUUUCUUUCUCUCCACAAUAACAUUUUUAUUUGUACCGCUAUCUGAGGAGUUUCAUAAGGCUUCACACUAAUAGUGCUACCGUAAAUUAAAUUUAAAUAAAUUUAUGAAUGUUAAAAGCAGAAGUUUGUGCUCAAGUUAAAAUAAACUUCUACACGAGUAAAAGUAACAGAAAAUUCAAUUUAAAAAUUCUGCUUCUAACUUUUACAAGAAGAUUCUUGGUAUAAAAUCUAGUUAAAAAAGCUACCCUUCUUUUAUUGAUAUCCAAUCUCCUCUCUCCCUCUCCAUUCAUUAUAUCACAUACUUUUUUCUUUUUUUUUUUUGUAUAAAAGUGUAAAUUUGAGGAAUUCGAUACAACAACAAUCACAAUAUUUUUUUUGGAAAAAAGGAAAAAGAAAAAGAAAAAGAGUAAAAGUGGGGGAAGGAAUAAUAAAAAAGAGGGGGAGGGGGGAUGCAUAUGCACAUAGCUGGAGAAUCAAUUGCCAAGUUGCAGCAUGGCAUCUCUUUUUCGUCUCAGAAAUCCUGCAGCCCCUCCGUAGUCGGUACUCCCAGUUGCCACUUUUUUUUUGAUAUUCAUAUCUUUAUCUUUAACAAUAUACAAAUUACGAAGGAAGCAUCUUUAUUAAUUGCGUAGUAGAGUAAUCCUCUCCCACCAAUUGGCUAAUCAUGUUAUUCAUGUGCCGCACGAGAAAGUGCUCUCGCUGUAUCAACUAUUUCCCCGUAAAAGUAAAAUCACGUGAUGUGUGAUCUUCCCUAAAAUGGUGAGCAAAAAUAUUUAAAACAUGUUUUUAUGCUUACCCCUCAGUGGGUUCGUACUUUUUCACUUUAAUACUCUAUGGUUUAAAGUUUAUCAAGUUAGUACUCUGUCGUUUCGCACUUUCUCACUUUAAUACUCUGUAAUUGAUUUAAAGUGUAUCAAGUUACUACCCUGUGAUUUCGCAUUUUUUCACUUUAGUAUCUUAUGGUUUAAUAUUUCGCUAAAUUAUAUACAAAAACUUUAAAUAUCCUACCUAGGUUUAUCGAAUAUUCAUUUUAGUAUCCUUUAGUUUUAACUUUGUCAUUGAUUUAACGAAAAAAAUGCCAAAAUGGAGAAUAAAAAUAGAAAAAUGAAAUCACAUAAUACUAAUUUGAUACAAAAAUAAAACCACAGAAUACUAACUUGAUACACUUUAAAUCAAAGGUACUAAAAUAAAAAAAGUGCGAAACCACAUGGUACUAACUUGAUACACUUUAAACCACAGAGUACUAAAGUGAAAAAAUGCGAAACUACAGGGAGGUUAUUUGAAAUUUUUCCUAAUUAUUAUAACUAUAAUGCAGUUGUAUUUAUAACAUAUCCAAAUAUGAUGCUGGCUUGAUUUAAUGCAUAUGGACCCAACUAUUGUAGUUAGAAAGGAGUAUUAAUUUAAAGAGCAAAAGGACAAAAAAAAUUGUGGAUCCCAUAAAUCCAUUACCAUAAAUAGUAAUUAUAAAUUCUAAAUUAUUACUAAAUAUAAAAGUUAUAUAUAUAUAUAUAAAAUAUAAAGGAUUAAUUAAAAUAUUGAAUAAAAAAUUAUGUUUACUGUUUAAGGAAGAUGUAUCAUAUGGGCUGCUGCUUGGAUAGGAACGUGGACAAGUUUUUAAUGAUUAUUUCACAUAAAAUUAAUAAUAUUUCAUUAUAAAAUUCUUUAAUUAAAUUAAAAUAUAAAAAUAAUAAUUUUUUUUCUUGAUAAUGUUUUUGGUUUGCUCUUUCUAUUUCGACCCACAGGAAGAGAUUGGUUGGUUGGUUUGGCUUGUUAGGCGGUGUUUGGAUAUAUCAUAUAUGAAAGAUUGAAAAUGAAUUUUGUAAAUAAUUUAUAUAAAAUAUUUUUCUAGUGAAAUACAGUUUGCCAUAAUCUAUGUCAAUUUUUUUUAUAAGGGAUUUGAUUGGGUGUAGUUAGAACUACAAAAUAAAAAAAAAAUAUAUGUAGUUAAAAAUACAUAAUUAUAAUUAUAAGCAUCUUGUUCUGUUCGAUGGAAUAAAAGAGACUGUAAGUAUAAAUAAUUUGUUUUGGUUGCACGUAAAUGAGAACCGUAUUUUUAAAAUUUUGUCAAUAUAUAUAUAUAUAUAUAAUAGUGAGAUUACCUAUACUAUAAAAUAUAUAUAUUUAUCUUAAUUUUGUUUAAAAAGUUAAUCUCUCUAAUUGCUACAGUUAGGUCUUCAUAGACAUGUCCAACUAGAUUAACGUACAAAUGUAUAGUUCAUUCUGAAAUAGAUCGCUCUACUUUUUUUUUAAAAAAAAAAUUGAACUUUCUUUAACUUCUAAAUUUUUAUCUGAUUUUUUAAAUUAAUUUAUUUUAUUCGCUAAAUUUUUUUUUAAAAUAUUAAAGGCAGUAGGAUUAUAAAUCAAUCUAGGAAAAUAUCUAGAAUUAUUUGCUAAAAUUAUUUUAUUUCAAAAGUUAGAAAAAAAAUAAAAAGUGGCUAAUUUCAAAAACCCUUGAUUUAACUUAGUUAUGUGGUAAGAUUUUUUUUAGCUUACUUGAUCAACCCACUCGUCAGAAGUAGAUUGGUUGGUCCGCUCCGUUGUGUUCGAUGCGACGAUGCUAAUAAUGUGAUUUGUGAGCACCCGUAAAUUUUAAAUAGUAAAAACAAUCUUUUUUAAUUUGUUAAUAACUUGUUGAAACUUAAACUUAAAAAAAUCCUUUUUUUUCUUUUUUCUUUUUUAACCAAACCAUGAGUCCAUGAGUAGGCAAUUCAAGUACGGAACGCAAGCAUAAAGGGGUAAAAACGGUUUGCUGUUUAGUUUUUUUUUUUUUCGUUUUUGGGUCAGUUUCGUAAAUUUCAAAAUUUUUGAUAACUCUGUUAUAGCCAAUUUCAAAUUGAAGUCUAAAAUCUCGAGCUUUAAAUUGAACAUCUUAUUCAUCUAUUCUGAGAUAAAUUUGUUGUGGUUCGAGCUAUAUAACAAGAUAGCUUGUCCGUCUGUCAUUUUGUAACUUAUUUUUGUGCUAAAAUAGUAUAAAGCAUGUUGCAGUUGCGGUGUGGUAAAAGAAUUGAGCUUCUAUGCUUUUAAAAGUACCAAGUCAUUGGUGCUUGUAAGUUUUCGGCCCUUGGAUUAAAGAAUGUACGGUUAGGAUGAUGUGGGCCCCCUAGGGUUGAGUGGGUGGUUGGUUGAAUAGUAUAAUUUAACGGAUAAAAAUGAUCAAAGGCAGGGAUCUAACGAUAAAAAAUUUACAAGCACCAAAUAUUUCAUAUUUUUAUAAGCACCAUAGCCGACUCGUGGUAAAACAUUAAUAGGAGUGAUAUACAAAAUUUGAAAUAUUGGUUCAUACGUAUCACACCAAAUAAUUUAUAGAUGCUUUUGCGGGGAAUCCAAAGCAUUUUGAUGUGAAUAGAGAACAUGAAAGAGGCCUUGAAUAAGUAUAAGUUGAUUAACAUUAAUUCCAAAGAAAAGCUCAAAGAAAUAAUCCUAGGGUGUGUUUGGUUCGCACUAUCUUUUAAAUAUUUCUAGUAAUCUAAUAGGAAUAAAAAAAAUAUGACAGUAUUUGGCUAAACGCACUAAGUAAUCUAGUUGGUAAUAUUGAAUUUACUUGGGAAUAAGAUUCAUUCCAAAGUACUAAUCUCAUUCCCUUGAGGAAGGGUGGGUAUCCUAUAAUAUGGAUUGCAGUAAUCAUAAUAUGUCUAAUAUCUUUCUUUCUCCCUACCCGUCAGCUAAUUGGUAUUAUUUUUCUUUACACUAUAACCUCAUAUCUUUCUCUAAACUUAUCUUUCUCUCUCAAAUUUAACACUUUUUCUCUCUCUAAACUAAGCUUUUUUUUUCCCUCUUUUUCUAAAAUCUCAACUCUCUCACUCCCUCUAAUUUCGACUAUAUUUUUCUUACUAUUUUUUUAAUUAUGCUCUCUCUUUCUAACCUAUGAUCUCUCUCUUUUUUCUAAAAAAAUAUUAAAAUUUUUGGUAGAUUAUCUAAAAUUAAUUUAAAAAAUAAAUAAAUUAAUUGUAUAUUUUUUGUAAUCUUAAAUAAUAUGGCUAAAUAAUAUGACCGUGCGAACCAAACACAGAAAUUUCACAUUCUUAGUAAUAAAAUAAAUAGAAAUAAAAUUCUCGGACAUCUUUUCAUUCCUAAUAAUCUUUCAUAAUGCGAACCAAACGCACCCUUAUUAUAAUCUUGUUUGUCUCAGCUUUUAGCAUUGAUUUCGAGGCGUACGGAACAUUCAAGCAUGUAAUUGGCGACGAUAAGCGCAUUUUCAUUUCAGGCAAAUUUGCAAUAUAAUCAGUUGUUUUUAAACCAACUUUUUUUAGUUUAAGUGAUCAAGCCAAACAGGCUCUGCAUGCGUUUAGUUAUUCAAAAUGUUAAAUUACGUGGAUAACGCUUAUUCCACCUAGGAUUUAAAAUAGUGGAAAAGGCAACGGAGCAUCUCACAAAAUUGUCCUUUCUCCUAUGCCGUGCAUCAUGGGGAAUUACAAAAAAUUGACUCCGAAUAAACUCAACGUAUAAACCAAUCAACUUGUCUUAAAGUUUGGACAAUUAUAUGCCAAAAAAAAAAAUGCUAAAAAUAAAAUUAAUCAAAGUCAACCAAUGAUAUAUACAUUUUUGGGGUCAAAAUUAGCUGAAUUAUAAAUAAAUUGCAUCCAAGGCUUGGAUUGUGCAUGAUUCUCCUUCUAAUAUAUAUAUACCUAAACAUUCCAAAUUAAGCAUGAUUAUAUAUACAAUUAACCUACGAAAUUCGGUAUUAAUACCGAAAAUUCAAAUAGAAACACUAAUUUCUCUUUUCAUGUACCAUACAUUGAACCUAAGAGGGUGCCCAAAGAAUAAAAACUUUGGCUAUGUAAUGGUCAAAAUGUUUAGCUGGAGAGUAGGAUUAAGAUGCAUUUUGGUAACCUUUGUUUGGGGACUACUUAAUUGCCAUUUGGAACUGACUAAUUAAGAAGGUGGCUGCCAUGUCUAGCUUGUGUCUUGAUACUAUGUAUUGAUGACUAGAGUAAUUUGAAUGUUGAGGCAACAUAAAUGCAUCAUUGACUUGAAUAUUUGAGUUAAUUAGGUAACUACCUUAGAUACUAAGGAGAAUUUGACGUCAUGCGAAAAGAUAGAAAAAUGAAAGAUCUAAUAAGAAAAACAACAGUGCCUAGUGCAGCAGUUCUUAUCCUAAAAAGAAUUUGAUUCUCUAGAAUUCUGGGGCAUUAGUCAUAGAUUAGUUUAAGAUGAGAUAAUAUUAUGUCCCCUACAGGUAAUGAUUGGAAAAAAAUAAAUCAAUUAGGAGGAAGAUGCUUGUCCGUCUCUCUUACUCUCUUGCUUAUCGAUUGUUUGCGGAAUUGGUUAAAUCCCCAUAGUGCACAAAUAGCCUAAUGUUUGGUACAUCAGUAAAAUCGGCUUUUGGCUUCUACAAGAAGUUGAAUUUUCCUUGUUUUGUUUUCAAAAUUUUAGAAGCAAAAACUACAAUUUUCAGCGAAAGCCAUAAUUCUAGAUUGUGAAGUAUCUAAAAAUCUAAGCACCUAAAGUUUAAACCUGAUUAUAUGCGUAAAAAAUCUUUUGUACUUAUAAUUAUUUAAAGGGGAAACUUCAAAUACCACUCCUGUGGUUUUACACUUUCUCACUUUAAUGUCCUGUGGUUUAAAGUGUAUUAAUUUAGUGCCAUGUGAUUUUCUUUUUAUCUUUUUACGUACUAUUGAUUCCACUAUUUUUUUUUCGUUAAAUUAGUGACAAAGUUAAAACUAAAGGAUACUAAAGUGAAUGUUCGAUAAAUCUAGGUGAGGUAUCUGAAGUUUUUUGUAUAUAAUUUAACGAAAUAUUAACGGAAAAGCUGGCGAAAAGAUAAAAAUAAAACCACAGGACGCUAACUUGAUACACUUUAAACCACAAGGCACUAAAGUGAGAAAGUGUGAAACCACAUGAAUGAUAUUUGAAGUUUACCCUUAUUUGAAUGCAGAACAAUUCUUAGCAAGCUGAGCAUGGUUUCAAUGAGAAAAAUUGUUUUGUAAGCUGUGUAGUAAGUAUAAAUAUACCAAUUGUAUACAUCAAUUAAUAUGGUUACAAACAAAGUUUCCAUCUUGGUUUGCUUUUUUUUUUUCUUUUUUUUUCUUUUUUUUUUUUUCAACUUUGAGCUUCGUGAAUCAACACAGUAUACAAAUUGAAAGGUUCACCUUAGCACUCAUCAAUAUUGAGGGCAAAUUAAUUGCACACAUAGGUUCAUGCACUAUGGUACAAAAAGUACCUUAAGUUGCGGUUUCACCAGCCAAAUUAAAAAUAUUAAAUAACAACAGGUGUAAUCGUGCAACUUAUGCUCCCACGAGGAAACUUAAUUUUGCAUACACUAGAUUUCAGGCAAUCACAUGUGGCAUUGCUGACAUUUUUGUCCUUCCUUUUUCACCGACCCAGCUGCAAGUUUUGUGCUCAGAUCUCUGAUUAUUAUUUUUUUAAAAUUUUUUUUAAACAUAAAUAUUAAAAAUUUAUAAAAUAUAAUGAAUCCUUAUAAAUUUCAAGUCCUCUCUGCAAUUCAUGAAAAAAGCGGAUUCCUUUCCUCUCUAAAUCUACAAUUAUUCUCUUAAUUAAUAGAGCCUAAUUCUCUCUCUUCUUAAUUAGGAUGGGACUAAUUUUCUUCUAAAUGUUUCUUAUGUUACUCCUCUCUAUUCAUCUGCCCCUUCAUCUUCUUUUUCUUAAUUUUUUUUUCUUCUGCCCCUUCAUCUCCUUUUUCUUAAUUUUUUUUUUCUUUUUUUUUUGUCCACAUAAUGAAUGGACAAUCAUGUCGUAUUUAAAAACUCCAUUGUGAAUAAUUGUAUAUAUAUUAGUAUAUUUCUAUAUACUCUUAAUAGGAUUUACUAAAAAUAAUAAAAAAUUUCAUUGUGAAUAAUUGUAUGUAUUAUUAUAUUUCUAUAUCUCUAAUUAGGAUUUACUAAUUACUUUACAUAUUACUGUAAAAUAUUUUUUUCCUGUUGCAUCGAUUAUUAUAUGAUUGUCUAUAUUAUAACUUUUAAUACUAGAAUACUAAUAUUUUAUUUACUUAUGUUGAUAUUUUAUUAUUUAUAAAUUUUUUACUUUAGCAGUAACUAUCCGCCGCAUCGCGCGAGUACCUACACUAGUAUUACUUUAUAAUAGUAUAAAUUAGGAGAUUCUUAAUUAAUAUAAUAUUAAAUUAGGAGAUUUUGAAUUUUGAAUGUGGCCAGAUUUCUAACAUUAUUAAUUUCUUCAUGAUCAGUGCUGCUAUAGGUACUUUAGAAAAUAUCCAACAAUAUUACGGAUUAUGUGACAUUGUUAUUAUUAAAUUCUUAUAUAAAUACUAAUCUCUCAAUAUGUGUUAGUUAACGUAUCAGUAGUAUUGUGGGAUAUCCCAAAGUGAGGUACCCAAUGUUUUUCUUUCUUUUUCUCUAUUUACUUCAAAUCUAUGGUAAAUUUGUACAAAAAUACUAUUUGGAUAUAUAGUGUUUCAAAAUUUGAUUAUUAAUACUCUUUUAGUAGUUUUUAUUUUAUAUCGUAAUCGAAUCAAAAGUUUUGAACUAAUACUUUGCUCUUUGGGCGCAAAAGAGUCAUCGAUCUCUUAGUCCUAUUGCAGCCAAAAAAGCAAAAAAAGUGUGAAUCUUAUGUUACAUAACACUUUCAUGUUAAUUAGAAUACGAAAAAUAUUUAAAAAAUUAAGAUGAGCUUGGAAUUUUGUACUGGUUGCAGGUUGGAAAAGUCAAAACCAACCUGUUUAGCCAAAAGAAUGUGUCUUUGACCUGAAAGGAAAAUAUUGAAAUGAGCUCUUGGAUUCAAAUAAUCAAAGAUCCAAUUUUAUUCCCUUUUACCUUUUUUUUCCUUUGUUUUUUUUUUGAAGAAAAUCUAACACCAUGGGGUGAUUUCAUAUCAGCUCUAGCAGGAUAUUAUUUGGAUGAUUUCUAUUCAAAACUUAUAUAACAUUUUAAAAUAACUCAAAUUACACUUUUGUACGUAGAAACGCUAUCAAACUUGAACAUAACUUUCACACUCCAACGUGCUAGCUUCAUCCUCUUUGUCCAAUCCUUUUUGCAAUGCUCAAAUUAACAUGCAAACAUGAUUCCACGCAAGUUGUAGUUGGAAAAGUUUUGCAAAAUAUAGGAAAAUCCUCUAAAUUAAUCAACUUUAUCUUGGUUCAAAUAGAAACCUAUAUCUAUCUUUUAUUUGAGCAGAAAAAAAGAAUCUAUAAGACCACUAGUAAUUUAGGUAUAAGGUGUCUGACAAUAUAUCCUUAAUAUUAAAGAUUAUUAUCUUUAUAUGUACAUGUACAUUUCGAUCUUUGAGCUCUAAGCUUCAUGUUUAUCAUAUCAUAUAUAGAUUUUUAAGAGAGGAUUUGGAGGAUUCGCAGUCUAUGGGCAUUUGUUAAAAAAAAAAAUGUAAAAAACUUUGGACCCUGAAAAAAGAAGGAAAAAAAAAUUUGCAGAUAUGAAGUCGGCAAUGGAACAAACUGUGUUGCCGACACUGGUAUAUCGAAGGCGAAAUAGUUAAACAAGUGGAUACGGCGACGAGACAUCAAACGACGCCGAAAUCAUUGAGAAACCAAAAGAGUCCACUCCAUUGGUCGAGCCCUUCGCCUCUUGGACCUAAGUUCGGCCCAAUCACCCCCCCUUUAGCCCAAACUUGGGCCUUCAAAAACCAGUCCAUUGAACUAAGUGGGCUGCGGCCCACACGGCGACGGCCCAAAUCCAAUUCCCUGUGGAAUCUCCCUCUCUGCGCUACACUCACCAGCUCGUAAAGAUAAGUGACCUCUCACCUCCACUAAACAUCACUGUUUAAUUAUUAGACAGCGCUAAUUAACGAAUAAUUCCCAUCUAAACUCGGGGUUAAUCAACAACCUGUGGGAAGCGUGACAAACGCGCGAAGUUUCCGAUCCCUCCCUCUCCCGACUACUCUCUUCCCUUUCGCCCUUUUCUCCCUCUCCCUCUCUCUCUCUCUCUCUCUUUCUCUCUCUCCGACGAGCCCUCGCCGUGGGAGACGAGGAAGGAGACGAAGAAGAGGAAGGAGACUCCUCUCUUUCCCUCUCGUCUUUUCUCUCUCUAGGGAGCUGAGGAUGAUCGAGAAUAACCCCGAAAGCGUCAAGCGAUACGCUCCUCCCGUACACAGGUAGGGUUUCUCUCUCUCUCUCUCUCUACUUUUUAAUCUCAUCGUAUCGCUUAAUAAUGCGUUUUUGAUGGAAUUAAAGCUUCGCGAUUCAUGUAUUUUUGGAGAAAUUACCAAUUUGAUCUGAGGCGUUUGCUAUAUACCCUCUUUGGAUUGUUGGAUUGUGUAAAGAUUGCUUUUUGGGGUUUUUUUUUUAAUUUUAACUGGAAUUGUUAUUUUUGUUUGCUCACUGCUUUGUUUACUGGUCAUUGCUUUAGGAAUCGGUCGCUCAACAGGCGCAAAUCGGGAGGUAAUUUCUAAUUCGACUCAUUCUGUUGCAGUGGAGAGUGAAUUGUUGUGAGAUGUGUUGAUUUGUUUGAUGCUUUAUCGUGGCAUUUACUUCUGCGUCUCAAAUUGGUAGAAACAUGUGGUAUUGUUUCCUUGGACCUUUUCGAUUUCCAACUUUAUUAUCUACUGUCUUAUCAUCCCCAUGAUUCAUCUUAAGAGGAUCCCGUCCCUUUUAUUCAGCUUUCUAAUUAUGUUAGAGCAUGAAGUUGAAGGGAGAUGGUUUGAACUGGUUGGUAUUUUCAGUUUUUAGAGUUUUAGGUGGUUUGAGUAUAUUCAUUUUGCCUAGCUUAUAGCCGAUUGGGAGGAACUAGAUGUUGUAGUUGAGGUUGUUCAUGUGUUGUCGUUAAAUCAUGAUUGAUUGCGGUAAGCAGGGAGAGCUUAAUGUAAGAUUUCCUCUUAAAGGAUUGUUGAUGUGUCUCAAUACGAUAUUAUUUUAAUUUUGCUAUUUUAUCCAAUUAUAAUUUUCUAAUUCAUUUGUAAUAAUAAAUACCAUUUAUAACUAUAUUGUGGCGUUUGUAAUGUAAUGAAUAGCAGUUGGACUAGAAAUAUUUAAUUUUUGUCCUUGAUAGCAUAUAUUGAAACUUUUCCACUACCUACUGUGUUCCUAUUGUUUGAAAUUCCUGGCUCUGCGUUUGUGUAAAGGGGAAGGGGCAAGACAGAAUGUGGUAGGUUGGUGUAGGGAAUAGAUGGUUGCUUUUGGAUUGUGUGUGCAUUCCAUGUACUGCGAAUUGAUGACUAGCUACGAAAUCAGGUAUUUAUGUUGUUGUUACAUUCCAAUGUAAAAUGUUGUAUGGUAAGAAAAGGAUAGUUUUUUCAGCCAUGAUACACAUCCAAGAUGACAUGUGUGCUGCCUUCAAUUUCGAUUAUCUUUAUGUAACUCUUACAUUUUUCAAAAGAUGGAGAGGAUGAUGAAAAUUAAUUUUUUGAAAUUACAUUUGCACAUUAUCACAGUGAUUACAUUUCUACUUCGCAUACAUAUGUUUUGUAAAAGUAAAAUUUCUAAAGUUUUCCCAUUUGUCCAUGCAAAUGAGUCACAACUUUCUAUCACAAAGUGCUGGUUGCAUGCAGCAAAAAUCUGCAGUUGGUUAUAUUUCUAUAAAGAUCUCUAAUUAUUGACAAUGAAAAGCUGUCUGAUCCACUCGCUGUUAAUGGGGUUAGUAUUCCACCGUGUUUUCUACAUAUCUCAAACUAGGAUGCUUCAUGUUAGAAAGUCAAACUUUCUAUACCUAUCUAACGGUCGGGCUUACAGUGUUGGUUAAUGAAAUGAUCAAUUGAUAUUUAAUAGCAUGCCCUCGUGGAUGGAUGUGCUUGAGUUUAUUAGUGGUCAUUACUAAUGAUUCAUAUAAUUUCCUUUUUUAUGUGUGUUACAAUGUGGUAUCUUGUUUUGAGAGCACAUAAACUGCAAAUUAAGAUACUUGUGAAAUGCUUGCAUGCAUAAAGGUGGCAAUAAUGUUAAACAUUUUUGUGACAUACUUAGACAAGGUAUCAAAUACCAGUAUAUUUCUGGUUCUUGUGAUAUCUUCUUUGGACUCCGUGUUUGGUUCCAGUGCUUUGACAAAUUCUAAAUCCUCAGACUUGAGUUAUAUUAUUGGUUUCACUCAAGGUUUUAAGUGCCCGUCGGCACAAGCCGUAUCCACCGUGCCGUACCGUGCCAACAAGAUAUCGGCACAAUACAGGCCCCGUGUCGAUGGCACAGCUCAAAACCCUCUAUUUUUUAAAUUAGUAAGUAAUUUCCUCAAUAAAGUUUAAAAGAUGUGAUAAAAAGAUAUAAUAAAUAAUUAGAAUAUUUUGUUGCUAAAGAAAAUAAAUAUUUCAUGCUAU